Molecule: long non-coding RNA, 91100 nt
Filed under: Lactuca sativa (garden lettuce)
Lineage: Eukaryota; Viridiplantae; Streptophyta; Magnoliopsida; Asterales; Asteraceae
Description: long non-coding RNA (LSAT_LNC003408)
Source: RNAcentral
GGACCAAUUGUAACUUUAUAUUGUAUAAAUAUAUUCUGCAGUAUAUGUCUCAAAUUGAUGAGGCUUUUCCCACAUUUAACAAAAGGAAAACUAAAUUAACACCAAAUUGCCCAAAAUUAAACCAUAUAUUAUACUAAAUUAAUUCACAACAGUUCGACAUCAAUCAAAUAUUAUCUCGCACUCGAAUUCACAAAACUCACUUUCCGGGUACAAAGUUUGUAGCAUAUGACCAUGCAUUGUUUGCAACAGGGUCAGCAAGGUGGUCAGCGAGGUUCUCCAAUGGUCCCUUUCCGGUAACAAUGGCUUGAACAAAGAAUCCAAACAUAGAGAACAUGGCUAGUCUACCGUUCUUGAGCUCCUUCACUUUCAGCUCAGCAAAUGCCUCUGGGUCAUCAGCCAGACCCAAUGGGUCGAAGCUACCACCAGGGUAAAGUGGGUCAACUACCUCACCAAGAGGUCCACCAGCAAUUCUGUAACCUUCAACUGCACCCAUCAAGAUCACUUGGGUAGCCCAGAUGGCUAAAAUGCUUUGUGCAUGGAUCAAACUUGGGUUCCCCAAGUAGUCAAGACCACCCUCACUAAAGAUCUGGGAUCCAGCCUUGAACCAUACAGCCUCACCAAACUUGACACCAUUACGCGCCAAGAGUUCGGGGAAGACGCACCCAAGAGCUCCGAGCAUGGCCCAUCUGCUGUGGAUGACCUCAAGCUCACGGUUCUUGGCGAAUGUUUCAGGAUCAGCAGAGAGCCCAGCAGUGUCCCAACCGUAGUCACCGGGGAACUCACCGGUCAGGUAAGAUGGGGCUUCGCCGGAGAAUGGGCCAAGGUACUUAACACGGUCGGGGCCGUACCAUGGACUUCCUGAUGGUGCGACUUUCUUGACUGCUGUCUUCCUCAUGGAAACCCUUCCAUUUCCGGUGAUUUCUGAACCAGAUGGUGCUACUUUCACCGCCUGUCCGACGAAAGAAGAGGAUAGUGCCAUGGUGGAAGCUGCCAUUUUUGUGAGAUUUGUUUUGAAGAUGUUUUGAUGAUAUGAUAGUAUUAUGAGUGAUGAAGAUGUGUGGAUCUGGAACAUAGAUUUAUAGGGUGGUUUUUGGGCCAAGUAGUUGAUAAAUGUUUAUCUUGAUGCAAUUUUUAACUUCAUUUUGAUUGGCUACCAAGAUUUUAGUUCUAUCAGUGGGUCCAUAAUCUGCGUGGUUCCACUAUUCGAGUUCUCUGGCCCACAUGAGAUAUUUGAAGGGGCAGCGAUAUUCAUGGCUCUGUCUUAUUAAGCGAAUAUAAUGGCUAGAAAUCUCAGCCACUAGCUACCAUGCACAAACCGGUUUUUUUUUUGAACCGGACCGCUUCAAAAAUCCGGUUCGGUUCUAGUCAAUUUAGUCAAAACCAGUUUGGUUCCAAACCGGUCCAGCUUCAAAAUAAUUCAAACGUAUGUAAACUCGUUAAAGAAAAAACCGGUUCAAAAAGGGUUCAAAACCAGUUUGACGGAAAAAAGGUUUUUUUCAAUUUUUAUUUUGUUUUUAGGCUAAUAACUGAAAAAUAGGAAUUUUUUUUUAUAAUAUUGCUUUUAUUGUGUUUAAAAAAAAAGUUUCACACUAGGUUUUUUGAAAAUGGAAGUGGAAUGAAUUGGGAAUUCAUAAGCCUUUUUUUUGGUAAUACACACGUACACACGUCCAUAUGCCAAAAGGUUUUUAUUAUUAUUUUUUUUAUUUCUUGUUUAAUCUUUUGAUGUAUUAAAUUUUUUUUUUGUUUCAGAUUUGAUGUUUUAUCUUUUUUUUUUUCAUUUUUUUUGUUUUUUAUAUUGGAAAUACAUAAUACAACUUCAAACAUAAAAACACAAAACAUCCAAAUUGUCAAACUAAUACAUCUUCAAAUAUAAAACAUUGAUGUCGUCGUAGUCUUCAUUCCAAGUCCGUAGUCAUUGUAUUUAUUCGUCAUCCGCCAUGUCGUUGCGUAAUUCUCUCUCAUACUCGAUCUCUUCUAGGGUGAGUGACACCGACAUUCCCAUCGCUACUUCUUCCUCAUGUACUCGUGCUUCGACAUGCAACGAUGUGCCUUCUAGUGCUUCGAUGUCUUGUAUCCUUUCCACGCCAUCAAGGUAGUAUUUCAAGCAAAUGCACACUUCCACCGACAAAUGGGUUAGUUUUGUUCUUCUUGGUGAUAUUACCCUGCCACUAACAGAAAAACCGAUUCCGANUUACCCUGCCACUAACAGAAAAAGCCGAUUCCGAAGCUACCAUAGAAGCUUGGGAGCUUAGUAGAUCACGGGCCAUAGCGGCUAGAAUUGGAAAUUAGGUUUCCUUUCCUUUCCACCAAACCAAAAUAUCAAAAUUUUCAAACUCUUGAAUACUCAUUUCACUACUAGAAAAAUAGCCUUUUACGACGCGCGAACAACGACACGCGCUGUUUUAUGAUACACAAUAGUGUGUGCCCUAAAAAUAAUGUCGGCUCUCCAAAAAUUAGAAGGAUUUAGGGUACGCAUUUUUGCGCGCCCUAAAAUAAGUGUUACAUUAAAAAAAAACACGGAGGGCACAUAACAUAAAACGCGCGUCCACUAAGUAUGUCGCUUUAUAUUUUUUAAAUGAAAUGCGGGUCACAUUUUUUAGGGAAAACGAAAUUCCAAAAAGUUUGAAAGGCCCGCCAUGUUCCUACCUUCUUUCCACCGUUCUUCUCUCCCUUACUCAAAAUACCCAAAAAAAACCCUAAUAUACUCAUCGCUCCUCUUUUCUCCCAUAACAAACUCGCACCAUCACCAAAUCUCUGAUCUCCCACCAGCAAAAGGUCUCCUACCGAUGUCUCCACCUACUCUCUGCCCUCUCACUAUUUCUCUCAAUUAAAAACGCUAGAUCUCUCAAUCAGAGAACCAUGGCUACUUCUCCUUUCUCCCACACCAGUUGGCAAAAAGUGAGGAGUCUCGAGCCUAGCAGUUGAUAUUCACAUGCCCUCUUAAAUUGAAGGAAUCAGAACAUUGUCGACAUCAAUUCGUUAAUCAUCACUAGAGAAAUCAGAUACGCCAUCUGGUUGAUGAGUCAAGAGAAAUCACAUAUGUCAUCGCUUCAGCAAUCAUCCCUCCUUUUAACCGUAAGUUUUCAAUCUUACACUUUACAAAUAUCAUAUAAACAUCUCUCUCUCUCUCUCUCUCUCUCUUUCUCUCUCCUGCUAUACCUUGAUGAAUUAUCGCAUACAUAUGGAGGAACUGCUUUCUAAAAGCCAGCUAUCGGGAGAGUCAACAGGGUCAAUUGGGUGUUCAAAAGGUGCUUCGAUAUCAUCUUCCCGCCAGCAAAUCUCUGUUAAAGUUGUCACAGAGUAAUCCAUUUGAGUUUGGGCAUAUAUUUUUUGUUAUUAAUUUAGGGGGAGACUGUGUUCCAUGAUUUUGGUCAUGCAUUUCUUCAGCACACGCUAACAAGACAAGAUGAAGGGCUUGUUGUUGGUAUUCGUGGCAUAGAGUGGAUGCUGUUGAGUUACCUUUCCAGUUCAUGGAAAAUUGGUGCUACCGUAGGUAGGUAUAUAUAUCUCCAAUUUCAAGAUGUUGUUCAACUGCUGCAGGAACGAGGUGAGGGUGGCUGAUGAGAAUUUGUGACAGGAACUAUCCGAUUGGGGAUUCCAGCUCAAGUGGGGCAGUUGGCGCAUCAGAUCCAGCAGAAUCAGAAGAUAAUGAGGCCUUUAUUGCAAUUCUCUUCUUUUGAAUAUGAAAAGAUGCACUUUUCAGUCCUAAUCUGGGAUGUGAAAAUGAAAGGAACCCCUGUUUAGCCAACAAAACAAAGUAAAAUUCAGUUACAACACUUACCCAAAUAUAGCAUUCUACCUUUAAUUUUUCUCAUCAAGACAAAAUUGAAUCAGUUAUGAAACCGACCACAUAAAAGGCUGUUUUUCUAGAGUUGCAAUGUUAGGAAUAAAAGUCACAAUGGUAUGUGGUCGGUUUCAUAACUGAUUCAAUUUUGAUGAGUAAACAGGUUAGAUUUCAUAUGGUUGUUUGUUCAGAUUGGUAUUCAUCCUGAUUUUCCUUCAAUUAUGCAACAACUAUGCUGGAAUUUGCUAUGUUCCAUACUCGGAUUUUGAAUUUAUCGGAAAAUUGAAUAAUUAAUCUGGAAAAAUACCAUCUUUGAAUGAUUUUUUUGUCAUCUGUAGAUAAGGAAUACCAUCUUUGGGUAAUUAGUUUAUCUAGUCUACAUGAUUAAAUUAAUGGACAUAUAAUUCUCUAUUGAUAGAACAAAAAACAUUGCUUUGUAGUGAAGAUAAGGAAUACCAUAUUUGGGUAAUUAGUUUAUCCAUACUCGGAUUAUGAAUUUAGCCCACCAUCAGCAGGGGAUUGCUGAGUUUUAUGUGACCAUAAUGCCCUUUCGGUUUGUAGUGAAGAUCCAAGCAUGUAAUUAAUAACACCUCUAAUUAAUUAAUUAAUUAAUCCCCUAAAACUAACUAUGGUUAAAUUAAACUGGUGGUAGGUGCCAGUGUACAUAGGGGCACAUAUGGUCAAAUAUGUUUUAAUUAUUAGUCUAAUAUCUUUUGAUACUUAUCAAUAACAACAAAAUAAUGUAAAAUCGUGUGAAUACAAUUCAAGGGUAUAAUGGUCUAGACAGAGAUUAUUUUUAUUAAAGAUAUUUAUUUAUUAAUCAUCAGAGAAGAAGGAAUUAAUAUGAAAGAAUCACUUACUGCAAAAUAAUCUUCAAAUGUAAAAUCAACAUAGCCUAAGCCCUGAUUUUUAUUUCACCACAGGUUGGCGAGCUGGCGGGAAUAGCUUUGGGAGCAACUGUCAUGCUUAAUAUUCUUAUAGUUGUGUACGUUAUGGUCAAAAUAGUUCAGCAAGAACCUCUGUUGAAAUGAUAUAGGCCACUAAUUAUUUAAAACUAUCACUGGCUCCUCAUUAUGGUCAAAAUAGUUGGUCUGUUAAAAAUUGUGACUAUGAGCAAUUUGCCACUUCUAAAUGGGUUCUUUGUAGUUUUCCUUUCUAUAAUUCAGGAAAUAGGAUCAUAUUUUACUCUUGCAGAAAUAGUUAUGGUCUGUGAGCAUUCUUCCAGAUUGUAAGAACGUAAUUUUCAACACAACAAAGGUGAAAUUAUAUCUAUGUUUUCUUGUGUAUUUAACUUCACAGGAGCUGAAACAUGAUCUAAUUUUUUUUAUCUAUUGGUUAUGUUGAAUAUGGAUAAAAGGUUGUGGCUCAGAAAAGUGUUGGUGAUGCUUCUACAUUUGUUGAGAGUGAAUUUUCACUGUCAAAUUCAAGUUGGAUUUGGUAUGUAGAAAAAGUGUGUGUUUAGAGUAAGGACUUUUUCCUUGUUGGACUGUAAUAGUAGACCAAUAUGAUUCGUUUUAUAAAACCCUUAGACAGAUCACAGUUGGUUCUGCAAUUGCAUGGUCAGGUAAACAUUCUAAACACAUUUUCAAUUUAUUUUGUGAUAUUUAAUUUCUCCCAUAUUCUUUUAAAUUAUAUUAUAAUAUGCUUAUAAACACUACUUUCCUUUCAUGUAGCCAAAAAAUUGUCCCAAAGUUGACUGAGGUACUUUGGACAAAAAUACAAUGUUAGCUUACAUCUUUAUUAGUUAAUAUAAUCAAAUUUCUAAUUUUAGGUGCUAACUGAUACGCGUCCGCAAGUUCAGUCUGCAUGGCAGACAACACUCCAGCAGGUUUGACUAUAUUCUUAUGGGUUGUGGCAUUCACAUUCCCAUAGUGAUCUUGAUAAAGUUGCUUCUAUUUCCAUGCUAAGUUGGCUUUUAUUUGUAAUAUAGGAGGUCCAAAAUCUUGCAAAGAAGGCUGCAGAAACUGUGGUGUUGGUAAUUGAUGAUGAAGGGACUGAGUAUUUGAUAUCAGAACUUCUCAAGUUGCUUCUAUUUCCAUGCUAAGUUGGAUUUUAUUUAUCUUACUGUUUAUUAUCAUUUUUUAUAUAAAAUUUCAUCAUUUAUAUUAUAUAUAUAGUACAUUAUAGACUUUGCAUCAUAAUUUGUUGAAUGUUACAAGAUAUAAUUCAAAAUUCAAUUUCCUCAUGUUGUUGCUGAAAUGACAGCAAUUGGUUUUGGCCUACCAAAGAAUGCAUUCACCGCUUUAAUGAAGAAUGUAAGUGUUUAUUUUUCUUUUCUGUUUGGUGAAAAUCAUCAAAUGACAAUCUCAUUAUAUAUCUUAGGAUCUUAUCAGUUAAUAAACUUGAUCGUGGGUAUGAUCAAGCAUAGGUUUACAUUUAUACCCCUGCUUUUAUCUUUUAUCUUUUAUGUUAUAUAAUUAUAUUCCCCCUUUUUUUAUCAGGUUAAUUUGGUGGUUAAUUAUGAUCUUCCUAUAAGACAUGAUCAUCAAUCUCACUACAAGAAAAAUACCCUUUUACGACGCGCAAAACACGACGCUCUUUGAUUUAUGUUACGCAUUAGAGAGCGACAUUAAAAAAGUGUCAUCUCUUAAAAAAUUUUAAGGAUUUAGGUCGCGCAUUACUGAGUGCCCUUAAAUUAGUGUCUCAUGUAAAAAUAUUAAAAACACGGAAGGCACUUGUGCGUCGUCUGUGAAUGUCGUUUUAUAUUUUUUUUUAAGAAACACGCGUCUCGGAGGGAAAAUGAAAUCCCCAAAUUUUUUAAACCCCCACCUUUUUCUCCCUCGUCUCCACCCCUCAUCCACAUCCACUACCUCCGAUCCUCAUUUCCUCUUCUAGCCUCAAACUACGGCGAUGCACCUUCCUUCUCGAAGAAUGCUUCAUUUACCACCAUCGUCCGAUUAUGUGAGCCCAAGGAAUUGACCAAGACGAAGAAGAUAAUGGAUCAAUUGCUUCACAUCAUGUUUAAGGUUAAGGGUUUGAGUUAGUCCGCAACAGGUAAUCGAAUUUUGCCUAAUAUAUAUUUCUACUCUCAAACUGUUUAUUCGUCCGAUUGGAUGCAUAUUUACUAUUAAAUUUGGGGAUUUUCUUUUAAAACCCCCGCGCCUCUUCUUGUUUGUAGCUAAACAACCGUGAAUUUGUUAGAGUGAUUGGAAGAGGAAAAAUAGAAGAUAGAAGAAAAAGAAGAAGAAGAAAAGCGAACAAACGGGAUUUCUUGACCUGAUGUGUUAAUCCGUGAUCAGGUCUUCUGAGCGAAGAGAAGAUCUGAGGCUCAAUUGAAGAAAUAUGAGCGCUUCUAGAUUUAUAAAGUGCAUCACAGUCGGUGAUGGCGCUGUCGGGAAGACUUGUCUCUUGAUUUCCUACACCCGUAACACCUUCCCCACGGUAAUCAUCUCUUCAUCAACCGCCUUCAGUUUCUGCCCAACUAAAGCACGGUUACACACUUAUUUCUCUUCGGACGUUUCUGUGGCUUCCAUGGGAACGGAGGAGGAUGAUAUAAAUGAGGCAACAACUUCAUUCGCUACAUGUUUGAACCUUAAAUUGAAGGGAUUAUAUAUUGAAAUUUGAAUCUACAACUUCGAAUUUCAGUCAUCUCUCUUCUCUUCUACAUCUCACCUGAUUCUCUAUUGAAAUUUCUAGGGUUUUUAAUUGAACCUACAUCUUCAUCUUAAUCUUCUUUUCUGAAGUUAGGGCUUUUUUCUUAAGAACAACUAAUUUUUUGCAGUAAGUAAACCUCUAAUUUUUUCAUUUCUCAUUUCCUUAGACCUCUCCCCUUUCCAUCUCAUAUCGAGGCAAAAUCAAUUUCACUUUGGUGGCUUCGAUUUCCUAGCACAUAUUAUGUUAUUAUAUGGAUUUGUAGGAAAUUAGAAAUCAUGUUAGAAUGUUUGAUGUUCUGUAUGUUCAUAAAAGUACAUCUAAAACAAAAAUCUUAGAUUAAACAAAACUGAAGCAUUUAAUGAGAUGUAAUUACUAACUUUUGUUGGAGAUGCAAAUGCUAAAUAAAGAAAACUGAAGCAUUAAAUGAGAACCUUUAUAAUUCGAUUUCAUUCAGAUCUUCGGUGGAUAUUUAGGGCUAACAAAGAAAACUGAAGCAUUUAAUGAGAUGUAAUUACUAACUUUCGUUCAAGGUAACCCCUGUUAUGAAUACAUGUAAGAAUUUAUUUAUCUUUUUCUCUCACCACUUGCUAUCCAUGUGCUGCUCUCUCAUAGUUGAUAUCUAACAACAAAGACCUGAUCAGUCUAGUUUGCUUGUUUUUUUUCUUUUUCUUAUAAUUCUUGAAUACGUGCAGAUUUUUUAAGACUUCUAGUUUUGUUUUUUGUUCAGUGAUAUUGAUGAUGAGGCAAGUUUAUCAACACUAUGGGAGAGAUAUCAAAGUGUCUCUGAAAAGGUAUUGCGAUAUCAAAGCAUAAAUUAUUUAUGGAUUAAAAUGGGAAAAUGACUUAUAUGGGUAAGAAAGUUUUAAAAACUUUUAAAAAUGACUAUCAAAGUAUUGUUUGUAUAAAAAACACCAACCAAGUUUACCAUUUUGUCAAAUCUAACAGGUUGGUAACCUGCAUCUGCCGGUCAAAAAAAAUUACCUGAUCAUUUUAAAAACUGAAAUUAUAAAUGACAUGGCAUCCUUUUUUAGUCUUACGUGGAUUAAUUGCAAGGGAAGAUCCAUUUUCUCAGCGUUCUUUCUCAAAAUCAGGAGGGAGUCAACACAGAACCCUCUCUAGGGUUAGUUUCUGCCCCUGUAUACAGUUAUUUUUGUUUAAAUUGACUGAUUUUAACAGUUGACGAAUAUGCUCCUGCUUUGGGCUAAUCACACAUAUGUCUUUUUUAUGACCAAAUUGCCCCUGUAUAUAGUUUUUUUUUGUUACAAUUGACUGAUUUUACCAGUCAAUUAAGGUGUUGUUUAGAAACUGUUAGUAUCCAAGACCAUUUACAUGCUCGUGCACAAAGACGAAUUUGCCCUUGAUUGUGACCAAACUGCCCCUGUAUACAUAUUUUUUAUUACUAAAAACACCCCCUGUCCUAGAAAAAUAUGACACUUCUAUACAAAAGCUAAUACCAAUUUCUCACUACAAAUCAACUAAUAAGAAAAGAAGUGGGCAACUCUCUAAAAUGACCAAAAUUUGAAUUGCAGUGUCACAAAUUGACAAUUUUUUAAAGCUAUAAUGAAAUAAUGCUUUGUUUUGUAAAAUAUACAAAAUCCGUUUGUUGUUGUGUGCAACUAAUCCACAAACAUUUACAUAAUUCUCGUUAGUGUACUUUGCAAAGUGGUGCUGAAGUAAUUUGGGCAACAAAAGUACAUAUAACUAUAUUAAUAUUCUCUAAAUAAUCAUAUAUAAUGAAAUAAUGGUUUGUUUUGUAAAAUAUACAACCCAUACUGUAUUUUUGAUAAAAAAAAAUAAUGAUUUUAAGAGAUUUUGUCCGAAAUACCCUUAUAUACUCUUUUUUUUGGUAAAAAAUUAAUGAUGUAAUAGUUUUUGACUAAAAUGCCCGUAUAUACUAUUUAACAGGUUUGACCCCAUCUGAAUUAUGAUUCAGCUUAAAAUUGAAUGCCAUUUUGACAAUUUUAUUGCUUUUAAGACUAUUUACUGCUGAAAAUAUGUCAAAUUUGUUACAUUUUGCUGCUAUAAAUAGUCAAAAAAUAACUAAAAGUCUACAAAGAUUCAAGGUAACAGUAAAUAAUACUGGCAUUUCCAGCAGCAAAUCUUCAAUUGCAGGGACUAAACUUUGUCAUUUUUAGCAGAAAACUUUAUCAACCAACAAAAAGAGGUUAAUAAAGAAUCUAAAUGGCAUUCCAUUGUAACAGCAUCAAAACACGACCUGCACUCAAAACCCUCCAAAAUAGCCCCUACACUCAAUUGUAACAGCCCCUCUGUUGUGAUUCCUUUAACUGUGACCAAAUUGCCCCUCUAUUGUGAUUCCUUUAGAUUCAAGGUAACAUUGUUUUAAGUGAAAAGAUCAUUUCAUAACUUGUUUACAUAAAUUCUUUCUUAGCUUGUUUACAUAAAUUCUUUUUCUGUCAAUUCCUUUCAAGACAAAAAGAAAGAAAGCAGGAACUUAUAGCCAUGCAAGUAAUUUCAUUAUUUUUCUCAUUAACGAUUGUACUUCCUUUGCUCUUUCUUGCAUAAUAAUAAACAGAUUUAAAGAGGAGUGGAGCCAUAUGACCACCUGAUGCCCCCAAAUCAAUUUAUUUGAGCUAGAUUUGAACGAUUUACAAGGAGAAGAAGAAAAUCAAUUGUCAAGAGGAGAGGAGAUGUAUGACCACCCACCUGAUGCCCUAAAUCGAUUUAUAAUAUGUAUUUUUCAUUUAAUGCUGAGUAGAUGUGCAACACACUACCUAAAUAUGCCAACUAAUCAUUACUUUUGCCAACUCAGCCGUUCACCUGGAGAUCCGGUUACCACCGGGUCAUAUUUGAACAAAAGAUAAACUUCGUUGGUAUUUUUUGUACGACGCCUAUAGUUAAAUGGUAUUUUUGAACAACUAAAACUUCAAUGGUUUUUUUUGAAUGUUUUUGAAACUUUCUUACCCUUAUAAGUCAUUUUCUCGAUUAAAAUUGAACUUUUUUCAUACAUUACCUAACAUUGACUUGUCUUAAUUUGCAGGCAGAAAUACAAAAGGCUUUUCAUAUAUUUCUUAAACAAUUUUUUGUAAUAUACAAGAAUUGGGAGCCAUUAGAUUUAGAUAAUUCCAUAGAACCUUUCAUUGAUUCAAGGGAUCCUCUUUCUGAAAAAAAGAUUGCAGUGGCAUCAGAAGGCAGUCAUAUCAGUGAUGGAAGCUGGUGGUCUUAAUUGGUUAGUAGGUAAGGUAUGCAUCUUCAGAUUUAAUUUCUAUUGAGAACUAAACACAUUUGAAUAUCUGAGAACUAAACACACUUGAAUAUUUAUAAAUGAUGCACACAUCCAAAGGGAUAAUAGCAAUGUUUCUAAUGGCGUCAAAUAGACCUGAUUGUGACCACUAAUGGUUCAUCAGGUUUGUUGAUUUUUAUUUUAUUUUAUUUGAAGUGCAUUAUCUGGUUUAAUAUGAAAUGAUUCAUGUUGAAAUUGGUUUCUUUUGUUACUCCAUAAUACUUGAUAUCUUAUUUUUUGCAUGCAGGUGCUAACAAAUAUGGUGUCAUUAUCAUUGUUGUUGUUGUUGUUGGAUACGGAUAUGUUUGGUGGAAGGUAAAUAUAAGCUCAUAUAUUAAUAUUAUUACUUUUUACAGUUAACUUGUACAUAGUUUUUCUUCAACUAACAGAAAUGGUAUCAUUAACAGGGUUGGAAACUUCCUGAUAUGAUGUUUGCUACAAAAUGAAGUUUAUCUGAUGCCACAUAUGCUUUAGCUAAAUAGAUUGACACUGUUUACUCAUCACUUGCAGUAAGUUAUUUAAAAACUUUGUUAUUUUUUUGUUAUUAAUUUGGGUUGUUUAUUAUGUUGUUUAGGCUACCAAGAGACAUUUAUCUACAAGGAUUGACCGUGUUGAUAGUAGUUUAGAUGAGGUUGCAGAAAUUACUGCUGCUAAAAAAGAGGAGGUAUGACAAGAUAAAGGUUGUUCUAGAUGUUUAAUCUAUACAUAAUGCGGUUUACACCCUGGUGUGGUUCUUUUCCAUUUUGUCUUGUGACUUUGAUAUUGUUUUCUGAGUUGGAUAUGUGGUAUGAUAAAUUAUUUUUACAUGAGAGUAGGCUGAGUAGGGUUGAAUUGAAAUAGGUACUGAAUAUUACCGUUUGACAUGCGAUUUUUUCUAGCUUAAUGAGAUAUUUAUAACAAAUAAUUUUGAAUUUUUGUUGUCUUUUGUAGGGAAAUCCAUCAAGUUCAUCAAGGCCAGCUCUUGAAUUACCAUAGAGAGUAAACUUCUAAUCUUAUACAAAUACAAUGAUUUGCUAAAUUCAAGAAAUAACAAUGCACUUUUAUUUAUUACUUUUAUUAAAACAUCCUAGUUUAAUUUCUAGCUUAAUGAGACAUUUAUUACUUUUAGCAGAGAUCGAUAUAUAUAUGAGCUUUUUGCUUUCAAACAUUGUUGGGGAAGAAUGUUGAAACUUGCUCUUUGUGAAGGUAAUUUUUUUUCUUAAUGCAUUAUCCUCUAUAUUCUUGAUAUUUUUCCCACUUUUUAAAUCUUUUAUCAAAUUCUCACUUUUGGAUACAGUGCUUGAUGAGAGAAUGUGUGACCUAAAUCUUUUAUCAAAUUCUCACUUUUGGAGUUGGCCAUAAGAAAAUGUAGGCAAAGGGUAAUUUGUUAUAGUUCAGGUUGACAAGGUGCUGUAUUUUUCACAUAAUUGACAAGGAGCUGUUGUAUCUAUUCAGACUAGACUUAGAGCAAUGGUUGCAAGAGAUGAGUUCAGCAGAAAAAGAAACAAGGCUGCAACUAUAGUUAAGGUACUAUGGAUGAAUUAUGUUUGUAAAGUAUUUAAGAAAAUGAUUAUAAACAAGGGUGAAUUUGUACAAAUUAGUUAGCUACUUGCANUGAGUAUUUGAUAUCAAAACUUCUCAAGUUGCUUCUAUUUCCAUGCUAAGUUGGCUUUUAUUUAUCUUACUGUUUAUUAUCAUUUUUUAUAUAAAACUUCAUCAUUUAUAUUAUAUAUAAUACAUUAUAGACUUUGCAUCAUAAUUUGUUCAAUGUUACAGGAUACAAUUCAAAAUUCAAUUUCCUCAUGUUGUUGCUGAAAUGACAGCAAUUGGUUUUGGCCUACCAAAGAAUGCAUUCACCGCUCUAAUGAAGAAUGUAAGUGUUUAUUUUUCUUUUCUGUUUGGUGAAAAUCAUCAAAUGAAAAUCUCAUUAUAUAUCUUAGGAUCUUAUCAGUUAAUGAACUUGAUCGUGGGUAUGAUCAAGCAUAGAUUUACAUUUCUACCCCUGUUUUUAUCUUUUAUCUUUUGUGUCAUAUAAUUAUAUUUCCCUUUUUUUAUCAGGUUAAUUUGGUGGUUAAUUAUGAUCUUCCUAUAAGACAUGAUCAUCAAUCUCAACCUGACCAUGAAGUGUAGUUGCACUGAAUCGGAAGAGCAGGGUGAUUAUGGGAGAUGUUAAGUAGUUAUAGGGCUUUAGAUGCUUUCCCUUUGGGUAGGAAAUGUUUUUAAGACAUGAUCAUCAUUCUCUACCCCUGCUUUCCCUCUGGUGUUUAUCUCCCAUAAAACCCUAAAAUGUGGAUGUGCUAAAACUGAAGAAAUUAGAAGACACAUACUGGAUUUUAGCAAGUCGGGUAAGUUUAAAAAUAUCUUAAUACGAUAUUGAUUAGAUUACACAACAUGUAAUGUAGAAAAUAUCAUGAAUAUUUAUGAUCAAUAUUCAACUUUUGAAAAUGUAUCCAGUUUGAUGUUUAUCUAUUUGACAUUUUUUUGAUAGAAAAUGAGAAUACCGGAGAAGAUGAACCACAAAUUUACAUUGAAAUGAUCAAUGGAAUUAUCAAAUCCCUUCAGGUAUCAUCUCAUAUCACUUGCUUAUGAAAUUUAUUCAUCUAUACUUGAAAAGAUAUAUUUAUUUUUGUGUUGUUUCCAGGCUAUCCUUGAUGCAGUUCUCAGCACAACAAUUAUGAUUUUAUGAUGUUAGGCUAAACUAUAAAGCAAUCAUUCUUUGUUUUAGGAAACGUUUCAGAGCUUCUUUAGGCAGCUUAAUGAUGAGUUAUUGAAACAAAAUGGUGCCCCUUUAUAGCAAUGUAGUAUUAGGUUAUAUAGAUAGGAAAAACCUCUUAAUAACAACGUACAAUUAGAUCCCCUUAAUAUCAAUGUAUUACAAUUUUAUGACAUGAUGUUAUUGAAUGAAAUUGAUUGUGUAAUGGAUUGUAUUUUUUGUAUAUGGUAUUUUAUUUUCUAUUAUGAGACAUGAAAUGCAAAUUUAAUUUGAAAAUUAGUAAAUCUAUAAAUAAUUUUUAAAAAAAAUAAAAUAAAAAUUAUGAUACGCAAAAAUGUGUGUCAUCUUCAUUUAUGACAUGGCCUUUCUUGACAGUGGCUUUAAUGAUACGCAUUGCGUGUCAUAAAUACGUGUCGUCUAUAGACGACGCGCAAAAGCGCGUCGUCUCUCGUUAUGACAGGGCCUUCCUUGACGCGCAUGCGCGUCGUCUGACCGUUUUACGACUCGCAAUGAGCGUCGUAAAAGGCAUUUUUUCUAGUAGUGUUUGAGACAAGAAAUCAGAACCAAUGUACCUUCCGAGCUCGCUACUUGGCGCGUUAGACCGAGCUCGUUUGGAAUUUUCAUUCCUCAAAGUAUUAUAAAGCCUAAUUGUUUCGUUAUUUUAGUGAAAAGUGGAUCCGGGUGCCCCCAUAUUUUGCAUCACGUCAUGAAUGUUUGUUGAACCAUAUUUUGUUAAAUAAACUUCAAAUAAAUUUUGAAAAACUUUGUUAAAUUUUGAAACUUCCUUUGAUGCAUAAUCAAUGUCAUCAUCCAAUAAACCCAAAUCGUAACAAAUAUUUUCAAUUAAAGUCUCAACCCCCCCAACAUUUAGAGUUGGAUUCAAAGUGGCGGAACAAGUAAUAAUGGGAGCCAUUUCUUGAAAAUAUUUUUUUAACUUUGCUUUCAUCGGUUUCAUCAUAUUAGCAAACAUUGUGCUCCUCAUUUCAAACUCAUUUAUUUUCGCACACAUUAAAAAAAUUUGGUUUAAAACUAAACAACUUGUAGGAUAAUAAACCCCCGAUAAAAAAGUGGUUGUUUUUUUUUUAAAAAAACAUCAAGCAUGUCUGUAACAAGUUUGAUAGUAUCCCAACUUGAUUCCGGAUAAGCCGUAACCUUAUUACGGUCCGAAGGUUGUCAUGUAACAUUUUUAAAGUAUGUUUUUGACGUAAGGCACAUUCAAAAAUUUUGCAAGUGGAGUCCCAUCGGGUAUUAUUUUCCCAAUUCAGACCUAAAAAGAGGGCAUUCGCAUCGACACAAAAUUGCAUAUAAUUAUGAUAUCGAGCGUUACUAGAACUAAAAAUAUCUUUUAGCAUGUCUUUGAAACCAUCUUUUAUAGUUUCAAUGUGAGUUAGUCCAUCUUGCACAACCAAAUUAAUCAUAUGUGCAACACAUCGACUAUGAAAAAUAAACACCAUCACAAAUUGGUUUAUAUUUUAGUUUUAGUUGUCCAACCGCGACGGUGUUGUUUGAAGCAUUAUCAAAAGAUAUAGAAAAAAUCUUUCCUUCAAGUUUAUAAGUUUUGAUCACACAAUCUAAAAUUUUAAAUAAAUUUCUAUCGGUGUGCGGGUACUCAAACAAUUCAAACGUAAUCGUAUGCUUUAUCAUUACCCAAUUAGUUGGAUUAAUCCAAUGAGCGGUAACACAAAGGUACGCAUCCGGUGAACCGUCAGGAGCCGUCCAAACAUCACAAGUUAAAUUCACACCGGUUUCUAAAGAUUGAAAUCCUAAAAUCAAUUCAUUUUUUGCAAGUUUCCACAUUUCAAUACAAUCGCGUCUAAUAGAAGUACGACUCACAUGGCAAUAUCGUGGUUGGAGAGUAUCUUGGAUGAGUGAAGUCAAUCGUUUGUUGUCGAAGUGGUCAAAAGGCAAGCAUUCUUGAAUCACGAACUUCGUCAUCCUAUCCCGAACUUUAGCCAUAUCGUAACUCCACAAUGUUGCAUCAUUCGUCAUUCUUGUUUGAAUAUGUCCCGACCCAAAUUUCACCGUGGGGCAUCUUUUGGUCAUAUGAUUUUUCAAUGUCGAAUUCUCAUCUUCAUUAAAAAAAGCACCACAUUUCUUGCAUUGCGCUUUUUUAUACCGUUCGACAUUACACACAAAUCGUAGUUGCACAAAAUAGCCGGAUUUCUAUUUGUUUCUUUGAUGCUAACAACGGUAAGAGUGUUUGAUGAAUCUCGAACACCAACGGAAGCCGAAUCCAUUGUUUGAAUUAAGAGUGGUUUUUGAACUAAGAGAGGUUUGCGGUUUUUGAACUAAGAGAGGUUUUUUGAGGUUUGGUUAAGGUAAAGUUGAGACCUAAAAAUGUAAUACAUAUAUAUAUACUAUAAGGAAUAGUUAAUAUGGUAAAAAAGAAGCAAAAAUCGAGUCUUGAACAGCCUCAAACGACUAUAUAGCCGUUAGGAAAAGACAAAAAAACGGUAACAUUACAAAAACCGGUUCACCAACGGCACUUUCGAAAUCUGGUUCAAAACUGGUUCAUCACACCUGUUCAGAAUAAACCAGUUCCAAACCGGUCUCCAGGGUAAAACAUGCGAACUGGUAACAUCCGAUGGUUCGGUUCACUAUGGGUUCGGUUCUUAUGUGAACCGGUUCAAGGCUAAACCGGUUUCCGGUUCACCAACCGGUUCGGUUCCUAAACCAGUUUUUUUGCCCACGCCUACCACUAGCUAGUCUAGGUGGGCUUUUAGUACGGGGGUUUUCAUGAGGAAUAGGUUGAAAGGAGUGUUGGCAUCUCACUGCCGUCAUCUGUUACCAUUUCAUAAGGAGUGGUAGCAUUCCUAGCACAUUAGAUUUUUUUUUUUUGAUUUUUUUUUUUGAACUUAAAUAAAUUAUAUUUUUAUAAAACACAAACAAUUCAAUAUUAAUCAAGAAACUAACUACAUUUUAUAGAUAAAUUUACCUUAUUUAAACAAGGAUUAAUAGAAAGGUCAAAUAAAAUUUAAAUGGUUAACGACAUGCUUAAAAUUUUACAAAUAUAUUGAUUUUGUAACGACACAAUUUUCUACUCUAUCAAGGUAAAGAAACAUUUAUGUUAAUAAUAAAGUGACACUUUAAUAUAUAUCUUCAAAUAAUUAUUAAAAAUAAAUAAUACUAUAAAAAAUUACCAAUACUAUCUAGAAACAAAAACCACUCACAGCACGGAAUUUACAAAACAACCAUCCAACUUCCUUAUUUUUUUGAAAGAGCUUUUACGAUCUCCAUUUCCAUUUCCUUUUUUUCUUAAAAUUACAUCUUACAUCUUCCAAUUUGCUAUUAUCAUUUCUUAAGUUUGUGAAAGUAGACUAUUCCACAAAACUACUCCUCCAAUUGUGUGAAACACGAAGCAAAAGCGAGACCUUUGAGCUUUUUCUUAAAAAAUAAUCCUUGUUUGAGAUGGAGACCACACCAUUGAUGGGAGAAAUGAAGGUUCUAGAGAACGAUUGUAAGAGGAAGAUUAUUGUAUCCACAGGCCAAUAUCCAACAAAUCUCUUUCUCUUUCUUCUCGCUAUGGUGUUGACGAGCCAUGGCUGGCGACUUCCUUGGCGCAAGCCAGGGGGCGGCCUUCAGCGCCCUUGGCGACCGGUGGCGACCUCCAUAGCGAGGCCCACUCCCUAAAGCCUUAUAACACACCAUUUAUUGACCAAGUUUACCCAACAAUGCAUCCCAAUUCAUUAGAUUUGUCUUAUCAUUAUACUUUUUAUACAAUUUCAUCAUUUUUCUAUAAUAUAUUAAAACUCUAUGAAAAUUCAAAAGAAUAUACUUUUGAAUUUUCAUAGAAUUUUAUUAUAUUAUAGAAAUAUGGUGAGAAUCCUAGAUGCUUUUAUCUCUCUUUCAGACUUAAAAGCCAGUAUGCGUUCAAUAAGUACGUGGCCAACUCCGGACCUAGCUUUUGCGAACGUGGGACGUUCACUUCGGAUAGCCUCGAAAUGAGUACCUCUUACUUUAAAAAUUUAUAACUUUGGCAUACGAGCUCCGUUUUCGACAUUCACUUUCAUUUAGACUCUGUUUGCUAAUUUUGAUUUUUAUUUUUAAAUUUAUAUUUUUUAACAGGCCGGGACUGGAAAAGCCCGUUAAAAAUUCAUAACUUCUUCAUCCGACGUUCGUUUUCGUAUGACUUUUUACCAUUAAACUACUAUCGACGAGAUUUUUGAUUCUCAUUUACAUUGUGUUGGAUAAAAAUCGCUCGAUCUAUACUUCGAACUACGGGCUGCACAAUGUUAUGCCAAAUCUUAGAAAAUUCAUAACUUCCUCAUACGAAGCUAGAUUUGGAUUUCUUUUUUAUGCACGCUCUUGGUUUAACGUAUACUACGAUUUUCAUUUAGAUUGCUAAGGCUAAAAAACACUUUAUCGUAAACUCACUUUUCACGUCACACAAUGUCAUGUCAGUUUUGUCGCGAAACUUCGAUAUGUCAUAAAUUCUUCGUGAUCAGGGCCGAUCUUGAAAAAUGAAAUAUUCUUGGAGCCCCAGGACGAGCAAGAAAAAAAUGGCCCUUAUCUUUAUUAUAAUUUUGUAAUUUUAAAUAAAAAUAUAUAAUGAAAAAAAUUAGGCCAUGUGCAGCUGCCCACUUUGCCUCCUUCUAAGCCCCCAUUGUUCAUGAUAACUCGGAUUUCAGCGUUCUUUAUAUUUCUGGAGUCCUUGUCACGACCACUACAACUUUCUUCAUAGAUAUCGGGUUUAUAUAACAUUUUAUUUUUGACGCUUAUUUUUAUUCUUAAUUAAUUAUAUCAUUAUAAACAAGUAUAUAAUCACAUAAAAUCACGUAAUUCACAUAAUACUCAAGUAAUUCAUCUUUAUUACAUUAAAAUAGGUUACAAUGGUUGACCUUGACUAUUACAUCAUCAUACUAAUGUGAAACAACCUAAAAUACGACCCAAUUUUUUUUUUGUUAAAAUAAUACUAAAGAUAUCAACCAUCAUAAUAUAUCAUGAAAUCGUACGUCAUAAAUCCCCAAAAAGUUAUAAUAGAUAUGUCAUGACAAAAGAGUUGUAUCAACAUACCAUAGUAUCUAAAAUAAACUCCCAGGACAAAAGUUGAAACUGUGGUGUGUGCAAUGUCAUCAUCCUGAGCUCUUUCCUUUGCUUGCGGAAAUACCUGAAACCAAAACUGAAACUGUAAGCACAAAGCUUAAUGAGCUCCCCCAAACUACCACAUACCAUACAAUAGCAUAUACAACACAUACUAGGCCUUGCCCACUGCAUCGGACCGAAGUCCGGAAAUUGCAUCGGACCGAAGUCCAGAACUAACCAAGGCCUUGCCCUCUGCAUCGGACCGAAGUCCGGAACUACAUCAGACCGAAGUCCGGAAACUAACCAGGGCCUUGCCCUCUGCAUCGGACCGAAGUCCGGAACUAACUGCAUCGGACUGAAGUCCGGAACUGACUGCAUCGGACCGAAGUCCGAAAUUGUCUGAACAUAACAUAUCAUAAACAUCUCAACCAGUAUGAACACAUAAACUGCAUAUCGCAUCAGACCGAAGUACGAAACACAUAACACAAAUACAUGCUUGAAUCACAAAGACAUCAAGCAUUCUAAGUACUGCAACGGACGGAGGUCCGAAACUUCUGCUAACUAAACCGACCGGCAUUGUAGCCGUAGACCCGUUCCUACUGGAAGGAAAACUCACCUCGUAAUGCUGGCUGCUGAGAUGCUAACUCUAAAAGUGACUGACCGCUGCUUCGGAACUGUCCGACUACAAAUCCCAGAAACACUAGAUUAGUUACUUGCAUAUACCCUCAGGGUAAGAUGACUAUUUUGCCCCUGGUCAAAGUCAACUUCUAGUUGACCGGACUCGCCGACUAUGGGCGCAGAACCGCCGAGUCCCUCCUUUACUAACUCUGACUUUAACUCACCGAGUCCCUUUCCCACUCACUGACUCUCUCUGAACUCGUAGGUCGAAGAAAAAAGGGGACUCACGACUCGACUCGUCGAGUCUGAAGAACAACUCGCCGAGUCCUGCCGUGCAUAUUCCAAACAAACGAAUUCAAAACUAUUCCAGAGCAUCUGACUUGAAGAUCUGAGCCCUUGGAACUAUCUAAACACGUGAAGUUUCUAACUUUACGUGCAACUAAGAAGGAAUGAAGCUAUUUCACUCAAACACUACUUUUCUUGGGAAAACUCAUCCGACUCGCCGAGUUGUAUGAACAACUCGUCGAGUCUAAGGUGAUCUUCAUCGGACUCGCAGAGUUGCUCAUCAAACUCGUCGAGUCUACGACUAUCUUCAUAUGACUCGCCAAGUCACACAUGCGACUCGCCAAGUCCAUUCAGUCCCUUUUUCCAUACAGACCUGAUUUGGGCCAUGCAGUGGCUCCAAAUCACAGAUCCAAGAUUCUAGGGCAUGCUUAUCACGUAAAUUUGCAAACUUUACGUGCAUGCAUGGCUUUAAAGGCUUCAAAUGCCAACCCUAAGCUCUUAAUGGGGUUCCAAGCUCAAGAGGGACCUCAAUCACGACCAUAACCGAAACUUUACUCUUCUAGAAUGCAAUGAGAGUCUAGAUCUGAUGUUUCCAUAAAAGGGGAAGUCCAUCUCUCAAGUUUGAACCAUAAGAGGCUCCAAAGAGGGCAUAACAAGCAUAUAUGAGGUUAUAAUGGGGGAAUGCACAAGGUCAUAACUUCAUUACCUGAAUGAAAAACAGAUGUAAGCUAACUCCUAGAUUUUCCUUCCCUUCUAUGGACCUUCCUUCCUUCCCAAAGCUUCCAAGCUAUCACAAAUACCCUCAAACUCAACAAUGGGGCUAGGGUUUACAAGGGAAAUGUUAUGAGAGUGAUAGAGGCGAGGUUGGGGGCGCAUAAGUGUGUUUAAAUAGGGUGAAAACCCUUAAAAUUAGGGCUUCAUCCAGACAGGCGGACUCGCCGAGUCCAACGUAUGGACUAGUCGAGUAGCCAUCUCAAAACGCGUGAUCGUCCCGUCUCUACUUGACGAGUCAGGCUACAGACUCGUCGAGUACCCCUUCAGAAAUGAAAAUACUUUAUUUGAAUUACAUACCAGAAAUGGGGCGUUACAACUCUCCCCCACUUAUCUUAGACUUUGUCCUCGUAGUCUGCUGCUGCUGCUGAAAAUAACUCUGGGUAAUGCUCCCUCAUCUCCUACUCGGACUCCCACGUCCACUCUGAACCCUUUCGGUGCUGCCACAACACCUUCACUAGCUGAACCACCUUGUUCCUCAAGGUCUUCGUCUUCCAAUCUAUGAUCGCAACUGGUCUCUCGAUAUAAUUCAGGCUGCUAUCAACCUGAAUAUCCUCCAAGGGUACAACUGCUGACUUGUCCACCAAACACUUUCGCAACUGGGAAACAUAGAAAGUGUUGUGGAUCUGGCUAAGCUCUACCGGAAGAUCCAACCGAUAAGCAACCCGACCCACCCGGACCAAAACCCUAAAAGGGCCAAUGAACCUGGGACCCAGCUUGCCUCUCUUCCGAAACUUGAUAACACCCUUCCAAGGUGAUACCUUCAGGAGGACCAUAUCGCCCACCUGAAACUCCAAGUCCGAACGCCUCUUGUCGGUGUAACUCUUCUGCCUACUCUGUGCAGUCUGCAGUCUACUACGAACCUGCUGGAUCAACUCUGUGGUCUUGAGCACCAUUUCAGUGCUCCCAAUGACUCACUGACCAACCUCGCCCCAACAAAUCGGAGUCCUGCACUUCCUUCCGUAUAGCAUCUCGAAAGGAGGACGUUUAAUACUAGUGUGGUAACUAUUGUUAUACGGAAAUUCCGCUAGUGGGAGAUACGUAUCCCAACUACCACCGAAGUCUAGAACACAUGCCCGGAGUAUGUCCUCGAGAGUCUGAAUUGUCCUCUCACUCUGCCCGUCCGUCUGGGGGUGGAAGGCGGUGCUAAAAUGAAGACGAGUCCCCAUCUCGUCAUGAAACUGCUUCCAAAAUCUGGAAGUAAAACGGACGUCUCGGUCUGACACUACCGAAACAGGCACUCCGUGCUGUGCUACUACCUCGCGUACAUAGAUGUGGGCUAGCUUCUUAGCCGAUAUGCUCUCCUAGAUCGGUAUAAAAUGUGCGCUCUUGGUCAGCCGAUCCAUUAUGACCCAAAUCGAAUCCACUCCCCGUGCGGUCCUGGGAAGCUUGGUGACAAAAUCCAUGGUAAUGUCCUCCCAUUUCCAUAUGGGAAUAUCUAACGGCAGCAUCUUGCCGUGGGGUCUCUGGUGCUCUGCCUUGACCUUCCUGCAGGUCAGGCAUCUCCCCACAUUCCAGGCGACAUCCUGCUUCAUGCAGGGCCACCAAUAGUCGGGUCGAAGAUCUCUGUAGAUCUUCGUUGCCCCUGGGUGGAUGGAAAAUCAAGAAUUAUGAGCCUCGUCCAUCAAUACCUGCCAUACUCCGCCCCAGUACAGUACCCAAACCCUCCCAUGGAGGGUCAACAAUCGUUAACUGUCAUAAUCAAAGGAAGCUACUCGGUCCACGAUUCUCUCACACUUCUGCCUCUCCUCCUUGAGGCCCUCGACGUGUGCCUCCCUGAUCUGCUCCAACAAGGGAGUAAUCACUGUCAUCCUCAAGCAUACAUCCCUGAUCGGGGCCGCUGCCGUCUUGUGGCUCAGGGCGUCGGCCACUACGUUGGCCUUCCCCGGGUGAUAAAGGAUCUCACAGUCGUAAUCCUUCACCACAUCUAACCACCGACGCUGCCGCAUGUUAAGAUUCGGCUGGUCCAUGAGGUACUUCAGACUCUUGUGAUCCGUGUAGAUGGUGCAACGGACCCCAUAGAGGUAGUGUCUCCAAAUCUUGAGGGCGAACACCACUGCCCCCAACUCCAAAUCAUGCAUCGGAUAGUUAGCCUCGUGAGACUUCAACUGUCUGGAGGCAUAAGCUAUCACAUGCCCCCGUUGCAUCAACACUGCCCCCAUAUCUGCGAUCGAGGCAUCACAGUAGACUACAAAAUCAUCCACUCUCUCCGGCAAGGUCAGAAUCGGUGCCUCGCACAAUCGCUGUCUGAGAGUCUCGAAAGUCGCCUGCUGCUCAGGCCCCUAACGAAACACCACCGACUUCUUGGUUAGUCGGGUGAGUGGAACUGCUAUCUUGGAGAAAUACUGAAUGAAUCUCCUGUAGUACCCUGCCAAACCUAGGAAGCUCUGAAUCUAUGAUGGAGACUUUGGGACCUCCCACUGCAUCAUGGCCUCUAUCUUGGCCGGAUCUACCAGUAUACCCUUCUGGUUGAUGAGGUGCCUAAGGAAUUGCACCUCGCGCAACUAGAACUCGCACUUGGAGAACUUUGCUAAAAGUUUCUCCCUCCUCAAGACCUCUAGCACCUCCCUUAGGUGCUCCUCGUGCUGCUCCUGAGUCUUGGAAUAAACCAAGAUGUCAUCGAUGAAUACAAUCACAGACCGGUCCAACAUCGGCAUGCACACGCGGUUCAUGAGUUCCAUGAACGCGGAUGGAGCGUUGGUGAGCCCAAACGACAUCACCACAAACUCAUAAUGACCAUAACGGGUCCUAAAAGUUGUCUUCUGAACAUCCUCACCCCUGACCCGCAUCUGAUGAUAACCGGAGCGCAAAUCAAUCUUGGAAAACCAAGACGCUCCUUGAAGCUAAUCGAACAAGGCAUCUAUCCUCGGAAGUGGGUAACGGUUAUUCACCGUUACCUUGUUCAACUCCCAGUAGUCUAUGCACAUACGGUGCGACCCAUCCUUCUUCUUCACAAACAAGAUUGGGGCUCCCCAUGGAGAACUAAUUAGUCUAAUGAAACCCUUGUCUAGCAGCUCCUGCAGCUGCGUAUACAACUCCUGCAUUUCUGGAGGAGCCAACCGAUACGGCGCCUUGGCUAUCGGAGCCGCACCAGGAACCAAGUCAAUCUUGAACUCAACCUGUCUCUCUGAAGGUAUCCCAGGUAAUUCCUCUGGGAAUGAGUCCGGGUACUCUCGCACCACUGCUACAUCAUCUACUGUCAUCGUACUCUUAUCCCGGGUAUCCAUCACAUAUGUGACAUAACCUGCUUAACCCUGUUGGAAGUAGCGCCUCACUCUCACUGCUGAACAAAGAAUCGGUCCGCGUUGUGGGCUCUCGCCCUGAAUCACUAACUCUCCCCCGUUGGGAGUGCGAACCCUCACUAGCUGCAAUUCGCAAUCAAUCAUCGCCCCAUUGGGGCUCAACCAAUCCAUGCUUACUAUGGCCUUGUUCCCUCGCAAAGGAAUAGGGACCAUGUCCACCGAAAACUGCUCAUCGAAUAACUGCAGUGAGCAUGCCUUAUGCACCCUCGUGACCCUGACGGUCCUAUCAUCGGCUAUCUCCACCUCGAGUGGACAAUCCAGCUCCCUAGGAUCUCUGCUAAACCUCUUGCUAAGUGCAAGAGAGACAAACGAUCGGGUAGCCCCUGAAUCAAAUGACACUGUAGCUGAAAUGUCGUUCACUAAGAACGACCCUAUACAUAAACAUAUAACAUUAGAAACAAUCAAUAAUCAAUGCAUAGAUAAAAGGAAAAUACAUACCCGUCACCACGUCAGGAGUCGCUCGCGCCUCCUCUGCUGUUAUCUGAAAAGCUCUACUCUUCGCCACUGGCACCUCGGCCCGCCCCUGACGACCGUUCGUAAUCCUCAAUGUAGCAGGGGCAGGUGCCGACACCUUCCCUGCUGCUGCUAAGCUUGGGCACUGGGACUUUUUAUGUCCCCUCUGAUUGCAAUGGAAGCAAAUCAGAUCUGAUGCUGCGGUAGCUGUGGUAGAAACUGUACAAUCUCUGCUCAUAUGCCUAGUCCAACCGUACUUGUAGCAGCCGGAACUCCCUGCCUUGCACGCCCCAUCGUGUAAUCUCCCACACUUGCCACACCGACUGUGGCUCUGCUGACCUCUGGACCUAUGAUCCGAAACCUUGGGCUUCUUGCCCAAACUCCCUGUACCCGAAGCCGCCUCCGCCUUCCUCUUAUUCUCCAUCUCAAGAUCAAUCUCUCUCUCUCUCUCUCUCUCUCUCGCCCUUGCAAUCAUAUCAUCCAGCAUCUUACAGCUGGAUCGGCUCACAAACUGGCGGAUAUCACUCCGCAGCGUCUCAUGAUAACGGGCCUUCUUCAUUUCCUCGUCAGCUGCGUACUGAGGAACAAGAAGAGCCCUCUCCCUGAACUUGGCGGUAAUCUCCGCCACUGUCUCUAUAGUCUGAGUAAGGUCUUGAAACUCUCUAGCUAACUGUUGCACCUCAAUAGUCGGUGCGAACUCGGCUCUGAACCUGGUGGUAAAAUCAGCCUAAGUCAUAGUAUCAAGUGCUAUGUCAUCCCUGAUACCAUGCCCAACCUCCUCCCACCAGUCACAUGCCCUAUCCUUCAGGAGACAGGAUGCUAAUCUGACCUUGUCCCCUUCGGGACAUCUGCUAGUGCGGAACACGUUGGCAACAUCUGCCAACCACCUAGUGCUCGCAAUGAGGUCCCGCACCCCAUGAUAGCCUGGAGCUCCACAAGCCCGAAACUCCCUGAAGGUGAGUGUGCGCGACCCCAUCAUGGCCGCCAUCUCAGCACGAAAUGUGCUCAACUUCUCAUCCAUCAACUCCAAGAUACCCUCCUUGAUCGAACCGAAGAUCACAGGACUCUGCUCAAGUAUGAUACGGGUAACCUCUGAAGUGAAAAACUCCCUAGUUUGCUCAUCCAACUGCUCGGCCCCCCAGCCUGAUCCUGAUCCUUCCUCGGCACCUGAGCUGCCGACUGCUGGCCUAGGGCGUAAAACCACCAUUCUGAAAACACAUCAUGAUAAACGUCAAAAACACUGAUAUAUCUCUAGGGAUCGCUACUACUAUAGGUUUCCUGGUCUCGCCUCUGCCUUCCUUGAUUCAAGUACAAAUCCUCAACAAAAACCAGUCCUCAACUGCUGAAGGCCUCCUUGUAAUGCCAAUUAGUCAUCACCUGAAUAUCAUCACAUGUGACGAGACUCAGAUAAUCCUUCGAGUAAAAGACUCAUUCCUACAACGGAUGGACUCAAACAAGAGCUGCGCAGUAGAGCCAAAUCCAGCACUCUGAGAUUAUUCAACCCUGAUCUCAGGCGAUGUGUCGUAUUCACCUAAUGGUUAACUCUCAUUACCCGGAGUCUCAUAAAGCACAAAGCAAGCAGCAUUCGGACACAGGAAACUAAUCAAGCCACUCUAUUCUCAUAACAAGAAAUUGUACUAGCAUACAAUGUUAAGCUCGUACUGUCAGGCAUAACCUAAACAGGCUAUCCUACUGCUGUCUACUCAAUACUAGCAUGCAGUUCUCAUAAAGCUGAAGCACAUAUAGCAUGCACAUAAGGCAUCCUGCUAGAUCCUUAGUCCUAUUCUAGCAUGCUGUUCUACUGAAACUAAAACUGAUAAUCAUAACAUAAACUUGUAUGGGUAAUUUAGGGGUACUUACUUGAGCUCGACUGAUCGCAUGCACCACACCCUUUUCUCGUUUUCAAAACUCUUUUCUUUUUAAGUCUCUUUCUCAAAAGUUCUUUUGAACACAUUUUUCUUUCGAAAAUCUUUUUUCUAUUUCCUCAGUUUGAGUUCAGUUACACCCGUAAGUGUGUCUGAAUCCCUCAAACCAAGGCUCAGAUACCAACUUGAAAUAACCCAAAAUACAACCCAAUUUUUUUUUGUUAAAAAAAUACUAAAGAUAUCAACCAUCAUAAUAUAUCAUGAAAUCGUACGUCAUAAAUCCCCAAAAAGUUAUAAUAGAUGUGUCAUGACAAAAGAGUUGUAUCAACAUAACAUAGUAUCUAAAAUAAACUCCCAUGACAAAAGCUGAAACUGUGGUGUGUGCAAUGCCGUCAUCCCGAGCUCUUCCCUUUGCUUGCGGAAGUACCUGAAACCAAAACUGAAACUGUAAGCACAAAGCUUAGUGAGCUCCCCCAAACUACCACAUACCAUACAAUCAUAUAAAACACAUAUUGGGCCUUGCCCACUGCAUCGGACCGAAGUCUAGAAAAUGCAUCGGACCGAAGUCCGGAACUAACCAGGGCCUUGCCCUCUGCAUCGGACCAAAGUCCAGAACUGCAUCGGACCGAAGUCUGGAAACUAACCAGGGCCUCGCCCUCUGCAUCGGACCGAAGUUCGGAACUAACUGCAUCCAACCGAAGUCCGGAAUUGUCUGAACAUAACAUAUCAUAAACAUCUCAACUAGCAUGAACACAUAAACUGCAUACCGCAUCGGACCGAAGUCCGAAACACAUAACACAAAUACAUGCUUGAAUCACAAAGACAUCAAGCAUUCUAACUACUGCAACGGACAGAGGUCCGGAACUUCUGCUAACUAAACGGGCCGGCAUUGUGGCCGUAGACCCGUUCCUACUGGAAGGAAAACUCACCUCGUAAUGUUGGCUGCUGAGAUGCAAACUCUAAAAGUGGCUGACCGCUGCUCCGGAACUGUCCGACUACAAAUCCCAGAAACACUAGAUUAGUUACUUGCAUAUACCCUCAGGGUAAGAUGACUAUUUUGCCCCCGGUCAAAGUCAACUUCUAGUUGACCGGACUCACCGAGUCAGGGCGCAGACUCGCCGAGUCCCUCCUUUACUAACUCUGACUUUAAUUCACAGAGUCCCUUUCCCACUCACUGACUCUCUCUGAACUCGUAGGUCGAAGAAAAAAGGGGACUCACGACUCGACUCGUCGAGUCUGAAGAACAACUCGCCGAGUCCUGCCGUGCAUAUUCCAAACAAACGAAUUCAAAACUAUUCCAGAGCAUCUGACUUGAAGAUCUGAGCCCUUGGAACUAUCUAAACACGUGAAGUUUCUAACUUUACGUGCAACUAAGAAGGAAUGAAGCUAUUUCACUCAAACACUACUUUUCUUGGGAAAACUCAUCCGACUCGCCGAGUUGUAUGAACAACUCGUCGAGUCUAAGGCGAUCUUCAUCAGACUCGCCGAGUUGCUCAUCCAACUCGUCAAGUCUACGGCUAUCUUCAUAUGACUCUCUGAGUCACGCAUGCGACUCGCCGAGUCCAUUUAGUCCCUUUUUCCAUACAGACCUGAUUUGGGCCAUGCAUUGGCUCCAAAUCACAGAUCUAAGCUUCUAGGGCAUUCUUAUCACGUAAAUUUGCAAACUUUACGUGCAUGCAUGGCUUUAAAGGCUUCAAAUGCUAACCCUAAGCUCUUAAUGGGGCUCCAAGCUCAAGAGAGACCUCAAUCAUGACCAUAACAGAAACUUUACUCUUCUAGAAUGCAAUAAGAGUCCAGAUCUAAUGUUUCCAUAAAAAGGGGAAGUCCAUCUCUCAAGUUUGAACCAUAAGAGGCUCCAAAGAGGGCAUAACAAGCAUAAAGGAGGUUAUAAUGGGGGAAUGCACAAGUUCAUAACUUCAUUACCUGAAUGAAAAAUAGAUGUAAGCUAACUCCUGGAUCUUCCUUCCCUUUUAUGGACCUUCCUUCCUUCCCAAUGCUUCCAUGCUAUCACAAAUACCCUCAAACUCAACAAUGGGGCUAGGGUUUACAGGGGAAAUGUUCUGAGAGUGAUAGAGGCGAGGUUGGGGGCGCAUAAGUGUGUUUAAAUAGGGUGCAAACCCUUAAAAUUAGGGCUUCAUCCAGACAGGCGGACUUGCCGAGUCCAGCGUAUGGACUCGUCGAGUAGCCAGCUCAAAACGUGUGAUUGUCUCGUCUCUACUCGACGAUUCGGGCUACAGACUCAUCGAGUACCCCUUAAUAAAUGAAAAUACUUUAUUUGAAUUACAUACCAAAAAUGGGGCAUUACAUAAUGCUUAGCCCAGAAACACGGACGUUACACUUCUCUCCUCCUUAGGAUGAUGCCAUCCCCAGAAUCAUACAUCAACAAACUAAUGCGGAUAGCGACUCAUCAUGUCACUCUCCAUUUCCUAGGUGAGAUUUGACUCAUUCGUAUGUUUCCGUCGCACAAGUAGUAAGUCAACCAUCUUGUGACGCAACUUCUUCGUCUUAUGGUCAACAAUCGCCUCCGGUUCUUCAACUAGCCUCUUAUUUUCAUCCAUCCUUAGCUCAUAAAUUAGAAUUAUGUCAGGAACUUCUCCCAUGAAUUUCCUCAAAUAACUCACAUGGAAAGUGUUAUGAAUAAUGUCUAGUUCUUCUGGUAGUUCUAGCUUGUAGGCUUGGUUCCCAAUCCUCUGAAGAACUUUGAACGGUCCAAUGAAUCUUGGACUUAACUUCCCUUUUUCCCGAAUCUUAUAAGUUCCUUGUAGCACCUGGUUCCUGGUAUGUAAUUUAUUUAAAUAUUUUGCAUUUUUGGCCUUGGACUCGGCAAGUUGAAGGACCAACUUGCCGAGUAGAAGCGGGAUGGGACGUGGGAUUUAAGUGAUGGACACGUCGAGUCGGGUCCCGGACUCGACGAGUAGGCUCUGACUGAAAAACCCUAAUCCGAGGGUUUGCACCCUAUUUAAUCAUCUCAUUUUCCCCUAAUGCUCCCAGAAACCCUCCCUAGUAAACCCUAAGUGUUUUGGUGCAAGAUCUAAGGCUUUUGAGUGAUUUUUGUGGGUUUUGACCUCAAGGAAUAAGGAAGAGCAUAGAAGGAUCAAGAGGAGACUGAAGGAUUAGAGUUUGGUGCAUCAUUUUCAGUCCUUGAAAGGUAUAAAUUAUGUACCUUGCUUGUUCAUUUGUUAGAUCCUUUUUUGGGGAAGAUUUAGGGCUUCUUAAGUCAUAUGAGGUGGCCAAACAUGGUUGGGGGUCAAGACUUCGGAUCUAAGUCUUGGAAGGAGUCCCAAAGCAGAUUUGGGUUGCUUUUGCACCCAAGGAAGGUCCCAUGCAACAUAAGAGCCAUUUUAGAGCCUUUUUGGGUCAAAAGUCCCAUGCAUGCACGUAAAGUUCGAAACUUUACGUUCUAGAUCGAGCUUAGGGCUUGGAUCUAUCUUUUUGUCAAAGGUUGUACAUCAGAAAUCGAGGAUUUAGGGUGUGGAUGUUAUCGAAUCGGCGAGUCAGUUCUUGGGACACGACGAGUCCAAAGCAUAGGGUCUGUUAUCUGUUGAGGGUCAAAAGAACCCAGUUGGGUGUUAGAAGGGUUGUAGAAGGUCCGAGAGAGUGACCCAACGUGUUGGACUUAGCCUUAGACUUGGAAUUCAUGGGACUCGUCGAGUGCUAGAACAGACUCGGCGAGUCCAAGGCAAUCUCCUUAUCGAUGAAGAUGAACUCGACGAGUUGUUCAUACAACUCGGCGAGUCGGGGUCAGGACUUGUUCAUCAGAUGAAGGUGAACUCGACAAGUGUUCAUCCGACUCGGCGAGUCGGAUGAAGGUUCAUUGAUGUUCGUAAAGAAAGGGAACUCGUCGACUUGUUGCCAAACUCGACGAGACGAGUCGUGGAUAAGGACGAGUAAAGGAAAGGGACUCGACGAGUUNAACUCGGGGAGUCGGGUCAACUGGAAGUUGACUUUGACUUGGACUUGGUUGGGGGUAAAAUAGUCAUUUUACCCCAAGAGUAGAUAUUAGUUUUCUGACUGAGUAUUUUGUGGGGAUUAUAGCCGGAGGAUUUCCGAAGCAACAGCAGGCAGAGGUUUCCUGCACAUAUUAUCAGCAGCUACUUGUUCGAGGUGGGUUGCCUACCAGUAGCGGUGGGUCUACGACCACAAUGUCGGCCCACCAAUAGGAGUUGUAUAAUUAUAUGAUUGUCUUUGUGAUAUCAUCUAGGUUGCUUCUACCUGAUAUGUUAUAUGCUGGCAUGAUAUGUUAUAUGUGAUAGUAGUAGAGUUCGGUUGUUAGGACCGAAGGGUAGGUCAAACACCCCAGAUAUGUAUGACAGUAUGUGAUGAUAUGUUUAUAUGCCGACAUGACAUGUUAUAUGGGAUAGUGGUAGUAGGAGGGGAACAGUCCCCAAGUUCGGUUGUUAGAACCGAAGGGUAGUUCAGACACCCCAGAUAUGUCUGAUAGUAUGUUUAUGUUAUGAUAUAUGUGAUAGUAGUGGUACGUGUGGAAUAGUCCCCGAGGGUCGGUCUUUAGGACUGACGGGUAGGUCAGCACCCCAAAAAGACUUGACAGGGGUAGGACGACACCCCAGAAUGGCCGCACGGGUAGGUCGGCACCCCAGAAUGGCCGUACCGGGUAGGCCGGGCACCCUAGAAUUGCCUGGCAGUAUGUAUGCUAUGUGAUUGUAUGGUAUGUGGUACGAUGGGGGAACUUACUAAGCUUCCUGCUUACAGUUUACAGUUUUGGUUUCAGGUACCUCUUCAACAAAGGGGAAGGAGCUGGCGCGGUAGCGGCACAUCAUACACACAUGUUGGUUUCCGCACUAGUGUUUCUUGGGUCGUUACAAGUUGGUAUCAAAGCCCUGAUCUGAGGGAUUCGGACACACCUUGGGGGUGUCUGGACUCAAAUCGAGGGAUUAAAAGACUUUUACAAGAAAAAUGGUUUCUUAAAAGCUAAGAUAAAAGAGUUUUGGGAAAGAACAAAGUGUGUGAUGUGCGCGACCGGCCGAGCUCAAGUAAGUAUUCCCCAAAGUACCCAUACAAGUUUAUGUUAUGUUUAUCAGUUUCAGUAGAAUAGCAUGCUAGAAUAGGACUGAAGAUCUAGGAAUGAUGGCUUAUGUGUCUGCUUUAUGUGCUCCAGCUUAUGAGAAUUGCAUGCUAGUAUUAAGUAGAAAAUAAUAGGAUAGUCUGUUUAGGUUAUGCCUGGUAUUAUGAGCUCAGCAUUGUAUGAUGGUACAACUUCUCGUUAGGAGAAUAGAGUUGUUUGAGUAGUUUCCUGUGUCCGAAUGAUGCUUGCUCAGUGCUUGUAGGACUCUGAAUGAUGGCCGUUAGCCAUUAGGUGAGUACGUCGCGUCGCAUGUCAUUAGGAUUGAAUAAUCUCAGAGUGCUGGAUUUGGCCCUAUUGCGCGGCUCUCGUUUGAGUCUAACCGUUGUAGGGACGAGUCUUUUACUUGAAGGAUUAUCUGAGCCUUGUUACAUGUGAUGGUAUUUAGGUGAUGGCUAAUUGAUAUCACAAGGAGGCCUUCAACAGCCGAGGACCGGUUUGGGUAGAGUCAGAGAUUUUCCCUAGGGUAAGCCUACGAUGAGAGUAGCAGAGAUCAGCAGUGGAAAAAGGGACUUGGUGGAGUCGAGGCCGUCCUUGAGGAAAGUACGGAUAGAUAUGGAAGGUAGUAUGGGCCCGUACUACAGAAAGCAGAGGAUCCGUACUCGAAUUAAGGAAGGCUAAGGCAAGACCAAGGAACUUGUGAUGGGUGUGAUCCCUAUAGAUGUACUAGUAUCACUGACGGAUGUCAUGAUGUAUUGCGGAAUGGUGGUACUAAGGCCAAGGCCAGCAGUGGGUAGCUCAGGAGAGGGAUCGGGUUCGGGUUCAGGCUCCGAACCAGUGGACGAGAGGCUACGCGAGUUCAUCGCGUCUAAGAUCACUAUAGGCAUCCUUGAUGCGACCCCGAUCAUCUUUGGGUCGAUCAAGGAAGGGAUUGUUGAGCUGAUGGAGGAUCGCCUUAGGGCGCUCAGGAGUGACAUGGCGACCAGCCAGUCAGGAUCCCGCAUACUAUCCUUUAAGGACUUCAGGGGCAGUGGCGCGCCGGACUUCCACGGGGAAAAGGACCCCAUUUCUGCUAGACGAUGGAUUGCGGACAUGGAGUCUGCACAGCUGACAAGCUUCUGCCCCGAGGGGCCGAAGGUGAGAUAUGCAGCAGGGUGUUUGAGAGACAGAGCUAGAGAUUAGUGGGAGUCUGUUGUUGACUCCUUGGGAGCCUCGGCUGUUGAGGCUAUGACCUGGUUAGACUUUGUGACCAGAUUCAGGGCGGAGUUUGCGCCAGCUGUAGAGCUUCAGCAGCUGGCCAGAGAGUUUUUGGAUAUGAGACAGACUACGGAGACUGUGGCGGAGAUCACCGCCAACUUCUGGGAGAGGGCAUUGCUUGUGCCCCAGUAUGCGGGAGAUGAGGACAUGAGGAUGACCCGCUAUCAUGACAUGCAGCGAGCCGAAAUUCGGGAGCAUGUUAGUUUUUCAGCUUGCCCUACCCUAGAUUCCAUGAUUUCCAGAUCAAGGGAGAGGGAGAUCGAUCUAGAACAUGUCCAGAAGAGGAAGGUAGAGGAGGGGCAGACGAUUGGGGCUUCGGAGAAGAAGCCUAAGGGAUCAGAUGGUAGGCCGAAAGGCCAGUCAGGACCAGGCCACUGCAGGAAAUGCGGCAGGCCACAUGAGGGGGCGUGUAGAUUGGGAUUGUCGGGCUGCUACAAGUUCGACAAGACGGGGCAAUUCAGCAGAGAUUGUACCGCCCCUACACCAGUUAUUCAGACGUCUGAGUUGCUGUGUUUUCAAUGCAACCAGAGGGGCCACAAGAAAGACAACUGCCCCCAGUUAACAGCAGCAACAGUGCCAGUGAAGGCGCCAGGUCUAGCGACCCUGCGAAUUACUGAUGACUGGAAGGCCAAGGCUGAGGCUCCAGUGGUGAGGAGUCGGGCCUUCCAGUUGACUACCGAGGAGGCACGCGCUGCACCCGAUGUGGUAACAGGUAUGACUUCUUGUUUAUGCUUUUAUGAUAUGCUGCUGUGAUUUUGAUAUGUUAUGUAUGUGCUCUGUUUAGGAUCGUUCCAUGUGAACGGUAUCCCAGUUCAAGUAUUGUUUGAUUCGGGUGCUACCCGAUCAUUUGUCUCUCUUGCGCUUAGCAAGAAGUUUCCUGAGUCUUCGGGCAUGUUGGAUUGCCCUUUAGAGGUUGAGAUUGUAGACGACAGGUCGGUACGAGCAUUAGAGGUCUUCCGAGAUUGUGUUUUGAGGUUGUUCGAGGAGCGUUACAUGGUAGACUUGAUUCCCAUACCCUUGCGGGGGAACAAGGUUAUUAUCGACAUGGAUUGGUGGAGCCCCAAUAGGGCGGUGAUAGAUUGCGCACAAUAGUUGGUGCGAGUCAGGACCCCAGGAGGGGGAGAUUUAGUGAUUUAGGGUGAGAGCCACAGCGAGGGCCAACCUUAUGUUCGGCAACGAGGACAAGGCGUUACCUUCAGCAGGGUUGCGCCGGAUAUGUCGCUUAUGUCAUGGACACCCGGGAGGAGGGAAAGGCGACAGUGGGCAAUGUGCCUGUGGUACGAGAGUUUGCGGACGUAUUCCCCGAGGAGUUGCCUGGGAUACCUCUGGAACGAUAGGUGGAGUUUAGGAUCGACCUAGUCCUUGGUGCGGCUCCGAUAGCCAAGGCACCGUAUCGGUUGGCUCCUCUUGAGAUGCAGGAGUUGUCUACACAGCCGCAGAAAGUAUUAGACAAGUGAUUCAUUAGACCUAGUAGUUCUCCCUGGGGAGCCCCGAUUCUGUUUGUGAAGAAGAAGGACGGGUCGCAUCGGAUGUGUAUAGAUUAUCGGGAGCUGAAUAAGUUAACGGUGAAGAACCGUUACCCACUCCCGAGGAUUGAUGACCUCUUUGACCAGCUACAGGGAGCAUCUUGGUUCUCCAAGAUUGAUCUGCGUUCAGGGUAUCAUAAGAUGAGGGUCAGAGAGGGGGAUGUACAGAAGAUAGCGUUCCGGACGCGCUAUGGCCAAUAUGAGUUCGUGGUGAUGCCUUUCGGGCUCACCAAUGCUCUUGCCGCAUUCAUGGAUCUCAUGAACCACGUGUGCAGACCAAUGUUGGAUCGGUCCGUGAUAGUUUUCAUCGAUGAUAUCUUGGUUUACUCCAAGACACAGGAGGAGCACGAGGAGUAUCUGCAAGAGGUUCUAGAGACUUUGAGAAGGGAGAACUUGUAUGUUAAGUUCUCCAAGUGUGAGUUCUGGUUGCGCGAGGUGCAAUUUCUCAGACACCUUGUCAACCAGAACGGGAUAUCGGUGGACUCGGCCAAAGUGGAGGCCGUGAUGAGAUGGGAGGUUCCAAGGUCUCCAUCCGAGAUUCAGAGUUUCCUAGGAUUAGUCGGCUACUAUCGGAGAUUCAUCCAUGAUUUCUCCAAGAUAGUCAUACCCCUGACCAGGCUAACGAGGAAAGUCGUGGUUUUUCGUUGGGGGCCUGAGCAGCAGGCCGCAUUCGAGACAUUGAGACAGAGAUUGUGUGAGGCACCAAUCUUAGCCCUAUCGGAGGGCAUAGAGAAUUUUGUUGUGUACUAUGACACGCCCAUUUCAGGUUUGGGCGCGGUACUGAUGCAGAGAGGGCAUGUCAUUGCCUACGCUUCGAGGCAGCUGAAGCUUCACGAGGCGAACUACCCGACGCAUGAUUUGGAGCUGGGGGCUGUUGUGUUCGCCCUUAAGAUUUGGCGUCAUUACCUCAAUAGGGUUCGCUAUACUAUCUACAUAAACCACAAGAGUUUGAUGUACCUCAUGGAUCAGCCGAAUCUAAACAUGAGGCAGCGUCGGUGGUUAGACGUGGUGAAGGAUUACGAUUACGAAAUCCUUUACCACCCGGGGAAGGCCAAUGUGGUGGCCGACGCACUUAGCCGCAAGGCAGCGCCGAUCAGGGAUAUUUGUCUGAGGAUGAUAGUGGUGACCCCGCUGUUGGAGCGGAUUCGGGAGGCCCAACGGGAGGCCAUGAAGGAGGAACAUCGGAAGAGCGAGCGGAUUGUGGGGCAAGUUUCCUCCUUCGAUUAUGAUAGCCGAGAGCUGUUGACACUACACCGUAGGGUGUGGGUGCCGUACCACGGGGGUGUACGCCAGGUUCUGAUGAAGGAGGCGCACAAAUCUCGAUUCUCCAUUCAUCCCGGGGCGACGAAGAUGUACAAGGACCUUCUUUUGGACUAUUGGUGGCCCUGCAUGAAGCUGGAUGUAGCAUGGUAUGUGGAGUGGUGCUUGACCUGUAGGAAGGUCAAGGCCAAGCACCAGAGGCCACAUGGAAAGAUGCAGCCGUUGGAUAUCCUGCUGUGGAAAUGGGAAGACAUUACGAUGGAUUUUAUCAUAAAGCUUCCUAGGAUCGCUCGGGGAGUGGAUUCGAUAUGGGUCAUCGUCGAUCGAUUAACCAAAGAGCGCCCAUUUUAUUCCGAUCCAGGAGGGAAUUUUGGCCGAAAAGUUGGCCAACAUCUAUAUCAGGGAGGUGGUGGUGCGGCACAGGGUGCCGGUAUCGGUGAUUUCAGACAGGGACGUGCGGUUCACUUCCAGGUUUUGGAGGAAGUUUCAUGACGAGCUGGGUACUCGUCUGUAUUUUAGCACCGCCUUUCACCCACAGACGGAUGGUCAGAGCGAUCGGACCAUCUAGACAUUAGAGGAUAUGCUGCGAGCAUGUGUUUUAGACUUCGGAGGUAGCUGGGAUACCUACCUUCUGUUGGCGGAAUUCUCGUAUAAUAAUAGCUAUCAUACGAGUAUUAACCGUCCUCCCUUCAAGAUGUUAUACGGGAGGAAGUGCAGAACCCCAAUAUGUUCGGGUGAGGUUGGCCAGAGGGUCAUGAGGAGCAUCGAGGUGGUGCUCAAGAUGACAGAGAGGAUUCAGCAGGUCCGGAGCAGACUUCAGACUGCUCAGAGUCGGCAUAAAAGUAAUCUUGAUAAGCGCCGAUCAGACCUGGAGUUCCAGCUCAAGGAUAUGGUUCUCCUAAAGCUGUCGCCAUGGAAGGGCGUCAUCCGAUUUAGGAAACAGGACAAGUUGGGCGCCACGUACAUUGGACCGUUCAGAUUCUUAGCCCGGGUGGGCAAGGUAGCAUACAGGUUGGAUCUGCCAGCCGAACUCAGCCAGAUCCACAACACUUUCCACGUCUCCCAGCUGCAGAAGUUUCUGGUGGACGACUCAGCAGCGGUACCCUUAAAAGAUAUUCAGGUCGAUGACAGCUUGAAUUACAUUGAGCGGCCAGUAGCGAUCCUCAACCGGAAGUCGAAGGAACUGAGGAACAAGAGGGUUGAACUAGUGAAGGUGCAAUGGCAACAUCGGAAGGGCUCAGAAUGGACUUGGGAGCCAGGGGAGGAGAUGAUCGAGCAUUACCCAGAGUUGUUCCAGGAACGAACAGCAGACUUCGAGGACGAAGUCUAAAAUAAGUGGGGGAGAUUUGUAGCACCUGGUUCCUGGUAUGUAAUUUAUUUAAAUAUUUUGCAUUUUUGGCCUUGGACUCGGCGAGUUCAAGGACCAACUCACCAAGUAGAAGCGGGAUGGGACGCGAGAUUUAAGUUAUGGACUCAUCGAGUCAGGUCCUGGACUCGACGAGUAGGCUCUGACUGGACAAAAACCCUAAUCUGAGGGUUUGCACCCUAUUUAAUCAUCUCAUUCAGCCACCACUCUACCCUAAUGCUCCCAGAAACCCUCCCUAGUAAACCCUAAGUGUUUUGGUGCAAGAUCUAAGGCUUUUUGAGUGAUUUUUGUGGGUUUUGACCUCAAGGAAGAAGGAAGAGCAUAGAAGGAUCAAGAGGAGACUGAACAAUUCGAGUUUGGUGCAUCAUUUUCUGUCCUUGAAAGGUAUAAAGUCUGUACCUUGCUUGUUCAUUUGUUAGAUCCCUUUUUGGGGAAGAUUUAGGGUUUUUUAAGUCAUAUGAGGUGGCCAACCAUGAUUGCAAACAUGGUUGGGGGUCAAGACUUCGGAUCUAAGUCUUGGAAGGAGUCCCAAAGCAUAUUUGGGUUGCUUUUGCACCCAAGGAAGGUCCCAUGCAACAUAAGAGCCAUUUAGAGCCUUUUUGGGUCAAAAGUCCCAUGCAUGCACAUAAAGUUCGAAACUUUAUGUGCUAGAUCGAGCUUAGGGCUUGGAUCUAUCUUUUUGUCAAUGGUUGUACAUCAGAAAUCAAGGAUUUAGGGUGUGGACGUUAUCGACUCGGCGAUUCCGUUCUUGGGACUCGACAAUUCCAAGGCAUAGAGUCCGUUAUCUGUUGAGGGUCAAAAGAACCCAGUUGGGUGUUAGAAGGGUUGUAGAAGGUCCGAGGGAGUAACCCAACGUGUUGGACUUAGCCUUAGACUCGGAAUUCAUGGGACUCGUCGAGUGCUAGAAUAGACUCGGCGAGUCCAAUGCAAUCUCCUUAUGGAUGAAGAUGAACUCGACGAGUUGUUUAUACAACUCGACGAGUCGGGGUCAGGACUUGUUCAUCAGAUGAAGGUGAACUCGACAAGUGUUCAUCCAACUUGGCAAGUCGGAUGAAAGUUCAUUGAUGUUCGUAAAGAAGGGGAACUCGUCGACUCGUUGCCAAACUCGACGAGUCGAGUCGUGGAUAAGGACGAGUAAAGGAAAGGGACUCGACAAGUAGAUGACCCAACUCGGUGAGUUGGGUCAACUGGAAGUUGACUUUGACUUGGACUUGGUUGGGGGUAAAAUAGUCAUUUUACCUCAAGAGUAGAUAUCAGUUUCUGACUGAGUGUUUUGUGGGGAUUAUAGCCGGAGGAUUUCCGGUGCAGCAGCAGGCAGAGGUUUUCCAAACAGAUUAUUAGCAACUACUUGUUCGAGGUGAGUUACCUACCAAUAGCGGUGGGUCUACGGCCACAAUGUCGGCCCACCAAUAGGCACUACUAGAAAAAAGGCGUUUUACGAUGCUCAUUGCGCGUCGUAAAACGCUCAGACAACGCGAAAAUGCGUGUCAAGGAAGGCCCUGUCAUAACGAGAGACGACACGCAUUUACGACACGCAUUUACGACGCUCAUUUACGACACGCAAUGCGUAUCAAGGAAGGCCAUGUCAUAAAGGAUGACGACACGCAUUUGAGUGUCGUAACCUUACGACACGCGUUUAGGACAUGCAUUGUGUAUCAUUAAAGCCCCUGUCAUAAAUGAAGAUGACACGCAUUUGCGUGUCAUAAUCUUCAGCAACCAUUUACGAUAUGCAUUUACGACACGUCUUUACGAUACACAUUUACGCAAAAUACAAAAAUAUGGAAAUAAAUAUAUAACAAAACAAUCAAUUUCAUUCAUUAACAUCAUGUCAAAAAAUUGUAAUACAUAGCGGAAGUAUUUGUUGAGAGCCCAAAAAGUUACAUAAAUCAAUGAAAGUAAAAUUCAUAACUUUUCUAGUUUUCAUAAUCCUAACAAUAGCUGCAUCAACCUGCGAUAUAUUUAUAAAAAAAAUGUGAUUAUAAAUUUAUAAUUACAAAAAAAAAUAAAGCAAAAAAAAAUUGGACCUGAUAUUGACGAUCUUGGGAAACUCUCUCUGUGGUGCUUGCGUUUUCUUCCACAGUUUCCUUCAGCUGGAUAUCAUUCACAUGUACAUGGAAUGGAAUGGAAUAAUGAAAUAAGCAAAGGAAUGGAAUGAGUCAUUCCAUUCCAAUUUCAUAUGAACUUCACAUUAUAAAAAAUUAAUUGAUCUCACCUUUAUACGAUAAAGAGGAGCAGUAAAUACAUCAUUAAACAUGAAGGAAUCAUUGUCAUCCACAUCAGUUUGAACCUAUUCUUUUGUCUCCUUUUCUUCUUUCUCUUUCCCUUGUUCUUUUUUGUCUUGUAUCUUUUCAAGUGGUUGGUACAACAAUAGAGGUAACGGGACAUGUGCCAGUAUUGGGUCCUGAAGAUCUUGUUGCUUUUGUGCUAAGUGUUUUGUGAUUGAGAAGCAAAUGGUCACAAAUUGCAUAUGGGUUCUGGACAUGCAAAUAAACUUAACUAUCGAUCACAUAACAAAAGCAAAUGAAAGUAUGAUGUUAUAAUAAACAAUUCAAAUGCUAAUACCUUUGACAUGUUUGUAUCUACAACAUUUUGGGAGCUUUCGAUGCUUCGAAGAAUUAAAAGUAUUGAAAUAACCUCUUCCUUCUUUAGACUAUUAUGAGGCUUCCCAUCUUCACAAUCACCACCAAUUGCCAACAUAGAAAGAAAUAAAUACAAUUUUCCGGAAAAUAAUAAAAAUUCAUAUAUAUUUUUUUCAUUCAAAGAAUCAAAAUCAACAGGUAUAGUAUGCAUUCAAUUUAUAUUUCAGGAAAAAAAAACUAAUAGUAUACCUACCUGUAUGUGGGUUCAUAGCAAGUUUUCUCUCUUGGAUAAAACAUUAUUUUUUUAUUUUAUUUAUACUAAAUGUUUUUUUUUAUAUUUUGAUAUAAUACAAAUUAAUUUAUGUUUUAGAUAAGCUCUCUUUUACUUNCCUGUCUUUUACUUAUUUACAUUGAAAAUUGACAAAUAGUUCUUUUUCCACAAAAACAGACAAACUAUCUACAAUGAGUUUUUUGCCCUUUGCCACUAUUUAAUCACCUUACCUUAGUUUUACACACAAAAUCCAAUAAUGGAAUAAUGCAUUGAACAUUACACAUUUGCAAAUAAGAUACACAUUAGCAAAAAAUGGUCUUAGCACUAACUUUCACCACCCACCCACCCGAUAACAAAAGAAAAUAUAAUCCGCCCACUCAGUUUCACUUUAUUUGCAAGUAAGUAUAAACAAUAAUAUUGCAGGGUUUUUUUUUCAGUAUGAAUGAGUAUUCAGUCACUAUUCAUCCAUACCUCUUUAAGUAGUUGAUACCAAAUGCUACCAUUAUUCAAUCUCCAUCUAGGGGUAGGGCUAGGUGUUGGUGUUGUUGGAGCAGAAGAAGCAUCAAUGAUAUUGAUAACAAUGAAAGGGGAACUCAAAUCAUCAAGUUCAUCAUCACUUGUGUUUGACUUUCUCAACACUGAUGAUCCAGUGCGACCCAAGUGUUUUAUACAUACAGCCACUCCCUCUCCUCCAACCAAAAUGGUUUUUAUUAUUGAUGAUGCUGAUGGCGGAUCAUAAACAACCGAACCAGCUACACAUGGGACACUGCUCACACAGUCUUCGCCACCCUCUGUAGAAUAUAAAGCCAAAAGAAACCUGUGUUUGUUUACUACUCAAAAUGAAGACAUAAAAGAAGAAAGGAAUAUGCAUUGUAUUGGAAAAAUGAAGACUAAAAACCUCUUAUAUUAUCCAUAUCAAUAAAGCUAUAUUUAUAGCUUCUUAGACACCCACGAUGAAGUAUGAAAACAAUCCAUGCUCUUGACUCCACCUAAUUAGCUUAAGAAUUAACUAUUAUAUAAAACAUAAAACACAAAACAAUAAUAAUUAUCAAAUCUAAAGUUUCAGCCAUGCACGUGAGCUAUGACUAACAAACCGAUUAACCCAACACCUUCCACCCCCAAAUCCUUAGCAUAUAUAAACAAACACCCUCUAAAUGCAUGUUAUUAGACAUACCAAAAUAUCUUUAAUUGGUUGGCUUGUGUGUCCUUCACAUCAACAUAAUUACUUAAUUAAUUAAUUAUACUGAACUCACCUCUGAGUCUAAGGCUUCAAGCACAACUUCAGGAAUAGCAUCUGGACAAAACUCAUCUGGAACAAAACUAUCUAGUAUCCCUUUUAUUAAUGCUACACCAAAACUCAAACAUACCUUCAAAAAAUUUUAAAUAACUUUAGCUUUGUGGAUAACUACACUACUAUAAAAGAAAAAGAGCCCAAUUUUAGAGACCUCUUUUCUGAUUGUGCUAUCUAACAACAUAUCCUUAGGAAGCAUCAUCAGGUCACUUAAUGCAUUCAGGAGAUGAAAAGAUUUGAAUGAUGAAUCAUCAGCAUCUAUAUCAAAUAAAUCAGUCAGCCACCUCGACCAAUUUUCAAUUUGCACAUUGCCAAAUGAACNNNNNNNNNNUAUAUAUAUAUAUAUAUAUAUAUAUAAAGGAUCACUUGCCAUGGGAAUUGGUCGCCUAUGAUUCAGAUCAGAGGCCUGGAAUCGUCAAGGUAGAAAACACAAGUCAAGAAAAAAAAUAAAAUAAGAGACUUUUAGGCAUAAAUGGUAUAUACCCUGUAAUAGGGAUAACAAACUCCUUGAGUGCUUUUUCACUUGUUACUCCAAUUAAUUCGCCAAGACCUUGAGCAUCCUGUUCUCUCAAUUCUGCAGACCUGCUUAUUAGGCCCUGAAGAUAUAUGGGAAGCAAUGGUUGAAGAGCCUUUGGGAGACAUAACCUGGGUAUAACAAUUGGUCCACCCUAUAUGUCCAUCAACAAAUAUUUAAAUAAGAUAAACCUUAAUCACUACUAAAUGCUGAUUAAAAUACACAUAGUUGCCCCUCGAGUUCCAAAACAUUAAAACAACUCUAUUUUGUGCUUAGAUUCCAAAAUAGGACCAAAACAAAAUUCAUACGCAAGUGCUCAAUGGAUGAAAAAACUCAUAUGUACAAAUUCUAAGCCAAAAUACAAGAAUACAUUAGUUCUACAUAAACCCUAUCAACUCGAAAAUAAAAUUUUCUCGUAUAAUAAUUACAUAACCAAAUUAUGUAGUGAAAUCACACAUUAAAGCAAAUGUCUUUGUUAUUGUGAAUUUUGAUACAUCAUAUAUUAUUAUAUUUUUACCUUUAUUAUAGAUUGGUUACCCAACUUUACAUGCAUUUGUUGAGUUUAUUUCUGGAUUUGACAUGCCUUCUGACAUUCACUCAAAGAAGAAAGACAACAUUCUUCUAGAAACUGGGAAACCUUUUCGAUGGCUCUCUUCCAUGAUGAGUUAUCGUUGCCACUAGCUCAUAUCUUCGACCGUAUUUAUUAUAAUUUUUUUUAUAAAUUAAUAAAAAGAUGAAAAUGAUAUAUANNNNNNNNNNNNNNNNNNNNNNNNNUAUAUAUAUAUUAUAUAAAUACAUACCUCUGGUGAUGAUAAAAAAAGGAAAUCACGAUUCAGAGUAAGGUGAAGAGGAAUGUGGAUUGGUUUGAGUAAUUUUGUGCUUCCUUGACUUACAUAGCUAAACCUCAUUAAGUGUAGUAUUAUUAUCUCUGGAAGCUCUAAUAUUUCACUGAUUUACUUGCACAUACUAAUUCACAUAAUAAUAAAAAGAAGUAUACAUUUCCUGCUGAUGAAGCACGAUACCCUUCAAGUGUCUCUGGAGCUGAAAAAAGAUGAAGUGCAUCUUCUAUUGUAUGCAUAGGAUCUGGACAUAUAUUCAAAUGGAGCAAAAGAAAUGGCUGAAUAGUUGCAGAUGCUUUGUUACCUAUUUUUGUUUUACAUUAAAAAUAUAUAAAUGAUGAAUUAAUGAUAUCAUGUUAUUGAGAUGAGUGAAAAAUGUUAAAAGAUUAAAAAAAAAUACCUCUUGCUUUCAUUACACUUUUUAUUUGGCCUUCGAAGAUCUGACUUAAUUUUGAAGGAAUAAAACUUUGUGUUCUUGUGAUUGUAGUUUUGUUCUUUGGUCCAACUGUUUCCCAAAUAUCAUCAUCAUCUUCAUCACUUAAAGAUGAAACCAGUGAAACUUUUCCACCAUUAAAAUUACAAACUUCUCCUUCAAGUUUAAGAAGUUCAUCAUGCAUUUGGUGCAUUACAAAGCUUAAAAACACCUGAGCAUCUUCUUGCCUUUUUAAAAAACAAACUUCAACUCAGCAUCCGAAAUUCCAAACAUAACAUAUAUAAAAUUUGUUGAUUAAUUUUAUAACAUUAACACAAACCUUGGUCUUCCAGAGAAGCUAUUUGGCAUAUCUGGAGAGAAAUUGUUGAGAACAGAUUCAAACAUGAUAGGUCGAAAAGGUUUCCCAGUUUCUAGAAGAAUGUUGUAUUUCUUCUUUGAGUGAAUGUCAGAAGGCAUGUCAAAUCCAGAAAUAAACUCAACAAAUGCAUGUAAAGUUGGGUAACCAAUUUGUAAUAUAGGUAAAAAUAUAAUAAUGUAUGAUGUAUCACAAUUCACGAUAACAAAGACAAUUGAGUCCAACUCCAUCGGCGUUUGCUUUUGAAUGAAUUCCUUGGGAUAAACCUUCCAUAUACGCUCUGCUCCCUUUCCUUUUGGAACAAAACACCAUAGCAAGACUCCAAAUAUGUAAUAAUAAUCGAUCGAUAAAGUUUCUACAUAAGUUGCAGGUGAUCAAAAAUGGCGGAAAUCAGGAAAUGUAAAUUGUACCUUUAGCGAGAUUAGGGUAAAGCCAUCACAAGUUAGAGCCAUCAUCACCUGUGGGAGACCUAGGGGAAGUUGAUCGCCUCUAUCCACCUGCCAAAAAAGUGAAUCGUCUUCCCAUAAGUUUUCGUCACUUUCUCUCGAUCUUGCCGCUCAACCGGACCAAGGACGCCGGGAAGGAAAAGGACGUCCCUCUUCACCUCAUACUCGUGGAUGUGCCACAUUGGCUUUUCUGAAUCCGGCAAGGUGAAGAACAAUUUUUAUGUUACGAUGUUUUCAACUCCGAUUAAAAAAGCCCUAGAAAUUAUCCCAGUGAUUUUGUGAUAUAUGAGUUGUUGAGGUAUACAGCAGAGGUGGUAUCGUGAUUAGGGUUUGCAGAGAAAAGGGGGAAGAAGAGAAUGAAGGGGAUCAAGCGGGGUAUUAAAAAAUUUAAGAUUUUUGAGAGGAUUUCAUUUCCCCCUUUCAAGAAGGCGCGUUUUAGUAAAAAUUAUAAAGCGACAAUCACAGAGGACGCAUAUUUUAGAUAAAGUGCCCUCCGUGUUUUUAUUUUUUUUACAUUCGACACUAAUUUAAGGGCAUGCAAUAAUGCGUGACCUAAAUCCUCAAAUUUUUUGAAGAGACGACACUUUUUUAUUGUCACUCUCGUUUGCGUAACAUAAAUCAAUAAGUGUCGUGAUUUGCACAUCGUAAAAGGGUCUUUUUCUUGUAGUGAGGAGUUGUAUGAUUAGAUGAUUGUCUUUGUGAUAUCAUCUAGGUUGCUGCUACCUGAUAUGUUAUAUGCUGGUAUGAUAUGUUAUUUGUGAUAGUAGUAGAGUUCGGUUGUUUGGACCGAAGGGUAGGUCAGACACCCCAGAUAUGUCUGACAGUAUGUGAUGAUAUGUUUAUAUGCUGGCAUGAUACGUUAUAUGGGAUAGUGGUAGUAGGAGGGGAACAAUCUCCAAGUUCGGUUGUUAGAGCCGAAGGGUAGUUCGGACACCCUAGAUAUGUCUGAUAGUAUGUUUAUGUUAUGAUAUAUGUGAUAGUAGUGGUAGGGGUGGAAUAGUCCAAGAGGGUCGGUUUUUAGGACUGACGGGUAGGUCAGCACCCCAGAAAGGCUUGACACGGGUAGGACGAUACCCCAGAAUGGCCGCAUGGGUAGGUCGGCACCCUAGAAUGGCCGCACGGGUACCUAGAAUGGCCGCACGGGUAGGUCGGCACCCCAGAAUGGCCGUACCGGGUAGGUCAGGCACCCCAGAAUUGCCUGGCAGUAUGUAUGCUAUGUGAUUGUAUGUUAUGUGGCACGAUGGGGGAACUCACUAAGCUUCGUGCUUGCAGUUUACAGUUUUUGUUUCAGGUACCUCUUCAGCAAAGGGGAUGGAGCUGGCGCGGUAGUGGCACAUCAUGAAUGGUUUUCCGCACUAGUGUUUCUUGGUAUUGUACUAUGACAUUAUUCUUAUUUUUGUGAAUGGUUUUCAGACAUGAGAUGUGGUUUUAUGAAAAGUUAUGAUUAGAUGGUGUUUUCUUAUAAAUGUUUUUACAAGUCAAUUUUAAAAAUGAAAUUUUUGGACUUGUAAAUUGGGUCGUUACAUUCCUUCCAUGGUAAGACUUUAAGCAAAACCAAAUCUCCAACUUCGAAUGCCAUCAGUCGUCUUUUCUUGUCAGCAUAGCUCUUUUUACAAUCCUGAGCUGCUAACAUCCUUUCCCUAAUCACUCUUAACUUUUCAACAGUCUGAUGGACUAUCUCGGGGCCCAUAAACUGCCUUUGUUCAACUUCAAGCCAACAUGACGGCGUACGACACUUUUUUCCGUACAAAGCUUAAUAAGGUGCCAUCUUGAUGCUUAAGUGGAAACUAUUAUUGUAGGAAAACUCUACCAGAGGUAAGUGUUCAUCCCAGUUACCUUGGAAUUCUAGGGUACACACUCUUAGCAUUACUAUAGUGUUUGAAUCGUCCUUUUUCUCUAACCAUCGGUCUGUAGAUGGUAGGCUAUACUUAAACACAGCUUCGUACCCAAUUCUUCUUGUAGACUCCUCCAAAACCUUGACGUGAAACGGCUAUCAUGGUGUAACGCCCAUGUUUCUAGGCUAGGCAUUAAUGAUAAUGUAAUAGUCUAGGUUAACCUUUGUAACCCGUCUUGAAAUAAUAAAAAUGUAUUAUUUGAGUAUUAUGUGUUUUGUGCUUAAUUGUGUGACUUAAAUGAAUUAAGGAUAAAAAUAAGCAUCAAAAUGAAAUGUUAGAUAAACUCGAUAUCUAUGAAGGAUGUGGUAGUGGUCGUGGCAAGGUUUCCAAAUAUAUAAAGAAUGCCAAAAUCUGAGUUAUAACGAAAAAGUUAUGAUCUGUCGAAGUUUCGUUACAGAACCGGCACGGCACUGCGUGACGUAAAUAGUGAAUUUACGAUAGAGCGAUAUUUAGUCUUAGUGAUCUAAACAGAAGUUGUAGAAUAAGUUUAACCGAGAGCGUGCAUAAGAAGAACGUCUAAAUUUGACUUCGUAUGAGGAAGUUAUGAUUUUUCGAAGUUUCGAUUUAGCAGUAUGCAACCCAAAUCUCGAAUUACAGAUCGAGUGAUACUUGGCCGAAACAAUCUAAACGGGAAUCGAAGAUCUCGUCGAUAGUAGUCCAAAAGUGAAAAGACAUACGAAAACGGACGUCGGAUGAAGAAGUUAUGAAUUUCUAACGGAGUUUUCCUGUCCGACCUGCUAAAAAUAAUAUAAUAAAAAUAAGUUCAAAAUUAGCCGACGCAGUCUAAACGAAAGUUGUAGAGCAUAGUCUCACCUAUGUGUGGAUAUAAAGAACAUAAAAAAUGGAGCUCGUAUGAGGAAGAUAUGAUAUUAUGAAGUUUUUAAAUAAUUAAAAUAUAUAAAUUUUAUUAUAUAUUCGGAUAAUAUCCGAAUCCAUGACUCAGCCGAUCUGAUCCGAAGAUUACGCCCAACGUACUGCUUGUAGAGGCAUUACGCCCAGCAUAAUCAGGAUUUACGCCCAACGUAAAUCGAGGUUUCAUCCCCUAUAAAUAGAAGUCGUGGGCAGCCGAGUUUUGUUGCUCAUUUCUUCCUCUCUCUCCCGUUUUACCUCGUUUUACGUGCAAGCUUUACCCCCGAAGCCGCGGUAUCAUUCCCGAGACCCGAAGCCCCGGGGAUCCCGAGAAGUAAAGUUUCUGAGCCGAAACUCUGCCCGUGUAAAGCCCGGUUUUGGAGAAAACGUCCUGGUUUUAUCGGAAAAUAUUAUUUUAAUAUAUGAGGUGAUGUCCGAUCAUCUUCUUAUCAAGUGAGUGUAUAUUCCCUUUCUUCUAACACAUAGAUAUGAAGUAUCUACUUUAGAAUAUGUGUUACAUGUGUAUAAAUAUACGUGUAUAUAUAUGUUAUCUGUUUAUUUGGAAUGAGUAUCUUAUUAGUUUUUAAGUUACAUAUGAAUGCAUAUGUAUGUUGUUAUCUACAAAAUGUUGGGUAGAACUUGUGUAGAUAGUUGAUGUGUGAUAAACUGAUGAGAUGCCUCGAUGUGAUUGUGAUCUAGUCAUUCAACAGAAUAUGGGUGACGACCACGGACUCUUUCUAGACUGUCCCGUGGAAUGCUGGCAGGCUCAUAACCUGUAGGUGUUGGUGAACUUGGGUGUUCAUUUGUUGUAUUCUAUCCCCCUCAUGGUUGCCUUAGGACAUUCAUUGUUGAGAAAACCCCUCUGCAGUAGUGUCCGUCCUGAUGAAAAUCCUAGAUUAGGUCCCUUGUAAUAGUUAUUGUCAUAGUGACGUAAAGUGAGGAUAACAGGAAUGGGUAAUCAGGUUAUUGUUGGUUGGUGAAAUUAAAUAUAAUUAGUUAUUGUGGGUUGAAAACCCUAUAUGCUCACCAGGCUCCCAAGCUUGACCCACUCAGUUUUUUUGUAUUACAGGUAGUGGUGCGAGGGCAUAAGUUGGAGAACUUAUGAAGAUGUUUUUGUUUAUAGACCAGUAGUUGUAUAUAACAGUGUAAGGUCUAUGUUUUACUGUUUAUGCUUUUGUGUCUGUAUCGGAACAUGACAUCCUGAGUUUUGAUAUAUAAUGAAAAUACAUUUCUUUAAGAAAUGUUUUGAUAAACUUUAUUUUAUCAUGUUUUGUUUUAGGGACAAAUUCUGCAACUCUUUUAAAUCAAUGGAUUUACUCUGAAAUUAUUUUAAAAACAUAAAUGAAACCGGCCUUUUCUGGCCGUGAUUUUGGGGAUUUCACACAUGGUCUGAUACUAUCUUUAAAGGAACACCAUGAAGUCUUACUACCUCCUUCACGUAAGCAUUUGCAAGCUUAUCUGUAGACCAUCUUGUUGGAUUAGUGUCUAAGUCCAUAACUAUUUUGGUAUGUACUUGACCCGAUGGUGCAUGGUCCUUUUGGGUUGCCUUCACCAAAGCAACUUGAUUGGAGAAAUAAAUAAAGAGAGAGAGGUUAUUAUGAUUUAUUAAUAUGUUAUAAGAAUAAUAUAUUAAAGGAGAAAUCAUAUUUGUUUAAUUAAUAUUGGUCAAUAAUUAAUUAAGAAUUAAUUUUGUGAUCAAGUGUAAUUAAUUAAACUAGAGGGGCUGAAUUGUAAUUAUGUGAUAGUUACAAAAUAAGGUAAGGAUUAUCUUAAAUAUAGGGUGAACGAAUUUAAGGAGAUAAUGCCUUAGAAUUCGACUAGGAUAAGGGUUUCUAAGACUUAUCUUAUGGUUGCUUGGUGGGCAAGCAACUAGAUAAGGAUAAGGACUAAAACCCUAAUCUUUACACCUAUAUAAACCCCCUAAGGCUCAUGAAUUCGUCUAAGCCUUCCCAAGAAGUCCUAAGGACGAAUUCCUACCUCUAUCCUCUCUCUUUAUACCUUCUCCAUUUGCUCUUGGUGUUUGUGAGCCAUUAGAGGAGUGACACUUGUGACUCUAAGCCUUCCAAAGUCAAUUCAUGGAGAAUUGGGAUUGUUAUUACUACAUAACAAUCAAGGUAACAUCUUAAACCUAAUUAUAUGUUAAUAUUGAUUUCCAUAUGCUAGAAUUAGGGUUUAUAGUCUUGGAUUCAUUGCAUGUACAAUAGAGAAACCUAGAUCCAAGCAUUAGGGUUUGUAUGAGCACAUAGGAUGUCUUAUGACCAAAACCCAUCAGUGGUAUCAGAGCCUAGCUUGGUUUCAAUUGUAUUGAUGCAUUGUAUAACUGGAAAAUUCGUUUUUUGGGUUUCUGGAGGCUGGACUCGCCGAGUCCAUAGAUGAACUCGCCGAGUCCAUGCUGACUCGACGAGUCCAUGCCUGACUCGGCGAGUCGGCUCGUCAGAAGGAGGGAAAACCGGGAUUUCUUGCUGUUUUUGCUUAAGGAUAGUUGCCUUAUCAUAUUAGAUCAAUAUAAAUCCGAUUUUAUGAUAUAUUUGACUAUAUUCUUGAUCUAAUUGAAGAUAUUUAUCAAUUAAUAAAAUAUUUGUUUCCUUAUGUGAUAAUUGAUUAAUUAUUUUGAUUAAAUUGAUAAAUUGUUUUGCAAGAAAUCAUUAAAUAAAUCAAAUAUGGAUAAUUAUGUGAUUAAAUGUUAAUUUAGAUUAUUUGUUAUUUGAUCCUUGUUGUUAUGAAAAGUUUCAUAUUUUCCCCUUUAGGUUUUAUAGUUUAAAUUUGAACCCAAAAGUUUUGUUGUUUUGAAAUUUAAAUAGUUGAAACCCUAAUGUUUUGAAAAAGGUUUCAAAACUUGCCCUCAAGUUUUGGAAUUUAAAUUUUGAUUAAAUAGUUUAAUUUUGAUGUAUAUUUAAAUUCUAAACCCUAAUGUGUUGAAAUGUUUCAAAACUUGCCCUCAAGUUUUGGAAUUUAAAAGUUGAUUAAAAGUUUAAUUAGGAAUGUUAAAUUCUAAAACUCUAGUAUUGUUUUGAAAAAGUUCAAAUCACACCCUUAUGGUUUUAUUAAUUAAUUAAGGUGUAUAAUUAAAAGAGGUUUAAUAAAUCCAUAAAAGUUUUGGUUUACAAUUUAAUUGAAUUAAAAGUAUAAUUGUUAAAUUUGACCACCUAGUAUUUUAAAAGUGUAAAAUACACCCUAUACUAUAUAUAACAUUAAAAGUCUAACAUUAUAUAUAUGUAUGAGUAAAAGUCAGUCUUACCGUUAGUAGGCCUCAUUCACGAAGCUGGUCUAUAAGGGGUGUUUAAGGAAAUUGCCUAUAAAAUGGCGAUUGAAUGGGUAUCCACUCUUACCCACCGCACUCUUGACUAGUGGAGGGUCGUUAGCCGAACGGGUAGGAUAGGACGAAACCUUCCAUUAUAAGUAUAAUGAAGUAUAAAAGUAACUAAAUGUUUUCAUAAAAUUCCCAAUCUUAGUUACUUAGGCAAAAGUGAAUUGAUGCAAUUCCAUGAAAUUACACUUUGUGCCCUUGCGAAGACGUUAGUGGAGCGUGUGUGGUUUACCGGCACACUAAAUGGUUCUAAGCAAAGGUAGCAAAGGGUGACUCAAUGUUUGUCAUAGUUCGGUGGAGCGUGUGUGGUUUACCGGCACAUCGAAUAGGUGACUGUAACAUGUGAGGGCACCAUGUAAGUUUGCAUGGUUAUUCACACCCGCUUUGUGAUCCUCGGCAUCCCAGUCACAAACAAGAGGGGCAUAUCGAGAUUUAAACAUGCCAUUGAAAUGUUCAAUGAAUCUCAAAGGAUCUAGGAGUUUUCAUAGAUUUAAAACUUAAAUUUCUUUUUCGUUUUUCAUGGUGGAAAUUAGUGAAUCGUCAUUCACUUACCUUCAAAUGUUCUGCAAUUUGGGUUACGGCAUCCCUCUCCCGAGUUGUAGAAUAUUGUGUUGGGUCCUAGCCUUAGUAUCUCAUUUGGGUGAUUUACUAAGGACUCAAUCAAUCAACUAACUUGAAUUCUUUUUCUCCCGUUUUGUAGAUGUCAAAGUUCGACAACUAUGGUCUUCCCAAAUCCCGUGGAACAAGCAUUCCACAUGAAGAUGAUAUUCCACGAUUCGAUCGAGGAACAAGAAAUCAUGCUUCACUUCCUCCACCUCCUCCAAUUAUUCUCCCUAACCCACAAGUUCAAAGGCUUGAAAAGUUCAAGAUCACUCAAGCCCUUUUGGCAAGUAAACAUAAAGAAGGAAAGUCGGUGUGUGCACACGUCCUAGGGAUGAAGUCACACAUUGAUAGGUUAAGAAUGUUGGGAUCCGUUGUCUGUGAGGAAAUGGCUGUUGAUUGGGUUCUUCAGUCACUUCCUAACUCAUAUAGUGAGUUCGUAAGAGAGUACUAUAUGAUGAACCGCGACGUGACCCUUAUAGAUCUCACCUAUAUGCUUAUUGCUGCUGAAUCAGCAAUGGUUUGGCGCAAUAGAAAAGCAAAGUUGAUUGGUGAAUCUGCCUUCAAGACCUCUAUGGAUAUAGACAAUGGCAACGAAAGACAUGCUAUGAUCGAAAAGUUUGAUCAUAAGAGAAAGGCAAUGUCUGAAGUAGUUCCAUGUCAUGUUCCAAAAGAGUCAAUUUGCUUUUAUUGCCAAGAGAAAGGGCAUUGGAGACGAAGCUGCCCCAUUUACCUAAGAGAUCUAAGAGAUGGGAGAGUCGAAACGUAUGGCUCUAAUAUAGGUAAAAUCCAUUAACUAACUCUUUUAAGCUUCUAUUCUAGAUUCUUAAUACAUAAUGUGAUAAGAUUACAAUUGAUGUUUUGUAGGAUCGAAGAAAAGAAAGGAAGCUUAAGGGAAGAAGUGAGCAGAAUCUAACCGUGAAGGAAUGGAUUUCGAUCGCAUUUCUCGAAGAUUAGAUUCUUGAGCUACUACUUAGAGUUAGAAUUAGAUUGCUAAGAAAGAUGUAUUAGCAUAGUUUUUCAAUGAAUUGCAUUGUAAGGACAAAUUUUUCCGCAAUAAAAUAAAUUUUGAUUUUAAAUUUUAUUUAUUUAUCCUUACAAUGGCGUGUAUGAAAAAUUGAUGUUAAAAUGUUUCUAUUAUUAGCAAUAAUGGAUUUGGUUCUUAUUAUGUUAUUUAUGGAAAGUCGAGAAUUUACCAAAUAGGGAGAGUUUCUCAUCGCCCAAGUUUCAAUUGGACAGAAACUUGGAAUCAUGCAACUUGGUUGCACGAUGAAUGAGAAAUUUCAUAUUUGGAAAUUAGACUAAUUCAUUGACAAAGUGUCAAGUGAAGGACUAGGAGAUCGAGUACACAAAGUUGCGUGUUGAUCAAGUCCACCAUAAGAGUAACAAAGAUAUUCGUCAUGAUUUACUAAAGGUUUAGUAAAUAUGAUUAUACUUAUAAGAUUAAGUGUAAUUCUGAAUUGAUUGAAAAGGUUUAAAUCAAUAGCAGAACGAAUAAGAAGAAUCAAGUAGGCAGAAAGAUAAAAGUUUCUCCAUUCUAAGAAGAAGGGAGAGUACCUUUUAUGCUUUAUGAUAGGUCUUAAUGAUUAAGAACCAUAUCUCAAUUGAUCCUCUAAGUGAGUCUUAGUACAAUUGUAUGUCUAAGAAGAGGAAUCAAGAAUUGAAGAAAUGGUUAAAUCAAGAAGUCAAUCAUACUUCGUUCCAAAACAAGUCUUAGAGUUAAGAUUGUGACAUUGAGUGAUAAGUAUAAAGAAGGUUUAUAACAUUCAUUAAAUGUGGAAAGUUGUGAUGUCUUGGAUAAGACAAAGACCAACUAGGACCAAUUUAUGAAGUGUUUUGAUAAAAGCUACACUAACUCUUGAAUAUUUGUUUGUCAAGAAAUGGUUAUUGACAAGAGAAUCUUAUAUGUCAAGGAGUCAGUGGGAGUCUUAAUGGUCUUGAAAGGUUUCAAGAACAAAUCAAAUAAACCUUAUCGAUCAUCACUAGCACACGAGUUGAGGUUUACAACCUAUCGUGUUGACAUUAUUUUGAUUCUGUGCCAAUCCAAUCGAGUUAAUUAUGCAUGUGAGUUCUAUGAGUUCUCAUUUUGAACGCAUAAAAGGCAAAGCACCUUAAUCAAUGAAAGGUACAUUGAUAGGAAAGGGUGAGCUGCUUAACUACUUGGAAGACAUGGUGGGCAGCUGUGCUACCAUAAAGGCAAGAAAUCGAGAUCAAGAAAGUUCGAUCCAUAAGAGUUUGAAUUUGUCGUAAACUUUGGUUUUGACAAAUUCACAUGGAUAGGAACAAAUACACCGUUUAAAUCUAAGUGUCAUAAGAUUUCCUCCUUCAUGAAAAUGAUUGUGAGGAAAUGCUUUCACUAAGACAGAUUUUAAGAAGAUAGUGAUUGUAAAAUUGCAUUCUCGAAUUCAAUUAUGGUUACGGCAUCCCUUUCCAUAAUUUGAAUUGUGAGGUUUGGCAAUUAGUCUUAAUUGUUUAGACACACAUAUGAACUAUCGAAGGCAAAGGUGUAUAAGUUCAAGAAGCCUUGAUAAAAGAUUAUCAAAGCACUAAGUAUUAGAAACAUGAACUUAAGAAAUUCAAUAAGCAUUUUUUUUCUGAAAGUUAAGAUGUUUAUGAAUACAUGUCGAAGCUAGUGGGAGCAUAAGUGUUAUGUUUUAUAAUAAUCAUCAAGAUAGUGGGAGCAUAAAAGUUAUGAUUGUAUGAUUAUUAAGGAAAGUAUUGCAAGGUUAGCAAUAUUAAUUAUAGAAAACAAGAGUCAUACUUUGCAAAGUCGCAAUAGUUGAAGAGUUGUUUUGCUAUAAUUAAGGGAGAGAAUAUUAUGCUUCAUUUCAAAUCUAAAGGUUUAGGUUGAGAAAUGUUAAUAAAAUUUAGUCAAAGGUACAAAGUGUGUUCUUAAAAUUUCGAUUAUGAUUACGGCAUCCCUCUUCACAAUUCGAAUUUUGAGAACAUAGCAAAUAAAACAUUAUGCGUCGUGUCCCAUACGCUUCGGGUAUAGGAUCGAUUGCAAAUGCUUUAAUGUUUGACCAUUCUAAAAUUUUCCAAAUGUCGAGCGCAUUUAGAGGGAAAAGGGACUAGAAUUGGUUUUGACUAAAAUAAUUAAACAACUAUCAAAGGACAAUCCAAAGUUCGACGAGGAUUGGUCGCUUGUGAGUAGUUGGAAGUAUAGUAUUGGAAAAUAUGGAAAUGUUUCCAUAUUGGAUGGACCAUAUCGACAUCAUUACGAAUAGAUAAGAUUCUAUUAAGAAUGAGUUGUCAUAUGGAACAUAUGGAAGUGUGUCCAUAUUGGGAAUUGAAUAUUGAGAAAUCUAUGACUAGAUUAGAAACUUCUAUGCAAAAGGAUGUUCAAAGAAUGUACUUUGAGUGAGAGACAUCACAUCUAUGGAAUUGUCUUGUAACAAUCUCCGAUAGAGGACUUUGUAAUAUCAUUGGCAAUAGUCUUUGUGACUUUGGUGCAGUGACAUUACGAAAGGAUCGUUGCAUAAAAUGUUAGAAUCUAGCAUAUUCUAUAAGUAGCAAGAAUUUGAUAUUCUUUCACUUAUGAAAAGGAUUUGGAGUUGUGAAAUGAGAAUGAUUGGAAAUGUGUUCAAUUUGAUCUAUUUCACAAAGUAAGAACCAUAGGUAAACAUUGUGUGCAUGCUAGGAGCAUGGGACAAGUGUAAUAAUUCAAGUAAGAAGUUGAUUACCCGAAACGACAAAUAAUGAGUAAUCGAUAUGGUGAUAAAUAAAAGGUGUUUUAUUUAUACUCAAAGGUUUGAGGCCAUAUGGGAUUAGUAUUAUUCUUGUGUUUCACAUUUGCAUGUUUUGACUUCCAGAAUAAUUGAGUUUAUUAAGAAUAAUCGAAUUAUUCGAACGGGCCACAGUCGUUCAUAUGUUGGAAGUAGAUAUGAAUGAAGACUGUCGUGAAUUGGUGUGUGGAUUGUCUAAAAGAGUAUUAGACAUAAGCAAAUGUUUGCUGCAACGUUCAUGAGUGCUUAUGAAUAUGAUUUGAGCAUUGGAUUAAACCCACGCUCACUUGGAUCACUCCAUGAAUUGUAUCACGAGUGAUUGGUGAGACGAUAACAUCUUAUAUUCUUGAAACCGAGAUGUGUGAGUUGUAUCUUGCGAAUCGGUUGCACAUUGAUAAUAUGUAAACGCACUAGUAACUUGGUGUUAUAAAACAUAUUGUUGUGUGUGAUUUGGUUAGUAAGUGCAAGCAAGCAUUGUAUCAAAGUUUAUCCGUUCCUUUUAUCCAAAGUAGGAUAAAAGCGAUAUCUUUGGGCCCCUCGAUGAUUUAGUGAUGACAAACGUAAAUGCUCGGCCGGGCUAGGGCUAAUUUGAUUUGUUCAAUUAGUCAGUCGUCAUAAAUCGGGAAUCGAGAUAUAGUACAAAGAGAAUGAUUUGAAAUCAUAUCUCAUAUGAUAUCUAGAAUGGAGGAAUAUAUGAUCCCUUAUCUAAGGACACGCGUAUCUGAUAUGAUCAGAGUUGACAGCGGCUUUGGAAAGCUACGAUUGCAGAUCAGGAUCUGAAGUCAUACGCAGAAUAGUUGUUAGACUUAUCCAAGUGGGAGACUGUUGGAUUAGUGUCUAAGUCCAUAACUAUUUUGGUAUGUACUUGACCCGAUGGUGCAUGGUCCUUUUGGGUUGCCUUCACCAAAGCAACUUGAUUGGAGAAAUAAAGAGAGAGAGAGGUUAUUAUGAUUUAUUAAUAUGUUAUAAGAAUAAUAUAUUAAAGGAGAAAUCAUAUUUGUUUAAUUAAUAUUGGUCAAUAAUUAAUUAAGAAUUAAUUUGUGAUCAAGUGUAAUUAAUUAAACUAGAGGGGUUGAAUUGUAAUUAUGUGAUAGUUACAAAAUAAGGUAAGGAUUAUCUUAAAUAUAGGGUGAACGAAUUUAAGGAGAUAAUGCCUUAGAAUUCGACUAGGAUAAGGGUUUCUAAGACUUAUCUUAUGGUUGCUUGGUGGGCAAGCAACUAGAUAAGGAUAAGGACUAAAACCCUAAUCUUUACACCUAUAUAAACCCCCUAAGGCUCAUGAAUUCGUCUAAGCCUUACCAAGAAGUCCUAAGGACGAAUUCCUACCUCUAUCCUCUCUCUUUAUACCUUCUCCAUUUGCUCUUGGUGUUUGUGAGCCAUUAGAGGAGUGACACUUGUGACUCUAAGCCUUCCAAAGUCAAUUCAUGGAGAAUUGGGAUUGUUAUUACUACAUAACAAUCAAGGUAACAUCUUAAACCUAAUUAUAUGUUAAUAUCGAUUUCCAUAUGCUAGAAUUAGGGUUUAUAGUCUUGGAUUCAAAGCAUGUACAAUAGAGAAACCUAGAUCCAAGCAUUAGGGUUUGUAUGAGCACAUAGGAUGUCUUAUGACCAAAACCCAUCACAUCUUUCAUUGGCUACUAUGAAGUGUGCACUCUUAGUAAACCGAUCAACGACCACCCAAAUCAUGUCGUGACCGUCCUUCGUUCUGGGCAGUUUAGUGACAAAAUCCAUGGUAAUGUCUUACCACUUAUCCAUGGUUACACAUAAAGGUUCUAAAAUCCUAUAUGGUUUCUGAUGUUGUGCCUUAACUCUCACAUAGGUCACACACUUGGCCACAUACUUUGCAAUGUUGAGCUUCAUCUUCGGCCACUAGUAGUAGGGUUUCAGAUCCCUAUACAUUUUUGUGCUGCCGAGAUGAAUCGAGUACAUGGUCUUGUGAGCUUCUUCCAUCAGAAGAUCUCUUACUUCGCCCAUCUUGGAAUACCUUUAAUCCUUGAUUAUUUGUACCGAAAACCAAGUUUUUGCUUAAACAUUCUUCCUUUUGGUCAUUCUCCUCUAAAACUUCCUCCCAAGCUUUGUUGAUGCUUUCCACAAUCAUUGUGACAACCUCUAUUGAUUGUUUUGAUUAUAUUUCUCUUCAAUCUUCUGUCCUAACUCAGAUGCUACAUGAAACUUGGUUCUCUGAACCAUGUAACAUACUCAUCUUAGUUGGACUCGAUAUGAUACGACCACUAGGGUCAGAAUCAGAAUCAUCUUCUUAGUCAUUACCAAAACGAUGGUAAUGAAGAACUUGAACAAAACAGAAUCAAUUACUAGCUUCUUAGUAACCUUGCGACUUUCACUGAUCCAAGUGCAAGUCCUGUGCUUCCGGUAGUAUAGGCCUCUACUACCAUUCACACCUACUCAUACUCGUUCAAGGUGCUAUCUCACAGUUUUCCAAGUCAUCAUUCAAGAGUUUCACAUAAUCAUUUAACACAUCAGAUAACAAAAUCAAGGUUUUAUAUUAUUUCUUGAAAUGAUUACAUAAAUGUUCAACUUCGUCCUAUACUAUGCCUCUAAUAAGUUGCGCUACAUGAUGCUAUCCACAUGGCCACUUCAUAACUUGAUCUUCGGAUAUCAGUCCUCACUCCUGCUUCCUUGCAUUGUCAGCUGCUUCGUUAAGGAUCAUUUGGAAUGCCCUUGGCUGGGGCGGUGCGUUUGGCCUUGCCGCUUUAUUCUUCCUUGGGCGGUUCUUCAAAAUAUGCCAUCCUUCAUUGCAUUCAUAGCACACCCUCUUGCGGGAUGUACACUCAUUGGCGUAGUGCCCAGGAUUUUCACACUUAAAACAAGUGACCUCCCGUCACAUUUCCCAUGGUGCUUCUUUUUGUACUUUUCACACCAUUUCGCUUCAACUCCUCCUCCUCUCGAACCAGACUUCGAGAAAUUACUUUUCUUGUUGGAUUUCGAAGAUCCAUCAAACUUCCUUUUCUUACCAACCUCUGCCCUCUCCAGACCCUUCUCCCUUAUCCGUGUCUCAACAAUCUUCAUAGCUCUAACGACUGCCUUCAACGUGCUUGCCAUUUUGACUAUUGGGCCAAAGUCUGAUGGCAAUCCGUUAGCAAAUUUCUCUAUCUUGGCGAGUUCAGUCGACACCAAGUAUGGAAAUAACUUCAUCUUCUCAGUGAAUGCAGUAGCAUAAUAAUCAAUGCUUAUUCUCCGUUCUUCAAUUUCUGGAACUCAUUGUUUAGAUCUAUCAUAUCUAUUUCGGAGCAGUACUGCAUUUUCAACUGCAUUAUGAACUCUUCCUUAGACAUUUUCAGAGCUUUUCCUCGUGGCAUCGUAUCCGUUAAUAACUUCGACCAGCUUAAAACUUUGGUCUUUACUUGUUUGACCGCAAAGACAAUUUUUUGUUUGUCGCUAUAGUUGCAGCUUUCAAAUACCAUCUCUAUUUCGACAUGAUCUUCAUUGUGAUUUGACGAAACAUAUUUGGACGGUUAUGCUUUUCAUGGCCAAUUUUCGAAGAAGUACUUCUUUUAAAUUGACGAGUGUGACAUCCACCAUUUUCACGGUCAGAAAAGACUGAUUUUGUUUAUGCUUUAUAAUAAAAUCAGAGUAACCUUUUUAAAGAAAAGUGUUGUGGAAUUUGUUCCUAAAAUAAAAUAUGAUAAAGAUUUAUCAAAACAUUUCCAAAGAAAUGUAUUUCAUUGUAUUAAAACCUUGGGAUGUCAUUAUUAAUACAAAUCAGAAACAUAAGCAGUACAACAUAGGCGUUACAACAUUUAUUUAAAUCUACUAGCCUAUAAACCAUAAUCCUCUCGUCAAGUCAUCCAACUAUGCUCUUGCCACUACCUAUAAUACAAGAAACUGAGCCGGUCAGGCUUGGGAGCCUGGUGAGCACAUAGGGUUUUCAACCCACAAUAAAUAAUUUUGUUAAUUUCAACAAAUGAAAUAAACCAGAUUACCCGUUUCUAUUUAUCCUCACAUUACGUCCCUAAAACAUCUAAUAUAAGGGACAUAGCCUAAGGAUUAUUGUAGCACCUGGUUCCUAGUACGUAAUCCUUGUAAUUAAUAUUUCUUAAUUUUGCAUUUUUGCCUUGGACUUGGCGAGUUGAAGAACCGACUCGUCGAGUAGAAGCGGGAUGAGAAGCGGGGUCUGAGCUUUGGACUCGGCGAGUAGACCCUGUUUGGGCAAAAACCCUAACCAAAGUGUUUGCACCCUAUUUAAACGCUCUAACUUGGCCUCCUUUGUCCCGAACACUCCCAGAGAGCUGAAGAGCGAAACCCUAGCCCCCAUUUUGUUCUUGAGAGUGAUUUUUGGCUUUGUGAAGAAGGUUUGGAGCUUAGAAGAAGAAGAAAUAGGUUGUAGUGUGCAAAGAGGGGAAGUAGAUCCGGAAUCUACACUACAAGAGGCUUCCAUUCAGCCGGAGGAUUACCGAUUCAGCAGUCAGGCGCUUAGCAAGCAGAUUUUCAGCAGCUACUUUUCGAGGUGAGUUACCUUCCAGUAGCGGUGGGUCUAAGGCCACAAUGUCGGCCCACCAGUAGGAGACGUAUGAUAGAUGAGUGUCUUUGUGAUAUCAUCUAGGUUUGUUACUACCUGAUAUGUUAUAUGCUAGCUUGAUGUGUUAUAGUAGUAGAGUUCGGUUGUUAGGACCGAAGGGUAGUCAGAUACCCCAGAUACGUCUGACAGUAUGUGAUGAUAUGUUUGCAUGUUGGCUUGUUAUGUUAUAUGCGAUAGAGGUAGUAGGGGGUGAAAUAGUCCCCGAGGUUCGGUUGUUAGGACCGACGGGUAGUCAGCACCCCAGAAUGGCUUGACAUAGGGAGGGCGGCACCCCAGAAUGGCCGUACAGGUAGGUCGGCACCCCAGAAAUGCCUAGCAGUAUGUAUGUGAUAUGAUUGUAUGGUAUGUGGUACGAUGGGGGGGACUCACUAAGCUUUGUGCUUACAGUUUUCAGUUCUGGUGUCAGGUACCUCUUCAGCGAAGGGGAAGGAGCUGGCGCGGUAGCGGUACAUCAUACACACACAUUGGAUUUCCGCAUUAUGAGAUGUCCUGGGAUUGUACUCUGACAUUAUUAUUAUUUUCAUGUUUUGGGUUUUCAGACACGAGAUUUGUUUUAUGACAUGAUAUGAUCGGAUGAUGUUUUACUGCAAAUGUUUUACAAACCACUUAUUUUAAGUGAAAUUUUUGGGCGUGAAAAUUGGGUCGUUGCAAUUAUCAUCGGGGUAACAACAUUGCUUAGGGGAUACUGUGACAUCCCCAAAAUCUUGGCCAGAAAAGACCGAUUUUCAUUUAUGCUUUUAAAAUAUUUUCAGAGUAAAUCCUUUUGAUUUGAAAGAGUUGCGGAAUUUGUUCCCAAAAACAAAACAUGAUAAAACAAUGUUUACCAAAGCAUUUCAUAAAAGAAAUGUAUUUUCAUUAUAAUCAAAACUCGGGGUGUCAUGUUCCGAUACAGACCAAUAAGCAUAAACGAAUACAUUACAAGUCAUAUAACAAAUAUAAACAUAUGCAGACUUGUAAACAAAACAACUUGAUGGUUCAUCCAUCUCAUGCCCUUCCGCCACUACCUGUAAUACAAUUUAAAACUGAGUGGGUCAGGCUUGGGAGCCUGGUGAGCAUAUAGGGUUUUCAACCCACAAUAAAUAUCAUAUUUAAUUUUCACCAACCAACAAUAACCCAAUUACCCAUUCCCGUUAUUCUCACUUUAAUGUCCCUAAAACAACUAACAUAAGGGACCUAGUCUAAGAAUAUUUCAUCGGGGCGACAACACAUGCUUCGGGGGUACCUCAGCAAUAUAAGUCAAAUAAGGCAACCAUGAGGGGGAUGGAGUACAGCGAAUGAACACCCAAGUUCAUUAACACCUACAGGUGGCGAACCUGCUAAUGUUUCCACAAGACUAUCUAGAAAAGUCCGUGGUCGUCAUCUAAACUCCGCUAGAUGACUAAAUCAAACAACAACGAGGCCUCUCAUCUGUUUAUUACACACCAACUAUCUACCCAUGUUCUACCCAACAUAUUAGUAGAUAAAAAUAUACAUUUUUAUACAUAGUUUAAAAACCUGUAUAGCAUGCUUUAAUCAACACAUAUUUCACAUAACAGAUGAGGCACACACACACAUAACACGUAUCUCAUAGAGAAUAAAUCAUAUCUAUGAGAUAGAAGAAAGUGAAUACACAUUCACACACAUAACCACAAAAUUAUACACAUAAUACGUAUUCCGUAUAAAAUACUUCAUAAUUAUGCGUUAGAAGAAAGUAACUACACACUCACUUGAUCAGAAGAUGAUCGGACAGCACUACGACUUGCAGAAGUAGUAAUCCUCAGCAGAUCUGGAAGAUCUUCACAAAAAUCGAACUUCUCGCGGGCAGAGCUUCGGCUCGGGAACCGCACUUCUCGGGAUCUUCGGGAUCUCGGGACUUGCCUCGGGGCUCGAGUAUGAUACCGGGGCUUCGGGGUAUUUCUGGCACGCAAAACGAUGCAAAACGGGAGAGAGAAGAGAGAAAAUGAACAAAAGAAUCGGCUGCCUUCGGAUCCUAUUUAUAGGAGGCUGAAGCCUCGGAGUACGCGAGGUGUACUGGUCCGAAAAACGUCACUGCUUACGUAUCCGAAGACUCGAGUGCGAAUGUCGACAUCCCUCGGUGUACGCGGGGCGUACUUCGGAUCGGAUUGCUGACUCCCCUUCGGAUAAUACCGGAUUUUCUAAUAAAAAUUAAAUACAAAUUAUUUAAUAAACUUCGGAAAUUCAUCUCUUCUUCAUACGAACUCCGUUUUCGACGUUCUUUAUAUCCACGCGAAGGUGAGACUACGCUCUACAACUUUCGUUUAGACUCCGUCGGCUAAUUUUAACUUUAUUUUUAUUAUUUAUUUUUAAUAGGCCGGGACAGAAAAACUUCGUUAUAAAUUCAUAACUUCUUCGUUUGACGUCCGUUCUCGCCUAACUUUUUAUCGCUUCGAGACCAACAACGAGACCUUCGAUCCUCGUUUAGGUUGCUUCGGCUCAAAACCGCUCGAUCUCAAAUCGAGUAUUUCGGGCUGCACACCGCUAAACCGAAACUUCGAUAAAUCAUAACUUCCUCAUACGAAGUCAGAUUUGGGCGUUCUAUAUAUACAUUCGUAAACCUCGUUUCAACUACUACAUCAUCAACCAAAGAUAUCAAGUUUAUUUUACACUUUAAUUUUGACGCUUAUUUUUAUUCUUAAUUAAUCAAACCACAUAAUUAAGCAAUUAAGCACAAAACACAUAAUACUCAAAUAAUACAAUCAUAUUAUUUCAAAACGGGUUACAAAGGUUAACUUAGACUAUUACAUUGCUAAAAAUGGCAAGCCCGGAAACACAGGCGUUACAGAUACCUCAACAUUUUAUGUCAAAUAAGGCAACCAUGAGGGGGAUGGAGUACACCUGGUGAACACUGAGUCCAAAUAAACACCUACAGGUUGCGAGCCUGCUAGCGUCCCAUUGGACUGUCUAGAAAAGUCUAUGGUCGUCAUCUAUACUCCGCUAGAUGACUAGAUCAUCGUCAAUAUCGAGGCCUCUCAUCAUUUUAUUUCAUCACACGCCAACUAUUUCAUCUACCCACGUUUUACCCAACAUAUUUGUAGACAUAAAUUACAUAUACAAUUCAGAUCUAAAAAACAAAAUNUAUAUAUAUAGUUUAGAUCUGAAAAGAAAAGUCUAGAUCUGAAAUGAGAAAGUUUGGAUUUGAAGGAAACAGUUCAGAUCUGAAAGAAAGAGUUUAGAUUUGAAAGAAAAGUUCAUAUCUAAAAAGAAAAAGGUUUAGAUCUUUCUUCCAACAUAGAUCUCAGGUAAACAGAUAAUAUAUAUACACAUAACACGUAAUUUAUAUAAAAUAGUUUAGAUCUGAAAAGAAAAGUCUAGAUCUGAAAUGAGAAAGUUUGGAUUUGAAGGAAACAGUUCAGAUCUGAAAGAAAGAGUUUAGAUUUGAAAGAAAAGUUCAUAUCUAAAAAGAAAAAGGUUUAGAUCUUUCUUCCAACAUAGAUCUCAGGUAAACAGAUAAUAUAUAUACACAUAACACGUAAUUUAUAUAAAAUAUUUCAUAUUUAUGUGUAAGAAGAAAGUAAAUACACACUCACAUGAUAAGGUGGCGAUUCGGACAACGUUUUGCUUCUUAAAAUAAUCUCCAUUGAUGAAACCGGGAAGUUUGGUUGAAAACCGGGCUCUGCGGGGGGGCAAAGUUUCUAAACCGAAAAACUCUUUUUCUCGGAGACUUCGGGCGCUCCGGGGCUUUCUUCUAGUGCUAAGGAGGUCCCCUAGGCUUCGGGGGUGUUUAGGGUGGAUAGAGAGAGAAAGAGAGAGAGAGAGAGAGAGAGAGAGAGAGUAGAGUAGAGAGUGAAAGAAGUGUGAAAUAUGUGAGAAAACAUGGCUAGCCUCGCAUCCUAUUUAUAGUCAGGAGGUCUCGCAUUACGUUGGGCGUUCCUCGGUCUACAUGGGGUGUUCCUCGGUACGCAGGGCGUACCCUCGUACGCGGUACGGUUUGCGAGGUUCGGAUUUGUCACCCUUCAGAUGGAGCUAUGUGGCCAAUUCCGGACCUAGCCUUUGCGAACGCGGGGUGUUCUCUUCGGAUAGCCUCGAAAUAUGUACCUCUUACUUCAAAAAUUCAUAUAUUUUGCAUACGAGCUCCGUUUUCGACGUUAUUUAUAUCCACGCGUAGGCAGGACCGUACUCUACAACUUUUGUUUAGACUCAGUUGGCUAAAUUUGACUUUAUUUUUAAAGUUAUAUUUUUAACAGGCCGGGACAGGAAAAGUCUAUUAAAAAUUCAUAACUUCUUCAUCCGACGUCCGUUUUCGUUUUUCUUUUAACCGUUGAACUACUAUUGACGAGAUCUUCGAUUCUUGUUUAGGUUGUGUCGGAUAAAAAUCCCUCGAUUAUAAUUCGAGCUACGGGCUGCACACUGCUAUGCUAAAUCUUAGAAAAUUCAUAACUUCCUCGUACCAAGUCAGAUUUGGACCUUCUUUUUAUGCACGCUCUUGAUUUAACGUAUACUAGGAUUUUCAUUUAGAUCGCUAAGGCUAAAAUGCACUUUAUCGUAAACUCACUUUUUACGUCACGCAAUAUCGUGCUAGUUUUGUCGUGAAACUUUAACAGGUCAUAACUUUUUUGUGAUAACUUGGAUUUCGGCAUUCUUUAUAUGUCCGAAAUCCUUGUCACGACCACUACAACUUUCUUCAUAGAUAUCAGAUUUAUAUAACAUUUUAUUUUUGAUGCUUAUUUUCAUUCUUAAUUUAUUAUAUCAUUAUAAAUAAGUAUAUAAUCACAUAAAAUCACGUAAUUCACAUAAUAUUCAAGUAAUUCAUCUUUAUUACUUUAAAAUAGGUUACAAUAGUUGACCUUGACUAUUACAUCAUCAUACUAAUGUUUAGCCCAGAAACAAGGGCAUUAGAACGAGUAUGUUACUAGGGAGAAGAGAAAGAAAAAGAGAAACGGAAAACAUGAAGGUUUCACGAGAACUUCUCACUGAUAUCACUAUUCCCGUCGGUAACGUCAUGGACAUUGCCGGUGAUAAGGUUACCUCGUUACCAGAGGCAUUUUCGGUGAAAAACGACAUGAGUGAAGCUUUUCAUCGGAGUUGAUAGAGAGAAAAAGAGUAACACGGAAGAGGGAAGAAUGAAGUCGCUAAGGGUAUUAUUCGUGUCACACUUUAGCAACGAUACCAUUUAGUGGUGUCGAAAGACAUUUGUGGCAACUCGAAACGUAAUAGUCGCGACACACUUUUGAGGGAAUAAUUGGCAGAGGGUUCGAGUAUUAGCGGUGACACCGUUGCUGGUAUUAGUUAGUGGUGUGUAUGGGGCGGUUUGGUUCGGUUAUUGGUUAAAACCGAACCAUAACGAUUAUGAUUGGUUAAUGCAUUUUGGUAGCCAUUGGGUAUGGUUAAUAUUGGUUAUGGUUAGUAGUUUUUAUCGGUUAACGGUUUUGGUUAAUGGUUAAUAUUGGUUAACCAUAAUGUUCAAAAUAAUAUAAACGACGAAAGUAUUUUGGCAUGAAAAAUGAAAAUAAAAUACCAAAAAGUCCUCGACGCCGAUGUUUGUAACCUAACUUAUAGUAAUAUAAUAAAAUGUGUAUCUGUAAUACUUAGAGUGAGAUAACACAUAGUCACAUUUAAAAUCAAAAAUAUUUAAUAAAAAUAUAAAACAUUAAAAAAAUUGACAUUAAUAAUUUCAUAUAUUGAUAAUUGAUAUUAAUAUUAAAAUAAAGUCAAACAUUCAUACACGUUCAAUACGAUUAAAUUAAAACUAUUAAAUAAAAAAGCCAAACAUUCAUAUUCUGUGUUAUUAGAUAUAAAAAAAAAAAAAAGUCAAUCACUCAUCUACAUUCAAUGUGAUUAAGUCAAAAACACUAAAAAAAUUCAAAAAAUUAAAAAAAAAUACAUUCUUAAUAUAUCACAUAGUUAAAAAGAACCAAAAACUUAACUUACCUAGAAGUCUUGAGUAUAAAGUCAAAAAAAUCCUUCGAAUAGGACUAUAAAGUCCAAACAAUCUUUGAUUAUGAUUAACGGUGUGAGAAGCCUUCGAUUAGGAUUAUGAGUGUGAAGAUUAAACUAAUUGUGAAUAAUGUUUACAAAUUGUAGAAUUAGCCGAUUAUGAAUUACAACAUUAAUUAAUAAUCUAACUCAAUGUAUGAUUGGAAGAUUAUGUGUGUCUGAGUGAUCAGUCUUUGAUGAUUUGAUUGCUCGUUCGUCUCCUGGUAAGUGAAGAUUAAUAGAUUAUAUUUUCAAAAUUUUAAUGGAUCUUAAAUAAGUUUGACUAUAUNUCUCUUUCUCUCUCUCUCUCUCUAUAUAUAUAUAUAUAUAUAUAUAUAUAUAUUAAAAUAUAAAGUUAGCGGUUCGGUUAAUAAUGGUUCGGUUAACCUAUAAAACCAUAACCGAACCGUUAGUUAUUGGUUAACAAAAAUUAGAAACCGAACCAACGGUUUUUAAAAUGGUUCGGUUAUAACGGUUAAUUUGGUUUUGGUUCGGCUUUUCGGUUAUUAUGCUCACCCCUAGUAUUAGUUUCGCCGUUAUUGUUAUGUACGAAAUCAUUUUUCAAGUGUUGGAUUAUGACAAAAUCGACGAAUAGGGUUUAACCUCAGAUUUUGACGCGGAUCGGGGUUGAUGAGUUUCGCCUUUAGCGGUGACAACCACCAUUACAACGAGACCUAAUCUAAAUGUUGGGUAUCGCUUGUAAUGGUGGUUGUCGCAACUAAAGGAUUCGCCACUGAAGUCCUAUAUUGUUGUAGUGAUAAAUGUUAAACCUAAACACCAAUUUAAACACACCAACCACUAGAAAUUGGUGGCGACAAGUUCAUGGCAUUAAGAGCGAUAACAAAUGGUGUAUAAAUCCAUUAUGAUCUUCGUUGCGAUUUAACAGAACAUAUUUGGACGGUUAAUGAUUUUGAAGCUCAAUUUUGGAACAAUUUUUUUUUUGAUCCAUCAUGUUAUUAAGUUUUAAGUUUUUAAUUUUUUGAGUUGUUAUGGUUUAGUUUCUUGUUGUGUAAUUUUUAUUUUGAUUUAAUAUAAAAUUUAGUUUUUAAAAAAUUAAUUGCUAAAAAAAGUACUGAUGUUAAAAAAAUGAUGUUAAUCCGCCUAACCUAAAUGUAAAUGGUAUGUUGAAGACGGUGUGUAGCAAAAUCAAAUAUAAGCUGCUGGUUGAUGCAUCGGGUAUUGUAUUACGUGAGGUUGAUAGUUUGAUUUGUUGAAAUUAUCUUUUGUGUGUUUGAGAAUUCUUUUAUGGAAGUCCCUAUAAAAAGGAGUUCAAACUCAAAUGUUGGUUGAAAUAUUGCGAGUACACUUCACUUAAUUUGAUUGCGGUUAGGAAGCAAUUUAAUUUCUCAAAAGAUUAAAUGCCACUAAUAAAUUAAAAAAAUAAACUAAAAAUCAACACCAAAUUAAUGCCAAAGCUUUAAACCAUAUAUUACUAAAUUAAUUCACAUACGCCAUCAAAAAAAAAUUCAUGUCACAAACCCAUACUCAUAAAACUCACUUUCCAGGUACAAAGUUUGUAGCAUAUGACCAUGCAUUGUUUGCAACAGGGUCAGCAAGGUGGUCAGCGAGGUUCUCCAAUGGUCCCUUUCCGGUAACAAUGGCUUGAACAAAGAAUCCAAACAUAGAGAACAUGGCUAGUCUACCGUUCUUGAGCUCCUUCACUUUCAGCUCAGCAAAUGCCUCUGGGUCAUCAGCCAGACCCAAUGGGUCGAAGCUACCACCAGGGUAAAGUGGGUCAACUACCUCACCAAGAGGUCCACCAGCAAUUCUGUAACCUUCAACUGCACCCAUCAAGAUCACUUGGGUAGCCCAGAUGGCUAAAAUGCUUUGUGCAUGGAUCAAACUUGGGUUCCCCAAGUAGUCAAGACCACCCUCACUAAAGAUCUGGGAUCCAGCCUUGAACCAUACAGCCUCACCAAACUUGACACCAUUACGCGCCAAGAGUUCGGGGAAGACGCACCCAAGAGCUCCGAGCAUGGCCCAUCUGCUGUGGAUGACCUCAAGCUCACGGUUCUUGGCGAAUGUUUCAGGAUCAGCAGAGAGCCCAGCAGUGUCCCAACCGUAGUCACCGGGGAACUCACCGGUCAGGUAAGAUGGGGCUUCGCCGGAGAAUGGGCCAAGGUACUUAACACGGUCGGGGCCGUACCAUGGACUUCCUGAUGGUGCGACUUUCUUGACUGCUGUCUUCCUCAUGGAAACCCUUCCAUUUCCGGUGAUUUCUGAACCAGAUGGUGUUAUUUUCACUGCUUGUCCGAUGAAUGAAGAAGAUACAGACAUAGUGGAAGCUGCCAUUCUGUUAAAUUUGGUUGAAAGAUGUUGUGGAGAUAGGAGAGUUUGAGUUAUGAAGAUGGGGAGAUCUGCAAGUUUAUUUAUAAGGUGGUUUUUUGGUCAGAUAGAUAUGAUCGAUGCUUAUCUAGAUACAAUCUUCACCUUCAUUUUGAUUGGCAAACAACAUUCUAGUUUUAUCUAAGGGUCAGUAAUCUGCGUGCUGUGAGUUCUCUGGUCCACCAGAGAUUUUUGAAGGGGCUGCGGUAUAUUCAUGGCUCUGGUUUAUUGAGGGAAUGUAAUGGCUCCCAUUCUCAGCCACAAGCUGUUCUUGGUGGGGUUUUUCAUCUUUAACCAUUUUACAUUUUCACAAAGUUACAUAAAUAGUCAUCAUGCUUUACAAAGUCACCGGUUCAGCAACAAACUUUUUUUCCAUGAUUAAAAAUUCAAAACGGUCCGUAUGGUUUUAAUAUUAUUAGUAAUCAUCUUAACAUUUCUAAUUUUUAAAGACAAAUAUUCAUAUAAAUGGUUAUGUGAUUUUCCAGAAUAUCAAGUGGAGCACAUCAUUUUUUCGGUCUUAUGGAAUGACUAUUUGGUUUCAAUUCCUAUCAUAAUUGAUCUUAGAGCAUCCACAAUAGGGGAGUUUAAUGGAAGAGUUGAAUGAGGUGUCAUGCCUACUUGUCAUUCAAUGGAUACAACUCCACCAUUGUGAAAUGCCACCUUGGCAUUCAAUGAAUUUGGAGUUCAAUGGUCAUUGAACUCUUCAAUGGGAAAAAGGAAAAUCUUUAAAUCUUUAAAUAAAUAUUUUUUAAUAUAUUCCAUUGAACUUGUAGAGUUUAAUGCAUUGUGGGAUAAAAAUGAAAAGAGUUGUAUGGAAUAAUGAAUGAUGACGUGACACUCCAUUGAACUCUAUAGAGUUCAAUGCAUUGUAGAUGCCCUUAGUCCCACAUAAAUAAACUUUUAUACCCUUCUAUAUUAUAAUUAGUUUAUUUAAUAUAUAAAUAGCUAUGUUUUAUAGUUAACAAUAAAUUUUGUUCAUNNNNNNNNNNNNNNNNNNNNNNNNNNNNNNNNNNNNNNNNNNNNNNNNNNNNNNNNNNNNNNNNNNNNNNCUCUCUCUCUCUCUCUCUCUCUCUCCCAUCACACCCUCCUAAUCUUUAUUUCUUUCACUCGAUCGGUCAACCUCUUUUCUUUCUACAUAAAAAUUAAUCCAAAAUGCAGCCUUUUCCCAUACUCUGUGCUUGCACCGCCACUUUACCUUCUUGAAACCAAAUUACUAACCAUACACAAGUCUACAAAUCUACUAAUGUGUCUUCCAUUUCUCAAAAUCGAAAAAUAGAGAAGGUGUAGAACAUUGAGCUCACUUCUGUGCAUCUCCCACCUCUUUUACACAAAUAUGAAAUUAAAAUUGAAGAACAACUUUGUGAAGAACCUAGAUUGUGGAGAUGAUGAUGAAUAAAGUCGAUAGUUGGUGGUGCUCGGUGAUGUUUGAUGUUAGCGGCAGUACACUAGUGUUGUGGUGAUCGCCUGUUCAGUUGGUUAUAUUCUGGUAGGGUGGACGAUGGUGACCGUAGAACAGUUCAUAUAUAUAUNNNNNNNNNNNNNNNNNNNNNNNNNNNNNNNNNNNNNNNNNNNNNNNNNNNNNNNNNNNNNNNNNNNNNNNNNNNNNNNNNNNNNNNNNNNNNNNNNUAUAUAUAUAUAUAUAUAUAUAUGUGUGUGUGUGUGUGUGUGUGUGUGUGUGUGUGUGUGCGCGCGCACACUACAAGAAAUUUAGGUGUUUAUCCACACACGUUAUAUGUGGCUAAAAGACCUUUAUGUGUAGUUAUCUUUAGCUACACACAGAUUAAGUGUCAUAAUGUAUUGACUCAUGCCUAUAGAUAUAUAUCAUUAACUAUACAUUCAUUAUGUGGAAGUAUAGUGCAAUUAGUACACACAUACAUGUGUGGUUAAAACUAGUAAGUAUGUGCAUAUAGAAAGGGAGCUGAUCCGUUCACAACAAUUUUUCUCCAUACACAAUAAUUGAUGCUUUAAAAUGUUGUAUUAUACAACUAUAUAAUGCAUGAAUUGUUGUGUAUGGCAAAAAACUGUUGUGUACGAAUCACUUCCCAUAUAGAAGUACUAAAAAUUGUUUGAGUUGUCAACGAUGUGGCUGAUGACAUGUCAAAUUAUGUGGCAAGCCCACACAAAGUGUUGGUGAUAUGUGUUAUUCGAUAUGUGUGGGUAAUAAUUGUUAUAUGUGUAGGUUAAGAUAAGAUAUAUGAAAUAUAUAAAACACAAUAAAUGAAAUAUAAAAUUUAACAACACAAAUUGUUAUUACUUUUAAUAAGGAGUUAACGAUAUAUAAAACUUCUUUUGGAAUGGAAGUAUGUAGCACCCAAAGUCAGAAAGGCCAAGAAAGGAAAGGAAACCCUAAGUUUAAGGGACGACUCAGCAAGUCCAAGGAGGUACUCGGCGAGUCCGAGCGGGAUCCGGGUCGAGGAGUAAAUGACCGACUCGGCGAGUCGGCCAAGGAGACUCGGUGAGUCUGGUCUGUACGAGGAAAUCCCUAAAUUCGGGACUUGGAGCCUAUUUAAGCGCCUCAUUCUCUUCUCUAGGGUUCCUCUACUGCCUCUCUAACCNCUCAACCCCACCCCCGCCCCGCCAUAUCCAUUGUUGAGCCAAUUAUUGCUUUGAAGAGUGCAUUAAAGCUUGGAGAAGGAAGAAGGACCUUGGAGGUGCAAGAAGGAGCUAUAGAUCUGGGCUUGGGAAGAUAUUUCUGAACAUUUGGAGGUAAUAAACUAGUUCUUGGACUCCUUUGCACCUAGAUCUAUGUGUGAGUUUUGGGGCUUUUGGCCAUGAUUGGUACCCAUUUAAGUUAGAAGCCAGAUCUAAAGUUGCUACUUCGGAUAUAAGCAUAUUAUGGGCUUGUGAAGCAUAAAGUAUCAGCCCUUGAGUUGAUUAUGGAGCCUCUUUGCAUUAAACCCUAUUUUAUGGUGUGUCUAGCCUAGAUCUCCUUCUCUACACGUAAAGUUUGCAACUUUACGUGAGGAAUAGGCUUGGGAAGGGUAGAUCUACAGUUUGGGGUCCAUGCAUGACUCAAAAGUCCUCUACAUGUAUGUAGAUCUGAAUGGACUCGGCGAGUCCUUUGAGUGGACUCGGGGAGUAGCAUGAAGAUUAGGAGGAACUCAACGAGUGGGAUGAACAGCUCAUCGAGUCGGAUGAAGUUGGGCAGGAACUCGGCGAGUUGGAAGAACAACUCGGAGAGUCGGUUGAAGAUUGCCUUGGACUAGGUGAGUCUGUUCUUGGACUCGGCGAGUCAGGUCGCGAAACCCUAAACCCUUCGACUUGAGACUCGAAUCAGUGAGUCGAGUGGAGACUCGGUAAGUUGGACAGGUCAGGACUCGGAAAUCGGUAGACUCGGCGAGUCAUGGACUGACUCGGUGAGUCGAGUCGCGAUUGGAAGGACUUAGAGCAUAUGAACUCGGCGAGUCAAUAGGUAGACUCGGCGAGUAGGGUUGACCUGGAAGAUUGACUUUGAACAGGACUUUGACUUUGACCAGAGUUGACUUAGUUGACUGUUGGGGGUCAGUUAGUCUAAGUGUUUCAUUGAUAUUGGUAGCUCGGGGAGCUAGUGGAGCAGGAGUUCAGAGAGUUUCCGGGCAGCAUCCAGAAGGUUAUCAGCAUGUUCAGCAAGUGCAUGUGAGUUUCCCUUUGUGCCAAUGGGUCUACGGUCACAAUGUCGGCCCAUGUAGUUAUGAGUAGAAGACCCGGGGGUUAGCCCUAGGCACAGUAUGCUAGUAUGAUAUUCAGGACGAGGUCCAAUGAUAGCGGGCGGGUGCCCAAGGAAUGGUUUAUGUGAUAGUUUAUACUUGUUGUAUGUGUGAUACUUGUAUGUGUCUGGUAGGGAGGUGAGUGUGGGCGAGGUCCCGUAUCUCACCAAUAGCAGAGUGUGGAUGGUGUUCCACAUCUCAGUAGCAGCAGAGCAGGGGCGAGGCCCAAGUUAGGGAAGGAGUGAGGGUGGGCUGGGCCCGUACCUCACUAUCAGCAGGAGUAUGGACGGGGUUCCAUGACUCAUCAGUAGCAGGACAAGGGCGGGGCCCAGAGAUAGGCGAGGCCUUAGGACAAGAUCCGUUAGUAUGUGUUUAGCUUAUGUGAUGUGAUGUGAUAUGUUUAUGUGCUAUUAUAUGUUAGUGGGCGAGGCCCUGUGACAGGCGAGGCCUAAGUGAAACAGAUCUGUAUCCGAGCGGGGCUCGAAGCCAGGCGGGGCCUGGAGCGGCGGGGCCGUUGUAGCGGGCGAGGCCCGAGGUAGGGGGGGAGGCCCAGGAUAGCGGGCGUGGCCCAGCGUGUGCAGUAUGUGGUUAUGCAUGGUAUGUGGUAGGGUGGGGAACUCACUAAGCUUCGUGCUUACGGUUUUCAGUUUUGGUUUCAGGUACUUCCGGUAGCGGAGGGAAGAGCUCGGGGGUGAUCGCAUGGCACACACCAUAGAUUAGACAGUCUGGGAAUGUUUUACUCUGACAAUGAACAUGUGUUUUGGAAAAUUAAUACUCUGAUUAUGUUUUGAAUUGGUGACCUUGCUUAAAGAAAUCUUUUAUUAAAAGAAAUUUUUAGUCAUGAAUUUUGGGACGUUACAAGUUGGUAUCAGAGCCUUGGUUUGAGGGAUUCGGGCAUACUCUCGGGUGUGCCUGAACUCAAACUAAGGGGUCGGAUAAAAAGUUUUCAAAAUGAAAAGACAGUUUUCUAAAAAGAGAGUUUUGGGAAAGAAAACAGUUUUAGAAAAGCAAAAAGAAUUCAGAAAGAAAAGAACUUUGAAAAGAAAAAAAUGGUGUGGUGCAUGCAAUCAGCUGGUCUUAAGUAAGUACCCCAAAUUACCCAUACAAGUUUAUGUUAUGAUUAUCAGUUAGUAGAACAGCAUGCUAGAUUAGGACUAAGGAUCUAGGGAGGAUGCCUUAUGUGCCUAUUAUAUGUGCUUUGAGUUGCAUGAUAGUGUUGAUUAGACAGUGGUAGGAUAGCCUGUUUAGGUUAUGCCUGAGUAUAUGAGUUUGUGUUGCAUGCUAGUUCAGAUUCUUGCUAUGUGGAUAUGAUUGCUUAUGUAUGUUAUGGUUAGAUUUUCCCCUUGUCUGAAUGCUGCCUGCUUUGUGCAAUAUGGGAUUCCGAGUGAUGGGAGUAACCAUUAGGUGGAUACGUCACGUCACAUGUGAUCAGGGUUGAAUAAUCUCAGAGUGCUAAAUUUGGCCCUAUUUCGCAGCUCUCGUUUGAGUCCAACCAUUGUAGGGAUGAGUCUUUUACUCGAAGAAUUAUCUGAGCCUUGUCACAUGUGAUGGUGUCCAGUUGAUGGCCAAUUGGCAUCACAAGGAGUCCUUCAGCAGCUGAGGCCUGGUUUGGUGUGAGUCAGAGGUUUCCUUAGGGUAAGCCUAGGAUGAGAUAGUGUUGGGAGCAGUAGUAGUGGAUAAGGGACCUGGUGGAGUCGAAGCAAUUCCNGAGGAAAGUACAGAUAGAUAUGGAUGGUAGUAUGGGCCCGUACUACUGAAAGCAGAGGAUCCGUACUCGAUUCGGGAAAGGCUGAGACAAGACCGAGAACCUAGUAGGGUGAGUGUGUGUCUGGUCUCACAGCAGUGAUAAGUAUUCUGAUAGAGGAUGUAUUAUAUAUUCAGCAUGGUGACAUUGCGAGAGAGACCAGUGGGUGGACCAGGCGCCGGAGAGGGAUCGCUCGGGGUCNAGCAGCUCGAGGAGCGGAUGAGGGAGUUGAUAUCAGCUGAGGUUACGCGCAGUAUUCUAGAUCAGACUCCUGUGAUCUUUGGCACGGUCAAGGAGGGUAUAUUGGAGAUUUUGGAUGAGAGGCUGGGAGCCUUCCGUACCGAGAUGAUGGCAUUGAUGGGAGCACGUACCUUGACAUUUCGAGAGUUCAGGGCUUGCGGGGCACCAGAUUAUCAUGGGGCUAGGGACCCCAUCGCUAGCAGCAGAUGGUUGGUUGAUGUUGCCAAUGCAUUCCGUACGAGCCGGUGUCCUGAGGGGGACAAGGUUAGGCUCGCUUCUUGUCUUCUGAAGAACAGAGCAAGGGAUUGGUGGGAGGAGAUUAGUCAUGCCUUGGGGGAUGAUGUCGCGUUGGAUGCGAUGACUUUGAGCGAUUUCUCGUCCAGGUUCAGGGCGGAGUUUUCGCCGAUUAUUGAGGUGCAGCAGUUGCCACAGGAGUUUCAGGAUUUGACGCAGACCACUGAGACUGUGGCGGAGAUCACCGCCAAGGUCAGGGAGAGGGCUCUUCUUGUACCGCAGUGUGUCGCGGAUGAGGAGAUGAAGAAGGCCCGAUACCAUGAGAUGUUGAGGGAUGAUAUCAGGGUGUUCGUGAUCAGGUCCAGCUGUAAGACGCUAGAAGAUAUGAUUUCUCGAGCUAGAGAGAGGGAAAUUGAUUUGGAGCAGAUCCGGAAGAGGAAGCCGGAUGAGGUUUAGGUAGCCACAGGUUCGGGCAAAAGGCCUAAGGGAUCAGAUUCGAGAUCGAGGGAUUAUCAGGACCGCAGUCGGUGCGGGAAGUGUGGCAGGGCGCACAGGGGUGCGUGUAGGAGUGGUAGCGGUGGUGAUUCUGGCUGCUUCAAGUGCGGUCGGACUGGUCAUUUCAGUAGAGAUUAUACUGUUACCACCACACAGGGAUCAGACUUGAUAUGUUUUCACUGCAAUCAGCGGGGCCACAAGAAGGCCCAGUGCCCCAGUUUGUUUUCAAUAGGACGGGUGAUGACACUUGCCCCUGCAACUUUGAGGAUCACAGACGGCCGUCAGGGCCGUGCAGAGGCGCCUGCGGUAGGAGGCAGGUCUUUUCAGAUGACUACCUUGGAGGCGCGAGCAGCACCGGACGUUGUAGGUAUGCGAUUUUGUUUUCAGUUCUUUUAUUUGUGCAUGAUUAUAUUGUUAUGGUUCUGGAUCAUCAUUGGUUUGAGUAUUUUAUUUUUUGAGCGGUUGAUUGUGAUCGAGUUAUAUGCCAUCUUAAUACCUUGGAUAUUUGAAUGGUAGUUAGGAGAUGUGCUCUAUUAGAGAAGGUUUCAUAGGAUGCAGUAAUUGUAGCAUGCCUGGGAGGGACUUGGUAUGUCUCGCUAGAUCGGAGUUGUAUAAUGUUAGAGAUGGAUUGGUUAGAUCCCUAGCUAUGGUGAGCUUGGGUUCCUCAGCAGCUUGAUUAUGGAAUGGUAGCAAGGAUUGGGAUUCUUUUGAGUAUUGAGCAGCAAGGGGUAAGCAGGAUCGAAGUGGGGGAGAAUCCUCCGAGUGUGCAAAGGUAGGAUCACGCAGACCCAAAAUGAGUGCGCGACCUCCGAGAAGGAAAAGAAGUAGUUCAGCGUUUGAUGGAUUGAGGAUUUCAGGGUUGGGAUUUUGAGAAACUCCCCAUCAGCUAGUGCGUGUGAUGGUGAUGGUUAGUAUGUGGUUGGGAAUUCAGGUUGUGGAUCGCCCGUAGGACUCGAGGGAGUCGGAAUGAGGAUCUUGAGAGCUAAUGGCACAUGGGUGCCUUCGUAUUAGCAGUCAGUGGUAGAAAGUGAUGUAAGACUACGGGGCAGCCGUAGCAUUCACUAACAGUUAGUGGUAGAAAGUGAUGUAAGACUACGGGGCAACUAUAACACUCACUAGUAGUCAGUGGUGGAAGUGUUGUAAGACUACGGGGCAACCAUAGCAUUCACUAGCAGUCAGUGAUGGAUGGUGAUGUAAGACUACUAGUAAGCCGUAGCAUUCCUUAGUAGCUUCGUUAGCGGAGUUGGGGCGAGGCCCUUAUCUCCUAGCGAUCAGAUAGGGAUCAGGAAUGGGUAGUGGAUGAAAGUGAUAGGAAGUUUGCUUGUAUAGCCCUAGAGAGGUGAGACCUUGGGAGAGGCCGCUCCAGGAUAUAGUUGGGUGAGGCCUGUGGGCGAGGCCCGUAUGAGAGUAGCGGUAUAGGUGAGACCUGAGAGUAGGGUUGCUCAGUAGUAUGGCCGGGUGAGACCCGUAGGCGAGGCCCGAGAGAGAGUGGUUAGACAAGUAGGACUAGAAGGAUAGAGGCGGGGGGGACCCGUGGGCGAGGCCCGUGUGUUUUAGCGGCAUAGGGGGGACCUGGUAAGGACCUUAGUGUCAAGAUAAGGGAUCGGGGAUCCAUGGAUUGUAGUGACUGAAUGGCAGAAUAGAUUGCGCAGUUAUAGGUGGUCAAAGUUCCUUCGAAAGUCGCUGGGAGCGACUAGGAGUAGUGUUGGGACUAGCGACCGGUGGGAUCCGGUAAUCCAGAUAUUGGUAGGACGGUAGGGAUUAGGGUGGUCUCAGUUCAUCCGGAAGGCAGAUAAGGAAUAGCAGAAUUUUCAGUCAGUAGUAGUGCGGGUAAGCAGUGUAUGGUGGAAUUCAGUUAGUUGUAUCGAGGGGUGCUCGACACCAAGUUUUGACAGAGAGGAGUGUCAGUGGUUACUGGCGGUGAUGACCUGUACUGGAAGUAGCGGGGGUGAUGGAGUUGGCGAAGGAUAUGACCUUCACAGUGACAGAGGAAAUAGUUGGUUAUGGAGCAUUGCCUUGGGAAGGCAAGGAAUUCGCACAAGGAAAGAAGGGGUGAACCCCUAUAGGUUCAGUACAGUACUCGGUGAGUACCGGAAGGAUUGUCGGUUGAGUAAGUUGUGUUUCCAGGAUGUUCAGGGUCAGGGUGACCUGAGUCUAUUAUCCGCAAGGAAUGAUGUUAGUCAGAAUGACCGGGCGGAAGACCAGCGAAGGUAGGCAGCUGGUGUUGGAAUGAUUAGUUGGGUAUUGAAAGCAUAUCGCAGGCAGUGGCCCAUAGCAAACUUCGAGGAUGAAGUUUAGUUUAAGUGGGGGAGAGUUGUAACACCCAAAGUCAGAAAGGCCAAGAAAGGAAAGGAAACCCUAAGUCUAAGGGAUGACUCAGUAAGUCCAAGGAGGAACUCGGCGAGUCCGAGCGGGAUCCGGGUCGAGGAAUAAGUGAACGACUCGGCGAGUCGGCCAAGGAGACUCGGUGAGUCUGGUCUGUACGAGGAAAUCCCUAAAUUUGGGACUUGGAGCCUAUUUAAGCGCCUCAUUCUCUUCCCUAGGGUUCCUCUACUGCCUCUCUAACCCAGAACACCAAACCCUAGCCGCCAUAUCCGUUGUUGAGCCAAUUAUUGCUUUGAAGAGUGCAUUAAAGCUUGGAGAAGGAAGAAGGGCCUUGGAGGUGCAAGAAGGAGCUAUAGAUCUGGGCUUGGGAAGAUAUUUCUGAACAUUUAAAGGUAAUAAACUAGUUCUUGGAAUCCUUUGCACCAAGAUCUAUGUUGAGUUUUGGGGCUUUUGGCCAUGAUUGGUAUCCAUUUGAGUUAGAAGCCAGAUCUAAAGUUGGAACUUCGGAUCUAAGCAUAUUUUGGCCUUGUGAAGCAUAAAGUAUCAGCCCUUGAGUUGAUUAUGGAGCCUCUUUGCAUUAAACCCUAUUUUAUGGUGUGUUUAGCCUAGAUCUCCUUCUCUACACGUAAAGUUUGCAACUUUACGUGAGGAAUAGGCUUGGGAAGGGUAGAUCUACAGUUUGGGGUCCAUGCAUGACUCAAAAGUCCUCUACAUGUAUGUAGAUCUGAAUGGACUCGACGAUUCCUUUGAGUGGACUCGGCGAGUAGCAUGAAGAUUAGGAGGAAUUUGACGAGUGGGAUAAACAGCUCGUCGAGUCAGAUGAAGUUGGGCAGGAACUCGGCGAGUUGGAAGAACAACUCGGCGAGUCAGUUGAAGAUUGCCUUGGACUUGGCGAGUCUGUUCUUGGACUCGGCGAUUCAGGUCACGAAACCCCAAACCCUUCGAGUUGAGACUCGAAUCAGUGAGUCGAGUGGAGACUCGGUGAGUUGGACAGGUCAGGACUCGGAAAUCGGUAGACUCGGCGAGUCGAGUCGCGAUUGGAAGGACUUUGAGCAUAUGAACUCGGCGAGUCAAUAGGUAGACUCGGCGAGUAGGGUUGACCUAGAAGAUUGACUUUGACCAGGACUUUGACUUUGACCAGAGUUGACUUAGUUGACUGUUGGGGGUCAGUUAGUCUAAGUGUUUCAUUGAUAUUGGUAGCUCGGGGAGCUAGUGGAGCAGGAGUUCAGAGAGUUUCUGGGCAGCAUCCAGAAGGUUAUCAGCAUGUUCAGCAAGUGCAUGUGAGUUUCCCUUUGUGCCAAUGGGUCUACGGUCACAAUGUCGGCCCAUGUAGUUAUGAGUAGNGGAAGGUUGACUUUGACCAGGACUUUGACUUUGACCAGAGUUGACUUAGUUGACUGUUGGGGGUCAGUUAGUCUAAGUGUUUCAUUGAUAUUGGUAGCUCGGGGAGCUAGUGGAGCAGGAGUUCAGAGAGUUUCUGGGCAGCAUCCAGAAGGUUAUCAGCAUGUUCAGCAAGUGCAUGUGAGUUUCCCUUUGUGCCAAUGGGUCUACGGUCACAAUGUCGGCCCAUGUAGUUAUGAGUAGAAGACCCGGGGGUUAGCCCUAGGCACAGUAUGCUAGUAUGAUAUUCGGGACGAGGUCCAAUGAUAGAGGGCGGGUGCCCAAGGAAUGGUUUAUGUGAUAGUUUAUACUUGUUGUCUGUGUGAUACUUGUAUGUGCCUGGUAGGGAGGUGAGUGUGGGCGAGGUCCCGUAUCUCACCAAUAGCAGAGUGUGGAUGGUGUUCCACAUCUCAGUAGCAGCAGAUCAGGGGCGAGGCCCAAGUUAGGGAAGGAGUGAGGGUGGGCUGGGCCCGUACCUCACUAUCAGCAGGAGUAUGGACGGGGUUCCAUGACUCAUCAGUAGCAGGACAAGGGCGGGGCCCAGAGAUAGGCGAGGCCUUAGGACAAGAUCCGUUAGUAUGUGUUUAGCUUAGGUUAUGUGAUGUGAUAUGUUUAUGUGCUAUUAUAUGUUAGUGGGCGAGGCCCUGUGACAGGCGAGGCCUAAGUGAAACAGAUCUGUAUCCGAGCGGGGCUCGAAGCCAGGCGGGGCCUGGAACGGUGAGGCCGUUAUAGCGGGCGAGGCCCGAGGUAGGGGCGAGGCCCAGGUUAGCGGGCGUGGCCCAGUAUGUGCAGUAUAUGGUUAUGCAUGGUAUGUGGUAGGGUGGGGAACUCACUAAGCUUCGUGCUUACGGUUUUCAGUUUUGGUUUCAGGUACUUCCGGUAGCGGAGGGAAGAGCUCGGGGGUGAUCGCAUGACACACACCAUAGAUUAGACAACCUGGGAAUGUUUUACUCUGAUAAUGAACAUGUGUUUUGGAAAAUUAAUACUCUGAUUAUGUUUUGAAUUGGUGACCUUGCUUAAAGAAAUGUUUUAUUAAAAGAAAUUUUUAGUCAUGAAUUUUGGGACGUUACAAAGUACAUUAAUCCUUGGUACAAAUAUUACAUCAACAAAAGUUAUCUCUAAGCUUUCAUGAAAUUGAAGACCUUAUGCCUAACACAACCAUUGUAUCUAGAUAAGAUUUUCCUACUUAUUUACUUUGUUGUGUGCAAAUAUUAAUACACUUGACUUAAGCAUCACCAACAUUUGGACAUAAUUGUUGACGUUGAGGUGGUUGGUUAGAGCAUUAGUCAACUUUAAUAUUCAAGUGAAGACGUAUCAAAUACAAGUGAUUGUAGUUCACUCCUAUAGCAACAAGAGGAGCAGAGGCUUUAAGUAGUUUAUCCAUUUCAACAUGAAACUCUUUUCACACAUGAACGAUCUUAUGACACCUGUCAAAUGCCUCUUAAAAUAUACAAUCAACACUUGGUCAGUAGCUUUCUUCUCUGUGGCCAGAACCAUGACCUCUUCAUUUCCCUAUAUUAAUGAUGACAGGUUCAUAAACUAAAAGGACUGUAAAGUCAAAAUAGUUGACAUUAUGUUGACAUACCUAGUGGUGUGAAGAGAAGAAUAAAUAGAAUGUUUGUAAUAAACCCGCUUUCUUGGGUGAGGAAACCAUGACACUUGUUCAGAAAUGAAACAUCCCAACUAGCACCUAACGACUUUUGCUACAUUGAGAUAUACUAGCAAACAACAUAAGCAAAUCACAUGGAAAAUUAUUACAAUUAAUAAAACUCAUAAAUAAAGUGGUAAAAACAGCCUUGCACACACUCUUGAUUAAAAAAAUAGUUUAUAUUAGUGUAACAUCCCGAUUUCUCGAUAUCAGUUUAAAGUUCUAGAGUCAUGUUUCAAAGACAACUCGACGAGUUGAUAGGCCAACUCGUUGAGUAGUGACCAAAUCAGCCAUGUGGAUUUUAGACCCUACUCGUCGAGUUGGAGGACCCGACUCGACGAGUAGGUGCUGGAAAGUGAAAACCAUAAUUUUUAGGGUUUGCACCCUAUUUAAAGGUCCUUAACUUUCCUCCUCAGCCUCCCUUGUCACCUUCACGUCCAAAAAAACCAACUAGUCUCUAUUCUUGAGUGUGUGAGACCAAAAGAGAGUGUAUUGGAGCAUUCUUAAGGAGUUAAGAGCUUUGAACAAGGGAUAGCUUGUAGAUCCAACUUUUCCAGUGUUGUGACAACAAUAUUGAGUUAUAAAGCUACCACCUUUAUAUUUCAUUGCUUAGAUCUUCCUUUUUGGUAAAGUAAUUGUCAUGUCUAGGGCAUGAUGGGGUCACACUCGGAUUUAAGCUUGCCACAAGGGCAUAGUUUUAGAACUUGACUUCUUAAGGCCUUAUGAACAUAAAUCCUUAAGCUUUAUGAAGCCCUAGCCCUCCUUCAUGUCCAAAACCUUCUCCUAAUGCUAAUUAUGAGUGUUUUAGCUUCAUAGAACCAUGCAUGCAUGUAAAGUUAGCAACUUUAUGUGAUAACAACACCCUAGGAGCAUAGAUCUACUGUUUGGAGCUUUGGAGCAGCUUAAAAUAGUCUGAAUGAGUGAUGGACUGAAGGAGACUCGACGAGUUUCAUGGUUGAAUCGAAGAGUCGGUUGAAGAUUGCCCAUAAUGGUUUUGCAUGGACUCGGCAAGUCAGUAAGAAGACUCGACGAGUCAGUUAGGGUUCUUCCUGACAUUUAGACACGCGUAGACUCGCCGAGUUGGUGGGGAAACUCUGCGAGUUGGCCCAGGGAUUUCACGGUUUUCUGAGUUUUGGAGGAACUCGAUAGGUCAGUAGUUGGACUCGACGAGUUGGGUCAACAUGGACUGUUGACCUUGACUGUUGACUUGGAGUUUGACCAGGGUUAACCAUGUUUGACUUUGGAGGGUAUUUGGUAAAUGGGUAUUUAAGGAAAUGGAUCAUGGGUGGAUAUAGGUAAUGGAGUUUGGGGCAGUAUUUUGAGAGCGUGAUUUCGUGGUUUAGUUCGGCAUUGCAAGGUGAGUUAUCCUCACUAUAUCAACAGGGUCUAAGGCACCAAGGUCAGCCCUUUAUCUGAUUUGUAUUCGGGUAUUUGCUUGAUAUGUUUUUUGAUCUGCUAGAUCUGCAUCCUGGUAGUUAGGAUGGUAUUAUGUUUAGUGACCUGGUUUAGGUCAGUAUCCUGGUAUAUGGGAUGAUGUUAUGUUAGUGACCGGUUAGGUCGGUAUCCUGGUUAUAGGACGGUUGUUGUGUUAGUAAUCAGUUAGUUUGGUAUGAUUAUCUGUUGUAUACAUGCUCGCGUAUAAUAUUUAUGUGCACAUGAUUGUUUGAUUGUUAUGGGGGUUGGGUUGAGGCGGGUCCUGCUUCGUGUUGUAGGCCAACAUACCCAUGGCGGACCGGAAAGACUACAGGCCCAGGAAGGCACAUUGUCCAACCAAUGGCCCAACGAGCGGUCCGGAUAGGCUGAAGGCCCCGAGAGGGUGGUCCAAACGUGCCGAGGCUCGGAGAGUGGGCCAGGUGGACUGAAGGCCCGGUGCGGGCGGUCCAGUCAUACUGUAGACUCAAAGAGUGGACCAGGUGGACUGAAGACCCAGUGCGGGUGGACCAGUCACACAGUAGACUCGGGAUGCAUGGCUGUUCAGUGUUUGUUAUAUGAUAUGAUUAUGGAUUGUAUGAGGUUGGUAUUUUGGGGGUAACUCACUAAGCCUUCGAGCUUACGUUUAUCAAUUUAUGUUUCAGGUACAACGAAUUAACCCAGGAAGACGAAUGUGUGAUCGUACACUUCCCCAUAAUAUGUUUUGGAUUUUCUGGGAUACUCUGAUGUGAAACUAUUUUGGAAACCUUUUUGUAAUAACUAUUGGCAUUUGAAAUGUUUUUAAAAGUUUAAAUUUGGCUUGGAUUUUAUGGGUGUUACAAUUAUUUCAAUUAUCCAAGACGAUUUUAUGUCGAGAUUUUAAGUUAACAUUAAAUCUCAAUUAUUUGUUUGAAUGAUUUUUUUCUUUUAUCUUAGAGAUUUGUUUGAAAUUUAUUAAUUUUUUUUAUAAAUUUGAAUUAAUCAAAGACACAUAUAAAAAUAUCUCAUCAAAUCAAAUAAAUUUAAUAUAUAAAAAAGAUAGUAUCCGAUUAAGUCAAUCUAAAAAUACCAACAUAUAAAUAUAACUCACAAAUCUUGAUGGGAAUAAGAAUCAAACUCAAAAUCAAUCAAAUAAAAAAACCUUUGAUUUGUGUUAUAAGUAUAAAAUAAAUCAGGAUUCCAAAUAAAUAUUACAAUGAAAAAAAACCUAAAAUGUUUGAAACAAAAUAUGAAAUUCGCCAUCACUGUCAAUUUAAAAAAAAAACCUUUAUUAAUACUAAUGGGCUAUUUGGUAGCAUCCUGAUGAAUCAUAUCUGAAUGAUCUAGAUGCCUGGAUGAUCUAGAUGCUCUUUAGGAAUUUCUAUCGGAAUGAUAAAAUAAUGUUUGGUUAGGCAUCUAAAUAUCUGCCUCUUAAUGAGGAAAAUAACCAUUUUAGCCCUCUAAAUUAUUUUUUGAAUACAAAAUAAACAUUAUACAAUAUCCAACAAAUCGGUUAAAACAAAUUGGCUUUUGAUAUUCAGAUUCAUGUGUUUCUUCAUCAACAAUCUCUUUGAAGAGGACUCGUUUUGUUUCUGUUUUUAGAUCAUUAGGCUUUCUUGCUUCUGGAACAUUGAUGGGCCUAUUUUCUUGCUGAAUAUCUUCCAUCACUAGCAACUUCAUCUUGCUCCUAGAUCACAUAUCAACUAAACAAGUUGAAAAAUAACCAAACACAUAUUUUCAUAUAGAACAUUUCAAGCAAACACAAACACAUUUUCAAAAAAAAAAAAACAAAUCAAUUGUUAUUUUCAGAUUUCCAAAGGACAAAAACAACAUCAACUGAACACAUAUAUAGAGCAAGAAGAACAAAGCACAAAAAUCGAUUUCAUACAAAAUCGAGCAGCAAGAACACGAUUGACACCAAUUUCAUGCAAAAUUGCUCAACAAUAACACGAUUGAAGCAACAGAUUCGAGAAAAAAAACCAUACCUGAAAACUUACCGACGACGAGUAGGCGGAGAAGUAGGAGCGUUGUCGAAGGCAUGCAAGGGGAGGCGGCGACGGAGCCAAUAAUUGGAAGUUGUCAACGCUUAAUGAAGAUAAAGAAUGAGGGAUGAAAGGUCGAUCUCUAGAAAGAAGGAGAAGAAAAAAGAGUCGGCCGCAAUUUGUUGUUAGGGCAAUGGUAGAAGAUGAAAAUUUUUUUAUUCAGACUUCUCCUCAUAUCUUAACGAAUCAGAUUAGUUUUAGCUACAUCUGACCGAUUAAGAGCGUAAAAAUGUUUCAACCAAACACUCUGAAUCUUAAUGAUCCAAAUGCAACCUCUUAAUGAGACCAUUAAGAGGCAAAACAAACAGCCCCUAAAUAAAAAAAACAAUAUAGUUUCCAUAAAAAUCGAUUUAAAUAUUAAAGAAGAGAAGAAAUCAGCAUUUAUACGACGUAAUAGUUUUUUAAAAUUAAAAAAAAAAAAUUAUUCAUAUUAUAAGUAUAAAAUACAUUUUAUUCUUAACUCUCAUUUGUAAUUUGCCAUAUGUUUUCAUAAGAGUUUAUGGUAAUAACUUAAAUUUUUAUUUUUCCAUAUACCAUUUUUCAUUUACAAAAUUGUUUGUGCUUAUUUUUUUUUGUUAUAUUAAAAUUUAUUAUAUUUUAUUAUAUAAUAUAUAUCAUAAUUUUUUUCAUUAAUUUACAUAUAUCUUAUUUUUACGUGUUUAUUUGAAACAAUCGUUAUAAUGCAAAAUAAAUACCACUUCUCCAUAUUAAUUAUUAAUUUUUAUUAAAAUACUUUAUUAAUUAUUAUAAUUUUUAUCUAUUGAUAUUCGUUUAAUUUUGUAAGUUUUAUUUUCACAAAGUAUAACCUAAUUAAUUUCUCAUCAUCUAUAGUAAAUGAAAGUUUUUUUUUUCACAUGCAAUCACUAAUUAAUUUUGACACUUGUCAUUUUAUAAUAUUUUUUAAAUAAAUAAUAUCCACAUAUCAAUUUAUGAUUUUUNNNNNNNNNNNNNNNNNNNNNNNNNNNNNNNNNNNNNNNNNNNNNNNNNNNNNNNNNNNNNNNNNNNNNNNNNNNNNNNNNNNNNNNNNNNNNNNNNNNNNNNNNNNNNNNNNNNNNNNNNNNNNNNNNNNNNNNNNNNNNNNNNNNNNNNNNNNNNNNNNNNNNNNNNNNNNNNNNNAUCAAAUGUAAUAAAUAUUAUUUUAAAAUUUCAUUUUAAAAAAUAUUUAUUAUUACAUUUUAAUAUUUUAUAUUCUUUAAUCAACCGUGUAAUACAUUUUAAUACAUAGAUUUUCCAUCUAAUAAAUAAAUAAAAUGUAACCAUUUUAAUCACUAAAUAAUUAAUCAACCAAAGAUUAAAACCCACUGAUAAAAAGGAAACUAAAUCAACACCAAAUUGAAAAUUAAACCAUAUAUUACUAAAUUAAUUCACAGAGAGUUCGACAUCAAUCAAAUAUUAUCUCGCACUCAAAUUCACAAAACUCACUUUCCAGGUACAAAGUUUGUAGCAUAUGACCAUGCAUUGUUUGCAACAGGGUCAGCAAGGUGGUCAGCGAGGUUCUCCAAUGGUCCCUUUCCGGUAACAAUGGCUUGAACAAAGAAUCCAAACAUAGAGAACAUGGCUAGUCUACCGUUCUUGAGCUCCUUCACUUUCAGCUCAGCAAAUGCCUCUGGGUCAUCAGCCAGACCCAAUGGGUCGAAGCUACCACCAGGGUAAAGUGGGUCAACUACCUCACCAAGAGGUCCACCAGCAAUUCUGUAACCUUCAACUGCACCCAUCAAGAUCACUUGGGUAGCCCAGAUGGCUAAAAUGCUUUGUGCAUGGAUCAAACUUGGGUUCCCCAAGUAGUCAAGACCACCCUCACUAAAGAUCUGGGAUCCAGCCUUGAACCAUACAGCCUCACCAAACUUGACACCAUUACGCGCCAAGAGUUCGGGGAAGACGCACCCAAGAGCUCCGAGCAUGGCCCAUCUGCUGUGGAUGACCUCAAGCUCACGGUUCUUGGCGAAUGUUUCAGGAUCAGCAGAGAGCCCAGCAGUGUCCCAACCGUAGUCACCGGGGAACUCACCGGUCAGGUAAGAUGGGGCUUCGCCGGAGAAUGGGCCAAGGUACUUAACACGGUCGGGGCCGUACCAUGGACUUCCUGAUGGUGCGACUUUCUUGACUGCUGUCUUCCUCAUGGAAACCCUUCCAUUUCCGAUUAUUUCUGAACCAGAUGGUGCUGCUUUCACUGCCUGUCCGACGAAAGAAGAAGAUAGAGCCAUGGUGGAAGCUGCCAUUUUUGUGAGAUUUAUUUUGAAGAUGUUGUGAUGGUUAUACUUAUGAAGAUGGGUAGAACUGGAAGUAGAUUUAUAGGGUAGUUUUUGGAUCAGAUAGGUGAUCAAUGCUUAUCUUGAUACAAUCUUUAGCUUCAAUUUGAUUGGCUACAGAGAUUCUUGUGGGUCCGUAAUCUGUGGUGUGAGUUCUCUGGCCCCCCUGAGAUAUUUUGAAGGGGCAGGAUAUUCGUGGCUCUGGUUUAUUGAGCCAAUGACUGGCUUUCACUCACUACUCUUAGUGGUGGUUUUUUAUAAUAUGCUGUAAGCUUGUAACCAUCCAAUCGUCUAAGUUUAUAACUGACCUAUUAUUACAAAUAUAUACUAACCAGGCAAAACUUUUGGUUAUAAAAGUUAAUGUGACCGAGAGACUAACACAAAAAAUUAUAACAGGAGUAGUUAAUAAUCCGCGAUUUACCGCUAUGCCGAGAGCCGUAGGGAGGAUCCACCAUUUACCCCUAAGUGUGCAGAAUGCCUUUUUUUUUUUAGUAUUAAAAUAUCAAGAUCGGACACGCGUUGUAAAAUUCUUGUUCGAAUUGUUUGCAAACUCUUCGUCACAAUAAGGGGAGUUUAAAUAUGCGUUUUAAUAUAAUAACAUUGGCAUUGAUUAAAUGUUAAUAUUCAAUUAUCAUCCCACAUGAGAAUGAAAUAUAUUAAUGAUUUAUUAAUCUAAAAACAUUAUCAUCCCACAUGAGAAUGAAAUAUAUUAAUGAUUUAUUAAUCUAAAAACAAUUUUUUUAUGUCAUUAUUUUUUGGGGUUACAGUCGAGCUUGGAGGAUCUCGACUUUAGGUAUGCCCAUUUUAUUGAGAGGAAUUACUAAUAAAUUUCGGAAAGAGGAAAAAAAUAUGAUCGUGGACAUAUGGUUUAGGAAUAUUUUCAUGUUCGUUUGACACAAGUAAAGUUCUUGAAAUGGGUGCUUCAGUUUGUACGAGCGGCUAACUUGAUAAAGUUCAAAGACAUAAAGGCAAUUUUCAAAAACUCACAUGAUCAGUUAUCGAACAAGCAUGUCGUACUAGUGUGCCCACUACACAUGUUAGUUAGCGGUUUCAAUAGGAAAAGAGCAUCAUUAGCUGUCAAUGAUAAUAUUCUUUCUCUAGUACUCGAUCCUUACGACUUUUAUAUUUAUAUCAUGUAAUUUAGAAUUUAAUUUAAUUUCUAUUAAUCUUCGAUUACAGUUUAUGUGAUCUAAUUCAUGGAUGUUUUGGCACUACAUAUCUCAAUGGAGUAUGCCAGGGAAAUUUUGGUCAUAACAACAGCCUCCAUGGGUUUAUAUAUAUUUUUAAGGUACAUAUAACAUCCUAUUUUUAGGCUUAGAAAUUUUGGUCAUUUAUAGUGAAAAUAAUUUUUUUUAAUAAAAAAAUAAAAAAGGAAAAAUAAAAAUAAAAAGAAUGACUGAAUGAAUACAUGAGCUAAUAAAAGGUUUAGAUCAAAUGUUUAAAGAAAAUAGCGAAUUUAUACUUAAAAUAGGAAAUAAAUAAGGAAGGGUCAGUGGUGGCAACUUUGGAAAACUUGUUUAAUUUAGAUCUAACUAGACAAUUUAUUUGUAAAGAGUUAAAAAUGUAACGAAAUGAUACUUAUAAGCUUAAGAGGGAGUUUUUCAGUUGGAAAUGUUGUUAGAAACCCUUAUUGGAAAAAAUUAGGACAAAAGGACUAAAAUUGUCAAGUUGAUGAAACUUGUGUUAACCUUAAUGUAACGACCCUAAAAUCUUAAAUUAUGUGUUUAAUUACUUUGUAUCAUUUUGUUGAAAAAUGAACAUUAAUGAUGCAAUAAUCAAUUUGUUAGUAAAUUUCAUUGUAUAUCCUUACAUUUAUCAUGUUAUAAUCGAAAAUAUAGGACAUUUCAGCAAAAAAUAACCCUGUAGGAAAGUCGCAUUACACCUCGAUAUAUUCGUGUGGAUAUAAAUUCUAUGAAAAUCCAAAUUUGUAUGACGAAGUUAUAGUCAAUAUAAGUUGGAAGUACAAAUUUUAAUGUUUAAAUGUGUAUGUUNNNNNNNNNNNNNNNNNNNNNNNNNNNNNNNNNNNNNNNNNNNNNNNNNNNNNNNNNNNNNNNUAUAUAUAUAUAUAUAUAACAUCUCAAAACCAUAAUAACCAUAACAUAAAAUCAGAGUUUCAAAACAUAUUAUCUCUCUAAACCAUAACAAUCACUGGAUGAUGUGUAGAGUCACGUGUAACAUCUCGUUUAAAAUUAGAUAAAUAAAAUAAAAUAAGUAAAUAAAUUAGAUAAAAUAAGUAAAUAAAUAAUAAACCCUAAAACCUCAAGAUGAAUUUUAUAUUUUUAUGUUAGCCUUAAAUCCAUAAUAAUUAUCAGAGUAUUAGCGCAAUAAGUUAAAUGUUAUUAAUUCUGGAAAUAGGGGUUUAAAAUGUAAAUUUCGAACUAGUUAAGAAUAGAUUUGUGGAAGCUGGGGAUUGUUUGGUAAUUUGGACUUGAAUUGAAAGGAUUAUUGGAAACAGGUAUAGAGUAAAUUACAGAUUUAAUUUGUAAAGGAAUUGAGAUGGAGGGACUGAAAAUAUAAGAAAGGGACUAAUGUUUGAAGAGAUAGGCAUGACUUAAACCCAUUCCCCCUCCACCCUCUUGCUACUCGGUUGCACCCAUAUAAACCCUAACCCUAAUAUCUUCUCAGCCGCCACCUUAUCCCUCCAUAUCUCCAGUCGCUUCCAUCACCUGUGUCGCCGUCAUGAACCACUGAGCACCACUGCCGCUGCUCCCACUGCCGAUGAAAACGAAGAUCAACGUUUGGACACCGUGACAGUGGGGAAGUAGGAAGAAAGGAAGCUCGUGGUUGUUAUUGCUGUUAUUCUCGGUUAGGGGUCGCAAAACCUUUCUCUUCUCCGUUUCCUUUUGUUGCUACGUUGUCAUCGUCAUCGCUCCAUGUGAGGGUGGUUGUGUUUGUGUUUUGUGAGUGUAGGUGUGUGUUGCUGCUGUGGCAAGUUGGAGAGGUGUGUGUGUCUUUUGUUGGCCAGAAAAACGAAGAGAAUCACCAUGGCAACCAACCAUGGUGGUUUUCACCGUUCUGGAGCCACUAGCCACCACCCUAGGUGGCUGUGUGUGUUGGAUUGACAUUUCUUCUGUACCAGGAUGCUUUUGAUAGUGUUUGGCCUAAAAUUAUAACUACCACCAUUAAAAAGUGGUGGCUGUCGCCUCCUACCGCCAUGGACCGCCGCCGACCACCAAUGCCCGAGGUGGCAGUGGGUGGUGUCUGACUUACUAAACAUUAAAUAACCUAAACAUCUAACCUUAGACCGAGUGGUACGUGUUUGGGUUGGAAACUCUUACUAGGCUUUAGAAAAUCCUAAGGUCAAGAAAACCCUAGUUUUGGAGUUUUGUCGGGACCCGCGUUGAAGUGUUAAUUGAACUUUAAUUAUACUCGAUAAGGCCCUACGAUUAACUUAAUGCAGUAUUGAACUUAAUGAAUUAAGUCCUUAAGGGGUUAUGUGUGGAGCACUAACCCUAGUUAUCAUUUUAUGUGGAAACCCUAAAAAUCAAGAAGCCUUAUUUUCGGCAAUGAUCAGGGCACAUAUUUGGGAUAUUCCUUGGAUUAUUAUUAUACCCGAGAAUGAAUAUGUCAAACCUUAAUCACUCCUACUUUUAUUUGAUUAAGUCCUUAAUGGGUUAAGUGUCCUUACUUAACCCUAAUCGUCAUUUUAUGUGGAACCCUAAUCACUAUUUCAUGUGAGGUAGUCACUGCUGCAAUUGACGAUGACUUGUGAUCGAGUAUUGAAUCAAGUAUCUUCCUGUAGGUGAUUGGAAGUGAGUUGAAGCUGGUAGAGUUCUUCGUUACUACGGUGGUUACCUACUAGCAUAUCGAGCUGAGUUUCACCUCACUGUGUUAGAUCUAUAUGCACAAGAAUCAUUAUUCAGUGACAUUGCUAAUAACAUAUGAUCCUAUAAGGUCACACUUUAAUCAAGUUGGUACUUAUUGAAUAUUUAUUAAGUAUUUUAUAAUUAAUAAUAAAAGUUCAACUCAUGUAUUUAAUUAAAGAAAAUUUAUUGUUUUGUGAAAAUAAUAAUAAAUGAAAGACUAACUANAUAUAUAUAUAUAUAUAUAUAUAUAUAUAUAUAUAUAUAUAUAAGUCAUGUACAAAGUUUUGGACACUUUCACCAAAGAUUGACAAACUAGCUAGUUAAUUAAGUGACUAAACAAUAAACUAGAAAAUCCAAUGGACCAUUUUAGUCCUUAAAACCAUGGGUUAUCAAGGCGAGGAGGUUGAAAGUCAACCUCCAACAUUCUUGUCCCCCAUGUUUGUUCAUUACCUUGCAUGUAAUACACACCAUGAUCAUAUUAUAUAAGGCUAGUUGUUUUAUCACUAUAUGACUAGAAGAAAAAAAUCAUUUACACUUUCAUCCAUAGAAUUGUAGGUUCUCUUGGCUUCUCCCUAUCUCUCACUUGAAGUUAGUUCUUGGUUUUUUAGAGUUCGUCUUUUGUGUCUUCCUUUUACACUUAUUAUCUAUGUGCUUAAGGCUUAAAGAGAAAAAUAUUAUACAAGAAGAAAUCUAGCAAUUUUGGUACCUUAUUCUUGUUGGUGGAUUACUUGUAGAGAAGAUCAGACUUGUUGUUCUUGCCAUCUACUUCAACACCCCAAAUCUAAGAGGGUCCAAAGUCUACGAAGGUUGUAUUUUCUAAACUCCCUAUGGUUGUUAUAAUAUCAUUCUAAGCACUUUAAAAGGAUCCUUGAUGGUUUGUUUUGUUUUCAAAUUUAUAAGAAAUUUUUAAAGCUUCCGUUGCCAGUUUUUGUGAAAAACUAUUUAUUUUAUGCAACAAACCCCUUCAGUUGUAACACUAUAAAUUUUCAAACAAAAUUUCCAUUUUUAAAACACACAAAUCUUAAAAUCACAUUUCUCAAAAAUCACAAAUGUAUCAAUUGUAAGAAUAUCCCAGAACCCUCAAACAUAAUCUCGAACAGGUGUGUACAAUCAAGUCGGCGCCUUACCGUGAUUCUGAGAAGUACCUGAAACACAUAACACACAACAUAGUAAAAACGAAGCUUAGUGAGUUCCCCAAAAUACCACAUACACAAAUAAUAAGCCACUCAUAGCUAUAGCUCGGCAUGGACCUUCCAGUCAUGCGUCUCGGUGAGGACCCUCCGGUCUCACGGCUCGGUGUGGACCCUCCGGUCAUGUGUCUCAGUGAAGACCCUCAGGUUUCACAGCUCGAGUUGGACCCUCCAGUCCUGUAUCUUAGUGAAGACCCUCCAGUCUCACAACUCGGUUUGGACCCUCCGGUCCUAACUCAGUAAGGCACAAAAUAAUAUAGCAUAUAUGACAAAGACAAAAUGCAUAAUAUCACAUAACUCAGUAUAAGCACAUAGGACCAUCCGGUCGAUAACUCAAAUAAGACCCUCUGUUCACAUAGUAUUACCACUCAGGUAAGUAUAGUGAUAAGACUCGUCUCGGAAGUAAGCAAAUAGAUCUAGUACCCCACGAACAGUUUAGACUCCGCCUACAUAAUAUAAUUAUCUCUAAUAAGCAAUUUGUAAUAACCAUUCCGAGAUGUUAAGCUAGCUCCCCCACUAAAUCUCAAAAAUGGUGAAAAUACCAUUUUACCCCUCCAUGGUCUCUAAGGUCCACAGUUGACCAAACCCUAAAACUCAACGUAAGUCAACGCUCAAGUCAACAGUCCAUGUUGACUAAACUCGUCGAAUGCAUCCAUGCGACUCGUUGAGUACCGUCGUUUUCUCUGAAGUAUCGGGAAAAUCCAACUCAACUCGUCGAGUUGUCUCAUCAACUCGCUGAGUUGUAACGCAUUUAGACUAUCAGGGAAAACCCUAGCUGACUAGUCGAGUUGUCUCAUGCACUCGUCGAGUCCCUCUAUACAAAUUCUCAUUUAGACUAUUCUAAGCAGGAAUAAGGUCCCAAACUCUAGAUCUAGCCUCCCAAGGCUGAAAUACCAUGUAAAGCUGCAAGCUUUACGUCUAUGCAUGGAAUCUAGCGCUCAAAAUGCUAAAACAAGCUCUAUAUAGGGUUUAAUGCAUAAAAUCUUGCCACUAGCUUGAUAAAGCUUGGACCUUUGGGCUCAAGGGACCUCAUAUUGUCCAUAUCUGAAGUCUCAAAUUCAUGGCAGGCUCAAACAACUCAAGUACUCAAAGAAGGAUGGAAAAAGGCCCUAAAACUCCUUAGAAAAGAGAUCUAACCAAAUAAUGAUCAAGGUGGUAACUUUUUACCUUCAAACAGAAGCUAGAAAUGAAUAAGCACCAGAUCCAAGAGCUCCCUCUCGUCCCAAGCCUUUUGUUCCUCAAUCUUUCUCCAAAAAUGCACCAAAAUACACAAUAUUAUCCUCUCCUUCUCUCACACAUAGAUAUAGCUCGAUUAGGGUUUCUCUCAGAGUUUUAGGAUGAUAAGGGAGGAUGAAAUGAAGGCUUAAGGUCCUUUAAAUAGGACACAAACCCUGAAAAUUGGGGUUUUCUCACUCUGCUCCUACUCGUCGAGUUGGGGUCCUCCAACUCGUCGAGUAGACUCUAAAAAUCACGCAACCUUUAACUCCUCUACUCGGCGAGUUGGGGCAUCCAACUCGUCGAGUUGCUCUGACAUCAUAAAUGCAAAUUUAUUAAAUGUUAUAUAUGGGAGCAGGAUGGUACAUGUAACGACCCAAUUUUCAUGACCAAAAAUUUUGUUUUAAAAACAUUACUUUAGAAAAUAUUAAAAGCUAAAAACAUUGUCGGAUCAAAUCAUAACACAAGUGAACCAUGUCUAAAAGCCAAUUCAUACAUUCAAUCAAAAUAUCAGAGUACAAAUCCCAGUGAAGCUCGUAAAUGCGGAAACCGGAGAGUGUGUGUGUGACAUGCUGCUACCGCGCCGGCUCCUUUCCCCUAGCUGAGGAGGUACCUGAAACCAAAACUGAAGACUGUAAGCACAAAGCUUAGUGAGUCCCCCCGUCGUACCACAUACCAUACAAACACGUAACAUACAUACUGUCAGGCUAUUCUGGGGUGCCUGACUACCCGGUACGGCCGUUCUGGGGUGCCGUCCUACCCGUGUCAAGCCAUUCUGGGGUGCUGACUACCCGUGUCAAGCCAUUCUGGGGUGCUGACUACCCAUGUCAAGCCAUUCUGGGGUGCUGACUACCCAUCGGUCCUAACAACCGAUCCUCGGGGACUAGUCCCCUCUUACUACCUUUAUCUCAUAUAACAUAACAAGCCAGCAUGCAAUCAUAUCAUCACGUACUGUCAGACAUAUCUGGGGUGUCCGACCUACCCUUCGGUCCUAACAACCGAACUCUACAACUAUCACAUAUACAUAUCAUGCCAGCAUAUAACAUAUCAGGUAGUAGCAAACCUAGAUGAUAUCACAAAGACAAUCAUCUAACAUACAACUCCUACUGGUGGGCCGGCAUUGUGGCCGUAGACCCACCGCUACUGGAAGGUAACUCACCUCGAAGUAGCUGCUGAUCUGAUCGGGAACUGACUGCCUACUGCUGCUGCUGCUGCUCCGGAAAUCCUCCGGCUGCAAUUCCCACAACAUACUCAAUCAAACACUGCUCACUGACCUUUGGGUAAAAUGACCAUUUUACCCCUGAUCAUGCCCUAAGUCAAAGUCAGAGUCAACUUUCAGUUGACCCGACUCGCCGAGUUGGCUUUCCAACUCGCCGAGUCCCUACCCAAACGACUGCCCUGAAACCCGAUCCUACCCGUCGAGUUAGGCGACGACUCGACGGGUUCACCUUCUUAACCAAUAUUCAAGUCCUUCAUUCUACUCGCCGAGUUGUAUGAACAACUCGCCGAGUUCAUCUUCAUCCGAA